Molecule: long non-coding RNA, 119367 nt
Filed under: Hordeum vulgare
Lineage: Eukaryota; Viridiplantae; Streptophyta; Magnoliopsida; Poales; Poaceae
Description: long non-coding RNA (HVUL_LNC003340)
Source: RNAcentral
UCACAGCAAGAAGUUGCCUCUCGCUGAUCGGUACACAUAGACAAGAACACCAUGCUGCGCAAGAACACCAUGUCCUCCCUUGUCUUCCUCGUGGCGGUGCUACUCUUGUGCAGCUCCAUCUCCAUGAGCAGCGCAGCACGACACCUAGAGGAGGCUGUUCCCAAGAAGGAGUAUCCACCACAUCCGAUCGUCCCGGAGCUGCCAAAGCCCGAACUCCCGCCGCACCCCGUCAUGCCCGAGCUGCCGAAGCCUGAGCUGCCACACCCUCUCGUCCCCGAAGUGCCACACCCCGUGGUGCCCGAGGUGCCAAAGCACGAACUGCCGCCACACCCUGCUAUGCCCGAGCUCCCGAAGCCUGAACUCCCGCAUCCGGUUGUGCCUGAGGUGGCAAAGGAGCCUGAAGUGCCAGUGCCACACCCCGUGGUGCCCGAGGUGCCAAAGCACGAACUGCCGCCACACCCUGCUAUGCCCGAGCUCCCGAAGCCUGAACUCCCGCAUCCGGUUGUGCCUGAGGUGGCAAAGGAGCCUGAAGUGCCAGUGCCACACCCCGUGGUGCCGGAGAUGCCAAAGCACGAGCUGCCACCGCACCCUGCUAUGUCCGAGCUCCCGAAGCCUGAACUGCCGCAUCCGUUUGUGCCUGAGGUGGCAAAGGAGCCUGAAGUGCCAGUGCCACACCCCGUGGUGCCGGAGAUGCCAAAGCACGAGCUGCCACCGCACCCUGCUAUGCCCGAGCUCCCGAAGCCUGAACUGCCGCAUCCGGUUGUGCCUGAGGUGGCAAAGGAGCCUGAAGUGCCAGUGCCACACCCCGUGGUGCCGGAGANNNNNNNNNNNNNNNNNNNNNNNNNNNNNNNNNNNNNNNNNNNNNNNNNNNNNNNNNNNNNNNNNNNNNNNNNNNNNNNNNNNNNNNNNNNNNNNNNNNNGGGUUGGCCUAGAACUGCCUUGUGAUGCCUCGGACCGUGCCCUUUUUUCGAUGUCCACGACUAUCACCAUACAAGAUGGCUGCACCGCGCGGUUUUGGCAUGACAGAUGGCUACAAGGCAUGUGUCCAAAAACAAUGGCGCCGGACCUUUACAAGAUCUCAUUUAGAAAAAACCGCACAGUGAAAGAAGCAUUAACUGCUGAAAAAUGGCUGACGGACUUGGCACACGGGCUGACAGAAACGAUGGUACCUCAGCUGGCCUGCCUGGCGGCAUGUCUCGAACAGAUUGAACUCACUCCCGAUAGGCCAGACACUGUAGAAUGGCGUUACAACUCCGAUAAAAGAUAUAGUGCAAAAUCCACCUACCUGCUGCAAUUCAAUGGCUCGACAACCAUGGAAGGAGCAAAAUAUAUCUGGACGGGUUGGGCACCGGGCAAAUGCAGAUUCUUUUUAUGGACAGCCGCAUUAGGGAAAAUACUAACGGCAGACGUGUUGUUGCGGCGAGGACGGGAGAACAAUUAUUUCUGUCCUCUAUGCCAGAGAAAUCUGGAGACCGUUUUCCACCUUCUCGUGGAGUGCUCUUGGACCCGGAAAACCUGGGAUGCAAUCGCAACCUCAGCUGANNNNNNNNNNNNNNNNNNNNNNNNNNNNNNNNNNNNNNNNNNNNNNNNNNNNNNNNNNNNNNNNNNNNNNNNNNNNNNNNNNNNNNNNNNNNNNNNNNNNCCAAUUCCUGUUUUUCCAUGUUUAUGACCCCUUUCAGAGGAGGAUAUUAAACGGAGUCCAAAUGGAAUGAAACUGCCAAAAAGAUUUUUUCCGAAACAGAAGAAGAUCGGGAAGCCUCAGAAUCGGGGGAGGGGGCCUGCAGGGACCCCACAAGCCCCCUAGCCGCAGCCAGGGGAGCCCGCGCCUCCCAGGCUUGUGGGUUCACUCGGCCACUGCUAUCCCACAGACAACAGCGCUAGAAAUUGACACGUUGACGGAGGCUGGGCUUGCAUUUUUUUCCCUCGAAGAGGAAAGGGUGAUGCAGCAGAGGAGCAGUAAGUAUUUCCCUCAGUUUGAGAACCAAGGUAUUGAUCCACAAGGAGGGUCUCGUCAAGUCCAGAGUACCUGCGCAAACACAAAAAACUUGCGCCCAACGCUUCAAAGGGGUUGUCAAUCCCUUCAAGAUUGUUUGCAAAGUGAGAUCUGAAGGCGGAAAGUGCAAUGUAGUAAAAAGUGUAAGGCUGAAAAUAUGGUGUGGAGUAGACCCUGGGGGCCAUAGUGUUCACUCGAGGCUUCUCUCCAAAUAGCAAGUAUUACGGUGGGUGAACAAAUUACUAUCGAGCAAUUGAUAGAACCGCGCAACGUCAUGACGACAUCUACGACAAUGAUACAUAUAUGCAUCACGUCCGAGACAAGUAGACCGAUACUUUCUGCAUCUACUACUAUUACUCCACACAUCGACCGCUAUCCAGCAUGCAUCUAGUAUAUUGAGUUGAUGACGAACAGAGUAACGCUUUAAGCAAUAAGAAAUGCUGUAGAGGGAUAAUCACAAACCAAUGAUGAAAACCCCAUCUUUUUACCCUUGAUGGCAACAACAGGAUGCUUGCCUUGCUACCCUUUCUGUCACUAGGUGAGGUCACCGCACAGUAUGAACCCAAAACCAAGCACUUCUCCCAUUGCAAGAAUCAUAGAUCUAGUUGGCCAGACAAAACCCACAACUCGAAGAGAUUUACAAGGAUAUGAAAUCAUGCAUAAGAAAGAUCAGAAGAAACUCAAAUAAGAUUCAUAGAUAAUCUGAUCAUAAAUCCACAAUCCAUCGGAUCUCAACAAACACACUGCAAAAGAAGAUUACAUCGGAUAGAUCUCCCUGAAGAUCAUGGAGAACUUUGUAUUGAAGAUCCAAGAGAGAGAAGAAUCCAUCUAGUUACUAGCGAUGGACCCGUAGGUCUAUGGUUAACUACUCAUGCAUCAUCAGAGAGGUCAUGGUGUUCAUGAAGAAGCCCUCCGUAUCCGAAUCUCCCCUCCGACAGGGCACCAGAACGUGCCCUAGAUGGGAUCUUGCGGAGACAGAAGCUUGCGGCGGCGGAAAAGUACUUUCGAUGAUCUCCUGUUUUUUUGGAAUUUAUGGGAAUAUAUAAGCGAAAGACCUAGGGCAAAGGGCGUCCAGGUGGCCCACAAGCCUGGAUGGCAUGGCCUCCCCCCUGAGGCUCCCCUGCCUUGGCUCACAAGCUUCCCGAUCUUCUUCAGUUCCAAAAAAAAAUCUUUUCGGGGACUUUCUUCCGUUUGGACUCCGUUUCGAAAUCUCCUCUGAAAGGGGUCAAAAACAUGGAAAAAACAGGAACUGACACUUGGCACUGAGUUAAUAAGUUAGUCCCAAAAAAUAUAUAAAAGGCNNNNNNNNNNNNNNNNNNNNNNNNNNNNNNNNNNNNNNNNNNNNNNNNNNNNNNNNNNNNNNNNNNNNNNNNNNNNNNNNNNNNNNNNNNNNNNNNNNNNUGGAGUAAAUACAUGUUCCUGCACAGAACUGCAUGCUAACCUAUUUUGACAUGCAUGAGAAUGACAUGAUCAUAUGUGUCUCGUGUAAACGAUGCAAAAGCAUAUAAAGAACAUUACAAUCGGAGCUACGAAUCAACGGGAAUCAACGAAACAAGAUAUGAAGCCCUACGUGUCAAAAUAAUGACCACGCACUCAAAUGGCACAAAUCUGGUAUUCCUAGGUUGCCAAGAGAAUAACCAAACCAUCAUGGAUGGGGUGGAGCAAAUAAGAACACCACAACAUCAACUAAGCACUCACAAACAUCAAAAUCACAAAACUACACAAUCUGCCAUAAACUGCAUCAUAGCACUUUGUGAGCUACAUGCAAAGCAUCUACAGCCACCCAAACAUGACAAAUAAUAUAUGUGGCUGUAGCUAUCCAAGAAUAAUACAAGCACAAGCAAGAAUCACACAAAAAGGAAUUAAACACAGAAAGUUACAAGGCUGCAAACUUGCCCAAAAACAUCAGUUUUCACGGACUUGAAAAUUCCAGAUUCUCACUUUCUGUCUAUGCUCUGAAGCAUUUUGACAGCAGCCAAAACAAUAUCUACAGGGCUCCGAAUGACAUGAAAUAUUACAGCGAGCUAUACAAACAUAUCCGGUCCAACUUUCUAGUUGAAAGCUAAGGCUAGAUCACAACACAAUGACCAGCACAACCUCAUCAACACGAGAAGAAAAUAUAAACAGAUUCUCAGACUUAGUGAAAAUCUCAGAUUUUCACUAAUCUGGAAUUUCAGCCACAUGCCUANNNNNNNNNNCCUACGGCCACCCAAACAUGACAAAUAAUAUAUGUGGCUGUAUCUAGACAAGAAUACUACAAGCACAAGCAAGAAUCACACAAAAAGGAAUUAAACACAGAAAGUUACAAGGCUGCAAACUUGCCCAAAAACGACAGUUUUCACGGACUUAGAGAAAAUUCCAGAUUCUCACUUUCUCUCUAUGCUCUGAAGCAUUUUGACAGCAGCCAAAACAAUAUCUAUAGGGCUCCAAAUGACAUGCAAUUUUACAGGGAGCUAGACAAACAUAUCAGGUACAACUUUCUAGGUGAAAGCUAAGGCUUGAUCACAACACAAUGACCAGCACAACCUCAUCAACAGGAGAAGAAAAUAUAAACAGAUUCUCAGACUUCGUGAAAAUCUCAGAUUUUCACUAAUCUGGAAUUUCAGCCACAUGCCUACUUUGAGUGGGCAUAACUUGCACAUAUGGAAUCCUGAUCAUGAGAUGAAACCAACAAAAGGUAGAGGGGGUCACCCUCUACUACCACAACCAAGAAACAAACACAAAGACUCAUCACAACUCAUGGAAGCAAGCUCUAAACAUAGAAGAAAAUGAAAAUAUGUCAUCUCCAGAAAUGUUCCAAUGGAAAAAACUGAUCUCACCAAUGGAUUCCUUAGGAGAUUCUACCCCAAAAACAUAUAUAAUAUGUGGGCACGUACUUGGAACAAGUGACCACAAAUUAAGAAGGAAAAAACAACAUAGAAUCUUAAUUAGUGAAUAGUGCAACAUCACAUGUGCAAAAUCACUAGAACACUAUCUACACUAGCACUUGCAUGACCACAACACCAAUGUUGACAUGAGGAUUUUGACCCCAUGUGUGUGUGCCAUGGCCAUCACCAUACCCAAACAUAUCUACAAGACAAACUCACCGACACAAGAAACAUGCACCACUCACAUAUGGACAUAUGGACAUAUGAGGAUUCCCCACACACAAGCACAUGCUCACAAUCCAUGGUGCUCAUGAAAUAUGUUCAUGUGUGUGUGUGCUUCUCACACACCACACCUCAAUAUAAACAUGCACUCAAAACCUACCACACUACACCACUUAAGCAUGUCACUAGUGCAUCAUCCUCACCUUGAGGAAGAGCUGCUCACACACAUGCAGCACACUAGGCUAGUAAAACACCCACAAGUCAAGCACCUCAGAAACAUCUCAUACGGAAGAAGAUCCACACAUACACUACUCUACCUUACAAAUAACUACACACUCACAUAAACACACAUGCUAGCAAAAAAAUUACCUUCACACACAUGCUGUUUGUGGGAAGAAAGUAUUCCCACUUGGUNNNNNNNNNNAUCACAAACAUCUCAUAUGGAAGAAGAUCCACACAUACACUACUCUACCUUACAGAUAACUACACACUCACAUAAACACACAUGCUAGCAAAAAAAAUACCUUCACACACAUGCUGUUUGUGGGAAGAAAGUAUUCCCACUUGGUGUAGCUCACACCAAGCAACUCUCAUACACAUACAAGAGGAUAAGCAGCAACAAGGCAAAAGAAAAUAAAUUAAAAGGGGUGGUGGUUUCGAACCCAGGACCUCCUGGUACAAGCCACAACACCAAACCACUCUGCUACCAAACACUAUCUCGACACGGAAGGAUAGAAAAGCAAGUUGACUGCACUAUUGCAGUAAUGCUAGUGUUGCCCGAAAUAUAAUGCAAAAAGGGGGGAGAGAUCUCCUGGGACUCAAACCCACAACCUCACGAGAACAAAUACUGGUUGUUACCACUUCGCUACGAUAUGGACGACUGACAUAACAGGGAACUGUAACAAGGUAACUAGCACNNNNNNNNNNGGGAAGGAUAGAAAAGCAAGUUGACUGCACUGCUGCUGCAACGCUACUGUUGCCCGAAAUAUAAUGCAAAAAGGGGGGAGAGAUCUCCUGGGACUCGAACCCACAACCUCUCGAGAACAAAUAUUGGUUGUUACCACUUCGCUAUGAUAUGGACGACUGACAUAACAGGGAACUGUAACAAGGUAACUAGCACCUGAUCCAUACCCUGCUCUGCACGAGCGAGCCAGCGACAGAGAGAUCGCCGGUGCUGGUCUCUCUCUACGGCUCAACAUCGACGAGGGGAUCCAACCUAGUCUCAGCGCUGCAACCACGAGGGGGAAGUAAGUCCCCCUCUUGCACCCAUGCAACCGAACGCCAGUACGCAGAACACCACCACGCAAAUGACCGAUCUACCUCUCGGAGCAGAGAAACUCCGGCGAAGUACAAGCGAUCCUAGCGAGGAGGAAGNNNNNNNNNNCAGCGAGCCGGCGACACAGAGAUCGCCAAUGAUGGUCUCUCUCUACAGCUCAAUGUCGACGAGGGGAUCCAACCUAGUCUCAGCGCUGCUACCACGAGGGGCAAGGAAGCCCCCCUCUUUCACCCAUGCAACCGAACGCCAGUACACAGAACACCACCACGCACAUGACCGAUCUACCUCUCUGAGCAGAGAAACUCCGGCGAAGUACAAGCGAUCCUAGCGAGGAGGAAGGAGGGAGGGGAGAUCCCUCACCUAGGGAAGGAAGGGAAGAAGCCACCCCGCUUGAAGGAGUAGCCGGAGGGGAAGAAGACGCGUCGGAACUCUGCUGCCAAUGAAAUAGAGGAAGACGACGGGGAACUCUGGGGCCGAGGCGAUGGCGACCUCCUAGCCGUCGUUGUGGUCACUCCUCGACCUCAACGAUGGCGGGAAUGGGGCGCGGGAAGCCUGACUGAGCUCCUGGACAUGGCGGCGGCUCCGGACAUCGACGGGAACGGGGAAGACGUCGGCGAGGCUUCCCUUCUCUCUCUCCCACUCCUACAAGAACUUACUGGCGGUGGAAGGAAGGGAGAUGGGGAUGGAGAGAGGUGGCGGCGCAGAUCGGGAGAGAGGGAAACCCUAAGGCAGUUAGGCACGGACGCCCACACUUUAUGGCGUGGCCUCGACGGCUGUGCCUGAUGGCAGCAUACCCUCCCUCUCUGCUGACGAGACAGAAAGGUGGACGAGGAAGAACACCGUCAGAAGACGAGGCGGUCGCAGGACUGGGCCACCGCGCGAGGAAGGGAGGGGGAACUGGGCCACGCUGUGCGGGAGCAAGCCCAAUAGAGCGCCACUUAAGAGAAAAUAAAUCCCUGGUGUUUUUCUUUUUUACAAGAAGUACCAGAGAAGAAUGAAAUGCACAAGAAAAACUACAAAAGCAAAAAAAUAAAGCUAGCACAUCCCUGGUCAUGAAAAUUCAUGACCUAUUUGAAUAAAAUGCAACAUGAAUAUAUGGGGCAAAUUAAUAUCUACAAAACAGCCAUUGGUUGACCUGUUUUGUAAUUAUUUGCACCUCUUGCACCCCUCCUUAAAAGAGCAUCUAUACUUCACAAAUCCACCACACACAAGAGCUAAAACAGGAACAUUUUAAAAACAGAAAAGGAAGUAGUGAAUCUUGACAUAGGAGGAAUAGAGAGAGGGGUGAAGAUGAUUUGAAACCUAAGCAUUCACAUGGUAUCCUACUAGCACAAGAAACCUAGUAGAGUUGCACCACACCACACAUAUGUCCACAAGAUCACAAACACCACAUAAAAGCAUAAGACCACAAUGCAACAUCACAAGACAUGAGCAUGAAAUGUUAUGUUAUGCAUGAAUGCAAGGAAAGGAAAUGUUAAGGGACAUGACAUGGAAUCAUGGCAUUGAUCUCUCUCAUAGCAUAGACAUGGUGGUCCCACAUGGAAGGUUACAAAAAGGGAAGGCUUUACACUUGGGGCACUACAGACUCUCCCACACUAUGAAAAAGAUCUCGCCCCGAGAUCUACGCCUGAAAGAAUGCCGGAAAUUCAGAACGGAGGUGGUCCUAGCAUUCCCAAGUAGCCUCUUUAUCGGAAUGGUGUGACCACUGCACUUUGAGAAAUUUGACAGUCUUGUUACUGGUCUUGCGCUCAGUCGCCUCGAGAACCACAACUGGAUUCUCACGAUAACAAAGGUCAGGCUGAAGGUCGAUGUCUUGAAGAAGAACAGUGCGCUCGGGGGUCUUGAAGCACCUCCGAAGCUGAGAAACAUGGAACACAUCAUGGACAUUUGCAAAGUUUGUCGGAAGCUCGAGCUGGUACGCAAGGUGGCCUCUCUUGCCAACCACUCUGAACGGACCAACGAAACGAGGCGCAAGCUUGCCUUUGAUGCCAAAGCGUUGCAUACCCUUCAUAGGUGACACCUUGAGAUAGACGAAGUCAUCAAGAUCAUAAGACAUGUCACGGUGCUUGCUAUCAUAAUAGCUCUUCUGACGGGACUGAGCUGCUUUGAGGUUGUCGCGAAUGAUCCGACACAUCUCCUCAGCUUCUUCUAUCAUAUCAUUGCCAAGGAUCUGACGCUCGCCGGUCUCGGACCAGUUGAGCGGAGUACGGCACUUCCUGCCAUAGAGAAUUUCAAACGGAGCCUUGCCAGAACUAGCUCGAUAACUGUUGUUAUACGAGAACUCCGCGAAAGGCAGACAAUCUUCCCACUUCAUGCCAAAAGAGAUAACACAGGCUCUCAGCAUAUCCUCAAGAACGUGAUUCACUCUCUCCACUUGACCACUAGUCUGAGGAUGGAACGCUGUGCUGAAGCGGAUCUUCGUGUCCAUAGCAGACUAAAAGGAGUCCCAGAACUUGGAAGUGAAGAUACUUCCGCGAUCCGAAGAGAUCAUCAUAGGCACGCCGUGCAAAGAGACAAUCCUGGAGGUGUACAACUCUGCGAGCUGAGCUGCUGAAAUGGACUCGUUGACUGGAAGAAAAUGAACCACUUUACUCAACUUGUCGAUGACGACGAAGAUAGAAUCAUUACCCUUCUUGGACUUCAAAAACCCGGUGACGAAAUCCAUCUCAAUGUGAUCGAACUUCCACUCUGGAAUUGGCAAAGGCUGCAAAAGGCCUGCUGGGCGUUGAUGUUCUACUUUCACCCUUCGACAUACAUCACAUUCAUUUACGAACUGAGCAAUCUCACGCUUCAUACGAGUCCACCAGAAGGUCUGCUUCAAGUCGUGGUACAUUUUGGAGCUUCCAGGAUGAAUAGAGAGCAGAGAGUUAUGAGCUUCCUCCAUGAUUACCUUCCUAAGAUCACCUUUCGGGACGACAAGGCGAUCCUCGAAGAACAACGUGUCUCUGGCAUCGACAGUGAAGCACUUAUACUUGGGGAGACUCUUUCCCACGGCAAUCUUGACCUUCUUCACCAUAGCGUCAAGAAGUUGUGCUGCUCGGACCUGAUCUUCCAAGGUAGGAGAGAUCUGAAGGUUUGCAAGAAAUCCCUGAGGUACUAGCUGAAGGUUGAGAUUCCUGAAAGACUCACAAAGACCAGGCUGGAGAGGUUGCACAAUCAGACUAUUGCAAUAUGCCUUCCUGCUCAAAGCAUCCUCCACGACAUUAGCUUUGCCUGGCGUGUACUCAACACUCGGAUUAAAAUCCUGGAGCAUUUCCACCCAACGUGUUUGCUGAAGAUUCAAGUUAGACUGAGUGAAGAUGUACUUGAGACUCUUGUGAACGGCGAAACUUCAACCUUACGUUCCAACAAGAGGUGUCUCCAAGUCAUCGGAGCAUGUACCACAGCUGCUAGCUCAAGAUCAUGCACAGGAUAGUUCUUCUCCGCUGGCUUCAACUGCCUGGAGGUAUAAGCAACCACCUUCUUAUCUUGCAUCUGGACCGCACCAAGACCCUGGAGAGAAGCGUCGCAGAAGACCUGGUAAGGCAUGGAAUCAUCCGGAGGGACCAAGACAGGAGUGGAGGUAAGCUUCUCUUUGAGUGUAUCGAAGGCCAGUUGACACAAUGGAGACCAAGCAUACUUAACACCCUUCUGAAGAAGACUUGAGAGCGGCUUGGCGAUCUUGGAGAAGUUCUCAAAAAACCUUCCUCAAUAUCCAGCAAGCCCAAGAAAGCUUCGAAGCUCCUUCACAUUCUGCGGAGGCUCCCAUUCAACAAUGGCCUGAACCUUGGACGGAUCGACUUUAAUGCCCUCGGCAGAGAUAAUGUGCCCAAGAUACACCACUUCUUUCAGCCAGAACUCGCACUUGGAAAACUUAGCAUACAGCUUGUACUCUCUCAGCUUAUCAAGCACCAAUCUGAGAUGUUCUUCAUGUUCUUCCUCAGUUUGAGAAAAGACCAGAAUGGCGUCGAGGUAGAGCAAGACAAAGUCAUUCUUGAACGGAGAGAAUAUGUAGUUCAUCAAUCGACAGAAUGUCGGAGGAGCAUUUGCCAGACCAAAAGACAUGACCAUAUACUCAUACGAGCCAAAACUAGUCCUGAAGGCAGUCUUCGGAAUAUCUUCCUCGCGAAUGUGAAUUUGAUGAUAGCCCAUUCUAAGAUCAAGCUUGGAGAAGACCUUAGCACCUUUCAACUGUUCGAAAAACUCAGUUAUGUUCGGAAGUGGAUAUUUGUUCCUGAUUGUCUUCUUAUUCAAUGGGAAGUAAUCUACACACAGUCGGUCCGUGCCAUCCUUCUUCUUGACAAACAGAACACCACAGCCCCACGGAGACGAGCUUGGUCUGAUCAAACCCAAACUCUCCUGCUCAUCGAGUUGCCUCAUAAGUUCCUUCAAUUCUUCUGGGCCCAGCUUGUACAGUCGUUUGCACACUCGCUCUGUGCCUGGCUCAAGCUCAAUGACAAACUGAACUUCACGGUGCGGAGGCAUGCCUGGAAGUUCUUUAGGAAAUACAUCUUCAUACUCGCAGACCACUGGGAGUUGCGAGAUAGGAUUGAUCUCACCCUUUUCAUACAAAGAGAACAGACGGAUUGUAUCAUCACGCGCCGGGAAUAUAAUCACGUCCUCCGAAGAGUGGGUAAGCUUCACUUCUUUGGCUUCACAAUCAAUUGACGCCUUGUUCAUGGCUAGCCAGUCCAUACCAAGAAUAAACUCGAUGUCGGAAUUGCCCAAGACAAUAGGAGACGCCAGAAAAGCAUAAGCACCCAUCUUGACAGAAAUAUCAGGAACGAACAAACUAGAACUCAAAGGCUUUGCAGGAGAAACGACUGCCAACGGCUUAGGCAACUGCUCCUGACGCAGAUUAUGCUUGGAUGCAAAUGGAUAUGACACGAAGCAAUGCGAAGCACCAGAAUCAAAUAAAACUUUAGCAGGAAUAUCAUUGACGAGGAGGUUACCCAUGAUCACAUCUGACGAGUUCUCUGCCUUAGCUGCAUUCACCAUGUUGACUCGAGCUGAUCUAUGGUUGAACUUGACAAGAGCGUUGCUUGGAGGUUUGCCUGGAGGAGGAGGCGGCAGUCGGAGCUGAGAAAUACACUUGUUGGCAUAGUGGCCCUUCUGCCCACACUUGUGACAAGUGACAUCUGCUGGCUGCCGGUACUGAGUCUGAGGAGGCCCUUGCUUGUGAUGUUGGUAUCUCUGCUGGAAAACAGGGUUGGGUGGGUGGGAAGAACCACGACCACCUGAGUGCUUGAGCUGCUGCGAGUGCCGAGGAGGAGGACGAGAAACCCAAAACUUCUGUUGCUUCUGAACCACCUGAGUCGAGGAAGAGCUGGAAUCUCUGAAGCGCUUCUUAGAAUUCUCCACCCUGAGCAAGGCUGCCUCUGCUGUGAGAGAUAGGUUGUAGAACUUGUCGAACUCCUCAGGAUCGUGCAAGGCAAGAGCUAACUACAAAUCUUCUUUCAAGCCACCUUUGAACUGAUAAAUCUUGCUCUUGUGAUCAGGGAUAUCCUGCAACGUGUAACAGGCCAGCUCAUGGAACUAAACGUUGUACUUGUACACGGAAAUGCCACCCUGCUUCAAACGCCUGAACUUCUCAUGCAUCUCCUCCACGAAACUGGAAGGGAUGUACUGGGACCUGAAAUCACGACAGAACUCAUCCCAAGAAAUCACCCUAGCACCACUGGAGUCCUUCAGUUGCUGCCACCAUAUAGAAGCCUACCCCUUCAACUGAAACGUUGCAAACUUGACAUAAUCCUCCGGACGCACAUUGCUACACUCAAAAUGUUUGUUCAUAUCACGGAUCCAAUCUUUUGCAUCAAAUGGCUGGUCGCAUGAAGUGAACGUCUUUGGUUGGUUUGACAGGAACUGACUCAGACUCGCAAACUGAUUGCCACCAUGCAGGAAAUUGCAUGGUUGUUGGUUGGCUCUCUCUUGCAGCAACUGUAUCAGCAUCUGGGUGUUUGCAUUAGUAGCACCAUCACCGCUUGCCAGGCCUCUGCAGGAGGAGGAGGCGGCGGAGGGUUCUUCGGAGGGGGAGGUGGAGGAAGCAUAUCCUCACGCCCUGGAUUCUGACGAGUCGGUGGAGCCAUCCUGAAGAUGGACAGCAUAUUAGCCCACAGAAUAAUUGAAGAUAUUGUUGAAUCAAAAGACAGGAAUAUCUUAACAGGAAUAAGCAAUGCACUCGAACAAAUUAGUAAGAAUGCUUCCUGAAAGUGAUGGACGACACAAUUCCGAUUAGGACCACUUCAAACAAGUAUGAGCUAGAACUGCUCGGAACAAACAUACGAUCGAGAUUUCCCCAACCUCAAUCAUGCAUCUGUAGGAAGAUAGUCCUAUAAGAUACUACUUGAUAUCCCACCUAAGAAUUCCCGAAAUAACUGGUCAUGCAAUCUGGUACACGGAUACAAGGAGUAAUAUCACACAACUCCUAAAGUAACCCAUCACCUGUAUCACAUCCUUCAACACACAACCAGCAUCUCGGACCUUCAUCUACCACAGACCCUCGUGGUCACAACGAUACCAAGUAUGGUAGUACUCCCGAACAAUCUACACCAGUACUAGGGACAUCAGGGUUAUCUCGCCACUACCGGUAUUGAAGCAAUAACGAACAUCCUUCGUUCUUAGAUACUCAUAAAUCUGAAUGAUGGCGAUGUGUGCAAGAGUCCCCUGGAGCUCAACUCCCCGGAAGAAACUCAAAGCAGAGAGGAGGCACCAAGGCAGGACUCUGUCACAUCGAAAUCAUAUAGAUUUCACAAAUACCCGCGUGAUCCUAAAAAAAAUUUGAGCGAGAAAAGGAGUAGAGUUAAAGAUUUCCUAAGUCGGGAACCUCACCAGAGCAUAGAAGAGGAGAAAAAAGAAUCCUACUCUCUAAUAUAACUAAGACUCAAAACAUUUUACUAGACUCGACUCGGCCAAGUACGAUCACACAAAGGCUCCUAUGGUCGUAAGGCUCUGAUACCAACUUGUAACGACCAAGAUGCGGUCCUUUCCGAUCUGGGGAUCGAGGCCCCGAAUUGGAAAGGAGUGCAUCUAAGCGUCUCGCAAACAGGUAACACAGCACAUACAUAAUAAUAAUAAAGAGACAAUCAAGGGUUCAAUUGCCUUCUCAUAAAUAUAUCAGAGUACAUCACGCAUACAAUCAAAGUAGUUCCGCUACGGACUACAAACAAGAGAAAGUGGCUAUGCUACCCUGCCUGCUGACCCAUGAUCACGACCACGCCUCAAUCUUCUGGAUAGUUCACGUACAGGCAGUCGGUCUCCUCAUCGUACUGCCAAGCCAGCUGCAUGCCGUCGGGAUCACCUGUCUCUAGGGUACCUAAACCUGUUGGUAUUGUGGAGGAAUCCGUGAGCCACGGGGACUCAGCAAUCUAAGACCUUGGUGCCAGAACUAGUCAAAUUAUUAGGUUGGAUAGGGUAGAGUGUUUAAGGUUGCAGCAUCCUAAGCUUGAAAUGGUGGCUAACUUACGUAGAGCAUUUAUGAAGGUGGACUAUACUAGCGGUCGAGAAUACUUGAUCACUAAGUGAUCCUGAACACCUACCCACGUCAUUCAUAACCCCACCGUGUUCCCGAUCGAAGAGAGAUCUCCAAGGGGACAGUCACGGUUACGAACACGGUUGGCAAUUUUAUUAGCUUAUGUUAAAGUUAUCUAAUACCGGAUGUUAACAAAAUAUUCCAAGUUGCCACAUAACCGCGGGCACGGCUUCCCAAAAGAUUAAACCCUGCAGGGGUGCUCCAACUAGUCCAUCACAAACGUACACGGGCCGCAAAGUAAUCCUCUAUCACGAAUCUCGUGAUCUCGUCGGAUCCCUUAGAGGAAAACCUCAACUCUGGAGGAACCAAAACUUCACCGGGAUUCCUAUACACAAGAUAUAUCGCUAAGGUAAGGCAAGACUAGCAGGACCUCCCGUCGUNNNNNNNNNNCACACGGUUGGCAAUUUUAUUAGCUUAUGUUAAAGUUAUCUAAUACCAGAUGUUAACAAAAUAUUCCAAGUUGCCACAUAACCGCGGGCACGGCUUACCAAAAGAUUAAACCUUGCAGAGGUGCUCCAACUAGUCCAUCACAAACGUACAUGGGCCGCAAAGUAAUCCUCUAUGACGAAUCUCGUGAUCUCGUCGGAUUCCUUAGAGGAAAACCUCAACUCUGGGGGAACCAAAGCUUCACCGGGAUUCCUAUACGCAAGAUAUAUCGCUAAGGUAAGGCAAGACUAGCAGGACCUCCCGUCGUGUCGACGACCCCGAUAAGAGCCGCGUAUCUCAGUCUCAGGACACGAAAAGCCUACAAGAGCCAAACCUCAAGUUUCCCUGUGGUGGCCCCCACAGUCUGUCCAUUUUGGGCCAACACUCAUGAGGAGCACUGGCCCGGGUUGUUGAUUAAAGAUCCUCGGGUGAUCAUUUCCUAUGCAUAUUAUUAUUAAGUGAUUAGCAAAUUAACACCAAUGUUGGGUCCUGCCGGACAAGUCUUAGCACUAAGCGAUUUAUCGAGGGGGUCCCCAUAACAACCCCGAACGUCUUAGGAGCGAUCAAUAUGGAAUCAAACACCGGUAACCGGUAACUAUGGCGGCAAUAACGGAACAAAGCACCCGGCAAAAUGCUAGGCCUUCCGUCAUUUACCAAGUAUAUAGGUGCAUUAAUUAAAUAACAGAAUUUAAGAUAAUGACAUCAAGCUCAUGUUAUCACAUGAGUCAAAGCACCUGCAUCUAGCAACGCUAACAUUAGUAGCUGAGCAAAGCCUACUUAGCCAUUCAAGUUUGCUGGGAAGGGAUCAGUGUUUGGGUUCAUGGCAUAUCAAGAGGCAAAUAUUUCAGUGGUAGGCAGUGAGGAUAUGACAAAGGAAAUGUAAUAUAGCAUAACAAUUCUAGAGAUGGAAUCAAGGUCAUAUCAUCUUGCCUGUGAUAUCCUCAGCUUGGAAUGGUUCUUGAUCAUCCUGCACAUACUCUCCGGACUCCACGUACUCGUUCUCCGAUCCCGGUGCUAUCCAACAUAAGAAUAUCAUCCAAUGAACAACAUCACCUCAAGAUGCAACAAGCACAUGAUGCAUGAGAUGAAUAUGAGCAUGCAUCACUAUUUCUAUCACUAGCACAAGCAUANNNNNNNNNNNNNNNNNNNNNNNNNNNNNNNNNNNNNNNNNNNNNNNNNNNNNNNNNNNNNNNNNNNNNNNNNNNNNNNNNNNNNNNNNNNNNNNNNNNNCUUGCUACGUUUCACCUUGCUACACAAUCACUUGUUACCGCUUCUUUCAGGGCUUUCAGUUAUUACCUUGCUGAAAUCCAUUUAUCAGAGCCUUCUGCUCCUCGUUGGGUUCGACACUCUUACUUAUCGAAAGGACUACGAUUAAUCCCCUAUACUUGUGGGUCAUCAAGACUCUUUUCUGGCGACGUUGCCGGGGAGUUUUGCACCUUUGGUAAGUGGAAAUUGGUAAGGAAACAUUUAUAUACUGUGCUGAAAUUUAUUGUCACUUGUCACUAUGGAAACUGUUUCUUUGAGGAGUUUGUUCGGGGUAUCUUCACGACGAACGGAAGCACGAGGAGUUGCUCCUCAACCUGAGGUACCUAGUGAAAAUAUCUUUUAUGAAAUUCCUUCAGGUAUGCUUGAGAAACUUCUGGCUAAUCCUUUGACAGGAGAUGGAUCUUCACAUCCACACUUGCAUCUAAUCUAUGUAGAUGAAGUUUGUGGUUUAUUUAAGCUUGCAGCUUUGCCCGAGGAUGAGGUAAAGAAGAAAGUCUUUCCUUUAUCUUUGAAGGAUAAGGCGUUGACAUGGUAUAGGCUUUGUGAUGACACUGGAUCAUGGGGCUACAAUCGGUUGAAAUUGGAAUUUCAUCAAAAGUUCUAUCCUAUGCAUUUAAUACAUCGUGAUCGGACUUUAUUUAUAAAUUUUGGCCUCGUGACAAGGAAAGCAUAGCUCAAGCUUGGGGGAGGCUUAAAUCAAUGCUAUAUUCAUGCCCCAAUCAUGAGCUCUCGGGAGAAAUCAUCACUCAAAACUUUUAUGCUCGGCUUUCUCAUGAAGAUCUUACCAUGCUUGACACUUCUUGUACCGGUUAUUUUAUGAAGAAGGAUAUUGAUCACAAGUGGAAUUUAUUGGAGAGAAUCAAACGCAACUCUGAAGAUUGGGAGCUGGAGGAAGGUAAGGAGUCAGGUAUGAAUUUCCAGUUUGAUUGCGUUAAAUAUUUUGUUGAGACAAACACUUCUAGAGAUUUUAGCGCUAAGUAUGGACUUGACUCUGAGAUAGUAGCUUCUCUAUGUGAAUCUUUUGCUGCUCAUGGUAAUCUUCCCAAAGAGAAGUGGUUUAAAUAUCAUCCUCCUAUAGAAAGCAACAUAGCCAAAACCAAUCUAGUUGAGGAGAAAGUCAUUGCUUUUAGUGAUCCUAUUGUUCCUUGUGCUUACACUGAGAAACCACCAUACCCUGCUAGGAUAAAGGAUUAUUCUAAAGCUCCAACUGUGAUACGUAGGGGUUACAUUAGAUCACUUGCACCCCCUGAGGAGAUUAGAGUUGAACCUAGUGUUGCUAUUAUCAAAGAUCUCUUAGCCGAAGACAUAGAUGGGCAUGUUAUCAAAUUCUGUGAGGACUCCGCUAGAAUUGCUAAACCUNNNNNNNNNNCACGGACCUGUAGUUGGCCUGCCCGUUGUUUCUGUUAAGAUAGGAGAUCACUGUUACCAUGGUUUAUGUGAUAUGGGAGCUAGUGUUAGUGCAAUACCCCGUUCUCUAUAUGAUGAAAUCCAAGAUGAGAUUGCACCUGCUGAGUUAGAACCCAUCGAUGUCACUAUUACGCUAGCUAAUAGAGACACUAUCUACCCUGUGGGAAUUAUGAGAGACGUAGAAGUCCUGUGUAGUAAGAGGAAGUAUCCUACUGAUUUCCUCAUCCUUGGUACUGCACAAGAUAGCUUUUGUCCCAUCAUAUUCGGUAGACCCUUUCUCAACACUGUCAAUGCUCACAUUGAUUGCAUUAAGCAGACUGCCACAGUAAGUUUCGAGUGUGUGUCUCAUGAAUUUAACUUCUCCAUGUUUGGAAGACAAACCCAUGAAAGAGAGUCGUCUGGUAGAGAUGAAAUCAUUGCUCUUGCCUCUAUUGCCAUACCUCCUACAGAUCCUUUAGAGAAAUAUCUGCUUGAGCAUGAAAAUGAUAUGCAUAUGGAGGAGAGAGAUGAGAUAUAUAAAAUUGUCUUAGAACAAUAUCCUAUUCUCAAGAAUAAUCUGCGUGUUGAACUGCUUGGGGAUCCUCCCCCACCAAAGGGUGAUCUUGUGUUCGAGCUUAAACAGUUGCCUGAUACUCUUAAGUAUGCCUAUCUUGAUGAGAAGGAGAUAUAUCCUAUCAUUAUUAGUGCUCUCCUCUCAUAGUGCAAAGAGAAGAAGUUACUAAAAACUCUGAGGAAGCACCGCGCUGCUAUUGGAUAUACUCUUGAUGAUCUUAAGGGUAUUAGUCCUACUCUAUGUCAGCACAAGAUUAAAACGGAUCCUGACUUUAAACCAGUUGCUGAUCAUCAAAGGAGAUUAAAUCCUAAGAUGAAAGAGGUCGUUAGAAAAGAAAUAUUAAAGCUUCUGGAAGCAGGAAUCAUUUAUCAUGUUGCUCAUAGUGAUUGGGUAAGUCGAGUACAUUGCGUACCUAAGAAGGGAGGUAUCACCGUCGUUCCCAAUGAUAAGAAUGAACUAAUCCCACAAAGGAUUAUUACCGGCUAUAGAAUGGUGAUAGACUUCCGGAAACUGAACAAGGAAACCAGGAAAGAUCAUUAUCCUUUGCCGUUCAUCGACCAAAUGCUAGAAAGGCUAUCAAAACACACACACUUCUGCUUUCUAGACGGUUAUUCAGGUUUCUCGCAAAUACCUGUUGCACAAUCUGAUCAAGAGAAAACCACUUUCACCUGCCCUUUCGGUACCUUUGCCUAUAGAUGUAUGCCUUUUGGCUUUUGUAAUGCACCUGCCACCUUCCAAAGAUGUAUGAUGGCUAUAUUCUCUGACUUUUGUGAAAAGAUCGUCGAGGUUUUCAUGGAUGACUUCUCCGUUUACGGGUCUUCCUUUGAUGAUUGCCUCAGCAACCUUGAUCGAGUCUUACAGAGAUGCAAAGAAACCAACCUCGUCUUGAAUUGGGAGAAGUGCCACUUUAUGGUUAAUGAAGGUAUCGUCUUAGGACACAAAAUUUCUGAGAGAGGCAUUGAAGUUGAUAAGUCUAAGGUUGAUGCAAUUGAGAAAAUGCCUUGCCCCAUAGAUAUCAGAGGUAUACGAAGUUUCUUAGCUCAUGUUGGUUUCUAUAGAAGGUUCAUUAAAGACUUCUCUAAGAUUUCUAGGCCUCUUACCAACGUCUUGCAGAAGGAUGUUCCUUUUGUUUUUUAUGAGGAUGUUCCUUUUGUUUUUGAUAAGGUAUUGCAAUCAGGUUUCUAUUUGCCCACUCUCUUCAAGGAUGCCCGUAAGUUUGUUUUGUCUUGUGACGAAUGCCAAAGGAUAGGGAACAUCAGUAAGCAUCAAGAGAUGCCUAUGAACUAUUCACUUGUCAUUGAACCAUUUGAUGUCUGGGGCUUUGAUUAUAUGGGACCCUUCCCGACUUCCAAUGUGUACACUCACAUCUUAGUUGCUGUGGAUUACAUUACUAAGUGGGUAGAAGCUAUCCCCACUAAAAAUGUUGAUCACCACACCUCUAUUAAGAUGCUUAAAGAAGUCAUAUUCCCAAGAUUUGGAGUCCCUAGAUACUUGAUGAAUGAUGGCGGUUCACACUUCAUUCAUGGUGUUUUCCGCAAGAUGCUAGCUAAGUAUGAUGUCAACCAUAGAGUUGCAUCUCCUUAUCAUUCUCAGUCUAGUGGUCAAGUUGAGUUGAGUAAUAGGGAGAUCAAGUUGAUCCUACAAAAGACCGUCAAUAGAUCUCGAAAGAACUAGUCUAGCAAACUUGACGAUGCACUAUGGGCUUAUAGGACUGCUUAUAAGAAUCCCAUGGGCAUGUCAUCGUAUAAAAUGGUUUACGGUAAGGCCUGUCAUUGACCUCUUGAGCUGGAACACAAAGCUUAUUGGGCAAUCAAAGAGCUCAACUUUGAUUUCAAACUUGCCGGUGAGAAGCGGUUGUUUGAUAUCAGCUCGUUAGAUGAAUGGAGAGCCCACGCGUAUGAGAAUGCCAGGUUGAUCAAGGAAAAGGUUAAGAGAUGGCACGACAAACGAAUACAGAAACGAGAGUUCAGUGUAGGUGAUUAUGUCUUGCUAUACAAUUCUCAUUUGAGAUUCUUNNNNNNNNNNNNNNNNNNNNNNNNNNNNNNNNNNNNNNNNNNNNNNNNNNNNNNNNNNNNNNNNNNNNNNNNNNNNNNNNNNNNNNNNNNNNNNNNNNNNUCGUGCCUUGCUGCCCCUUCUGUCACAGGGAAAGGACACCACACGGUAUGAACCCAAAACCAAGCACUUAUUCCAUUGCAAGAAUCAUAGAUCUAGUUGGCCAAACAAAACCCAAGACUCGGAGAGACUUACAAGGAUAUCAAAUCAUGCAUAUAAGAAAUCAACAAAGACUCAAAUAUAUAUCAUAGAUAAUCUGAUCACAAAUCCACAAUUCAUCGGAUCUCGACAAACACACAGCCAAAGAGGAUUACAUCAGAUAGAUCUCCAUGAAGAUCAUGGAGAACUUUGUAUUGAAGAUCCAAGAGAGAGAACAAGCCAUCUAGCUACUAACUACGAACCCGUAGGUCUGAAUUGAACUACUCACGAGUCAUUGGAGGGACGAUGAUGUUGAUGAAGAAGCCCUCCAACUCCUAAGUCCCCUCCGGCAGGGCACUGGGAAGGGUCUCCAGAUGAGAUCUCGCAGAAACGGAAGCUUGCGGCGGCGGAAAAGUGUUUUCGUGGAUUCCUUGAUUUUUUCUGGAUUUUUAGGGAAUUUAUAGGCCAAAGACCUAGGGCAGGGGAGCGCUAGGGGGGCCACAAGCUUGGUUGCCGCGGCCUCCCCCCUGGUCGCGGCAGCAGGGCUUGUGGGCCCCCUGUAGCCCACANNNNNNNNNNNNNNNNNNNNNNNNNNNNNNNNNNNNNNNNNNNNNNNNNNNNNNNNNNNNNNNNNNNNNNNNNNNNNNNNNNNNNNNNNNNNNNNNNNNNCACGACCUCUUUCAUCCUAGGAUUUAAGCUCCUUUGAUGAUCAGCAACUGGCUUAGAAUCAGGAUCAAUUUUAAUCUUGUGCUGACAUAGAGUGGGACUAAUACCCUUAAGAUCAUCAAGAGUAUAUACAAUAGCAGCAUGGUGCUUCCUCAAAGUUUUUAAUAACUUCUUCUCUUCGUGAUUCGAGAGGUGAGCACUAAUAAUAACAGGAUAUAUCUCCUUCUCAUCAAGAUAGGCAUACUUAAGAGUAUCUGGUAACUGUUUUAGCUCGAACACAGGAUCACCCUUUGGUGGGGGAGGAUCCCCAAGCAGUGCAAUAGGCAGAUUAUUCUUGAGAAUAGGAUAUUGUUCUAAAACAAUUUUAUCUAUCUCAUCUCUUUCAUCCAUAUGCAUAUCAUUCUCAUGCUCAAGCAGAUAUUGCUCUACAGGAUCCGUAGGAGGUACGGCAAUAGAGGCAACAACAAUGAUUUCAUCCCUACCAGAUGACUCUUUUUCAUGGGGUUGUCGUCCAAACUUGGAGAAGUUAAAUUCAUGAGACACACCCUCGAAACUAACACUGACAGUCUGUUUAAUGCAAUCAAUGUGAGCAUUGACAAUGUUGAGAAAGGGUCUACCAAAUAUGAUGGGACAAAAGCUAUCUUGUGUAGUGGCAAGGAUGAGGAAAUCACUAGGAUACUUCGUCUUACCACACAGGACUUCUACGUCUCUCACAAUUCCCACACGGCAGAUAGUGUCUCUAUUAGUUAGCGUAAUAGUGACAUCGAUGGGUUCUAACUCAGCAGGUGCAAUCUCAUCUUUGAUUUCAUCAUAUAGGGACCGGGGUAUUGCAUUAACACUAGCACCCAUAUCACAUAAACCAUGAUAACAGUGGUCUCCUAUCUUGACAUAAACAACAGACAGGCCAACUACAGGUCCGUAUUUGUCUUUCGCGUGAGGUUUAGCAAUUCUAGCGGAGUCCUCACAGAAUUUGAUAACAUGCCCGUCUAUGUCUUCGGCUAAGAGAUCUUUGAUAAUAGCAAGACUAGGUUCAACUCUAAUUUCCUCAGGGGGUGCAAGUGGUCUAAUGUAACCCCUACGUAUCGCAGUUGGUGAUUGAGAAUAAUCCUUUUUCCUAGCAGGGUAAGGUGGUUUCUCAGCGUAGGCACAAGGAACAAUAGGAUCACUAAAGGCAAUGACUUUCUCUUCAACGAGAUUGGGUUUAACUAUGUUGAUUUAUACAGGAGGAUGAUAUUUAAACCACUUCUCUUUGGGGAGAUCAACAUGAGCAGCAAAAGAUUCACAUAGAGAAGCUACUAUCCAGAGUCAAGUCCAUACUUAGCGCUAAAAUCUCUAGAAGUCUUUGUUUCAACAAAAGAGUUAACAGAAUCAAACUGGAAAUUCAUACCUGACUCCUUACCUUCUUCAAGCUCCCAAUCUUCAGAGUUACGUUUGAUUCUUUCCAAUAAAUUCCACAUGUGGUCAAUAUCCUUCUUCAUAAAAGAACUGGUACAAGAAGUGUCAAGCAUGGUACGAUCUUCAUGAGAAAGCCGAGCAUAAAAGUUGUGAGUGAUAAUUUCUCUCGAGAGCUCAUGAUUGGGGAAUGAAUAUAGCAUUGAUUUAAGCCUCCCCCAAGCUUGAGCUAUGCUUUCCCUGUCACGAGGCCAAAAGUUAUAAAUAUAAUUCCGAUCACGAUGUACUAAAUGCAUAGGAUUAAACUUUUGAUGAAAUUCCAAUUUCAACCGAUUGUAGUCCCAUGAUCCAGUAUCAUCACAUAGCAUAUACCAUGUCAACGCCUUAUCCUUCAAAGAUAAAGGAAAUAAUUUCUUCUUUACCUCAUCCUCGGGCAAACCUGCAAGCUUAAAUAAACCACAAACUUCAUCUACAUAGAUUAGAUGCANNNNNNNNNNCUGGAUGUGAAGAUCCAUCUCCUGUAAAAGGAUUAGCCAACAGUUUCUCAAGCAUACCCGAAGGAAUUUCAUAAAAGAUAUUUUUAGUAGGUACCUCAGGUUGAGGAACAACUCCUCGUGCUUCCGUUCGUGGUGAAGAUACCCCGAACAAAUUCCUCAAAGGAACACUUUCCAUAGUGACAAGUGACAAUAAAUUUCAGCACAGUAUAUAAAUGUUUCCUUACCAAAUUCCACUUACCAAAGGCGCUUUCCUCCCGCCAACGGCGCCAGAAAAGAGUCUUGAUGACCCACAAGUAUAGGGGAUCAAUCAUAGUACUUUCGAUAAGUAAGAGUGUCGAAUCCAACGAGGAGGAGAAGGCUCAGAUAAACGGUUUUCAGCAAGGUAAUANNNNNNNNNNGCAUGCCCUGAAAGUAGCGGUAACAAGUGAUGGUGUAGUGAGGUGAAAUGUACCAAGCGAAAAUUAACAAGUGACAAGUAGUAGCAACGGUGCAGAAAAGUGGCCCAAUCCCUUUUGUAGCAAGGGACAAGCCUGAGCAAAGUCUUAUAAGAGGAAAAACGCUCCCGAGGACACACGGGAAUUUCUGUCAUGCUAGUUUCAUCAUGUUCAUAUGAUUCGCGUUCGUUACUUGGAUAGUUUGAUAUGUGGGUGGACCGGCACUUGGGUACUGCCCUUACUUGGAAAAGCAUCCCACUUAUGAUUAACCCCUCUCGCAAGCAUCCGCAACUACAAAAGAAGAAUUAAGACAACGUCUAACCAUAGCAUUAAACUAGUGGAUCCAAAUCAGCACCUUAUGAAGCAACGCAUAGACUGGGGUUUAAGCUUCUGUCACUCUAGCUACCCAUCAUCAACUUACUACUCCCCAAUGCCUUCCUCCAAGCCCAAAUAUGGUGAAGUGUUAUGUAGUCGAUGUUCACAUAACACCAUUAGAGGAAAAACAACAUACAACAUAUCAAAAUACUGAACGAAUACCAAAUUCACAUGACUAUUAUCAGCAUGACUUAUCCCAUGUCCUCAGGANNNNNNNNNNNNNNNNNNNNNNNNNNNNNNNNNNNNNNNNNNNNNNNNNNNNNNNNNNNNNNNNNNNNNNNNNNNNNNNNNNNNNNNNNNNNNNNNNNNNNNNNNNNNNNNNNNNNNNNNNNNNNNNNNNNNNNNNNNNNNNNNNNNNNNNNNNNNNNNNNNNNCCGGAGUUGCGAGAUAGAGAUUGGUUACAAGAGAUGAACUAGGGUUUGGCGAGGAGAUUGUGCUGAUGAAGAUGUUGAUGGAGAUGACUCCCCUCCAACGAGACGAGUGUUGGUGAUCACGAAGGCGAUGAUUUCCCCCUCCGGGAGGGAAGUUUCCCCGGCAGGAUCGUCCUGUCGGAGCCCUAGAUUGGUUCUGGUCAAGUUCUGCCUCGUGGCAGCGGCAAAUCCACGAAAAAGUUACACCCUGAUUUUUUUCUUGGAGGAAACCCUUCAUACAACAAAAGAGGGGGGCCAGUGGGCCACCAGGGUGCCCACAAGCCCUGUUGCCGUGGCCAGGGGGUAGGCCGCGGCAACCGGGCUUGUGGGCCCCUGGCUACUCCCCUCUAACACUUCUUUCGCCCAGCAUUUUUUAUAUAUUCCCAAAAAAAUCCACGUUGAUUUUCAGGGCCUUUGGAGUUGCACAGAAUAGAGGACUUAGACUUGCUCCUUUUCCAGUCUAGAAUUCUAGCUGCCGGUAUUCUCCCUCUUCAAAUAAACCUUGCAAAAUAAGAGAGAAAUGGCAUAAGUAUGGUUCCACAAAGUAUAAUAACAGUCCAUAAAGCGAUAAAUAUCAACAUGAAAGCAUGAUGCAAAAUGGACAUAUCAAGUCCAAACGGAACGAAACUGCCAAAAAGAUAUUUCCAAAACAGAAGAAGAUCGGGAAGCCUGAGAAUUAGGGCAGGGGGCCUGCAGGGACCCAAUAAGCCCCCUAGCCGCGGCUAGGGGGGCCCGUGCCUCCCAGGCUUGUGGGCUCCCUGGUCCACCUCUGCCCUAGGAAUUUCGCCUAUAAAUUCCCUAAAAUCCCAGAAAAAAUCAGGAGAUCAUCGAAAGUACUUUUCCGCCGCCGCAAGGUUCUGUCUCCGCAAGAUCCCAUCUGGGGCACGUUUUGGUGCCCUGCCGGAGGGGGGAUUCAGACACGGAGGGCUUAUUCAUCAAUACCAUGACCUCUCCGAUGAUGCGUGAGUAGUUCACCAUAGACCUACGGGUCCAUAGCUAGUAGCUAGAUGGCUUCUUCUUUCUCUUGGAUCUUCAAUACAAACUUCUCCAUGAUCUUUAUGGAAAUCUAUCCGAUGUAAUCUUCUUUUGCGGUGUGUUUGUCGAGAUCCGAUGAAUUGUGGAUUUAUGAUCAGAUUAUCUAUGAAUCUUAUUUGAGUUUCUUCUGAUCUCUCUUAUGCAUGAUUUCAUAUCUUUGUAAAUCUCUUUGAGUUGUGGGUUAUGUCUGGCCAACUAGAUCUAUGAUUAUUGCAAUGGGAGAAGUGCUUGGUUUUGGGUUCAUACCGUGCGGUGACCUCACCCAGUGACAGAAUGGGUAGCGAGGCACGCAUCAUGUUGUUGCCAUCAAGGGUAAGAAGAUGGGGUUUUCAUCAUUGGUUUGAGAUUAUCCCUCUACAUCAUGUCAUCUUGCUUAAGGCGUUACUCUGUUCGUCAUCAACUCAAUACACUAGAUGCAUGCUGGAUAGCGGUCGAUGUGUGGAGUAAUAGUAGUAGAUGCAGAUAGUAUCGGUCCACUUGUCUCAGACGUGAUGCCUAUAUGUAUGAUCAUUGCCUUAGAUAUCGUCAUGACUUUGCGCGGUUCUAUCAAUUGCUCGACAGUAAUUUGUUCACCCACCGUAAUAUUUGCUAAUUUGAGAGAAGCCUCUAGUGAACACUAUGGCCCCCGGGUCUACUCCACNNNNNNNNNNUUCUCGGACGUGAUGCCUAUAUGUAUGAUCAUUGCCUUAGAUAUUCCCUUAGAUGCAUGCUGGAUAGCGGUCUGCGCGGUUCUAUCAAUUGCUCGACAAUAAUUUGUUCACCCACCAUAAUAUUUGCUAUUUUGAGAGAAGCCUCUAGUGAACACUAUGGCCCCCGGGUCUACUCCACNNNNNNNNNNUUUUCAGCCUUACACUUUUACUUCGUUGCACUUUCCGCCUUCAGAUCUCACUUUGCAAUCAAUCUUGAAGGGAUUGACAACCCCUUUAUAGCGUUGGGUGCAAGCUCUUUGUGUUUGUGCAGGUACUCUGGACUUGACGAGAUUCUCCUGCUGGAUUGAUACCUUGGUUCUCAAACUGAGGGAAAUACUUACUGCUCGUGUGCUGCAUUACCCUUUCCUCUUCAAGGGAAAAACCGACGCAAGCAAGUCUCCGUCAACGUGUCAAUUUUUGGUGUUGUUGUUUGAGAAGUAGCAUAGCCGCACAUAUUUAUUAUAUAUAUAUGUUGUAUUUACACACGGUUACACAUAUUAAUAUACAACAUCAAUAAUUAUUGUGUUAGCAACUAUAUUUAGAUUAAAGUGGAUGGAUGUAAGUGAUCAUGUUGAAUUAGAAGAAAAUAUGAUGUUGCCUAUCGCAACAUCAUAUUUUCCUCUAAUUCAACUUGGUCACUUGCAUCCAUCCAGUUUAAUAAAAUAUAUGACAUAUAACUCAUCAUCAUCUUACUCAUUUAACAACGCAUCAACAUCUUAAUCAUACUAAGUUAAAAUUUCCUAAAACUAAAAAACAUCAUAAUAAUCAUCAUUCUAAUUGAUCAUGCCAAGUUAAUAUAAACUAGAAAAACUUCUCUCUCAUAGGACCUAAUCCUCUCUCCUAGGUAAAAUGUCAUAAAACAGAAUAACACAUAUGUCUCCGUGAUGAAGCAGAGAGAUCCAGUGGUCUUCCACUUGUGGCUUGCGAUCCUUAUUUAUUUCUCUCCAUGCUUCAAUUUGGAGCCUUUUUAUUUGCGCUCAGUCGAGUAUGGAGCAUCAAACUGAGCCCUCAAUGGGCUUUUAAUUGUCAUAUGACCUUUGUCGUGCAUCAAUAGAGACGGUACAUCAUUUGGCAGUUUUUGUUGAAGAACAUAAUAAUAACCUAGUUACCAAUGUAAUCAACAUCAUUUAUGCAAUAGUAGAGUGUACUUAAUUAGCAAACUCUUACCAAGAUAUUUCAACAAAUGUCAUCCGCCUUCAACCUAUGCACUAAUGGCAUGUAAAAUGUAUAAUUUGGGUCAGUUCUGAAAUCAUAUUUUCCUCUAAUUCAACUAGGUCACUUGCAUGCAUCCACUUUAAUCAAAUAUAUGACCUCUACCACAUCAUCAUCUUUCUCUUUUAAUAACAUACACACAUGUCCAAAUAGACCUAAUUAAAUAUCGGUUAUCUUUCGGUUAGUCGAGGCUUUCCUUAAAUAACUCUCAUAUCUGAUGGUGUGUAUAUGUUGGUGGACACUUUCUCACACUAAUAGUUCGACCUCGGUGAUGGGCGCUUCUCCUCUCCUCUCCUUGUGCAUUUUCCCAAGGUAUAUAUCGGAAGAAGAGAAGAAGGAGGAAGUGCGCCCCACGACAACAGUCGGGAUUCCUCUAUCAAGAACACACAUGAAAGUCAUACAAGGAGCAAUGACAAACCGAAAGAUGACCGAUAUUAUCAUUAAUACAUCUCGAAUAUUAUCAUAUAAUAUCACUAAUACAAAUCCAGUUGACGUCUCAUGGUGCAGGCGGUGGCAACCCAAAGAUAAUGAACCAUCACCGGAUCAUAGCUCGGGUGAUAUCCCUGAAGAACGUGCCAGGUAUUGGAGAACCUGGCAUCCAACGCAGCCAUCUAGCGACGGACGUGCUCGUCCUCCUCCCUGACACGGCGACGUACCACCUCCGUGGGUGCUGGCUCCCUCGGCACCAAUAGUGGCCCACGCGACCGCCACCAAAGAAGCUUCGGGUCGACGACGAGACACGGAUUCCUCACCAAGGUGUGUGAUACGUCUCAAACGCAUCUAUAUUUUUUAUGGUUUCUCGUUGUUAUCUUGUCAACUUUGGAUGUUUUGUUUACCUUUUAUAUCUUUUUUGGGACUAACUUAUUAAUUCAGUGCCAAGCGCCAGUUCCUGUGUUUUCUAUGUUUUUGACUCUUUUCAGAUCUGAUUUUGGAACGGAGUCCAAACGGAAUAAAAUCCCCGAAAUAUUUUUUUCCAGAACGGAAGAAUAUCGGGAGGCUUGAGGGCCAAGCAUGUGGGCUACAGGGGGCCCACAAGCCCUGCNNNNNNNNNNNNNNNNNNNNNNNNNNNNNNNNNNNNNNNNNNNNNNNNNNNNNNNNNNNNNNNNNNNNNNNNNNNNNNNNNNNNNNNNNNNNNNNNNNNNUGGUGCUGCCAGCUACGCUCUUACCAAAGAAGAGAAGGAAAUGUUCUUUGAAUGCCUACUCAGUAUGAGGGUCCCAUUUGGCUACUCGUCGAAUAUAAAGGGAAUAAUAAAUAUGGCAGGGGAAAAUUCCAGAACCAAAAGUCUCAUGAAUGCCACAUGAUUAUGACACAAUUUCUUCCGGUUGCAUUGAGGGGUCUUCCACAAGAAAACAUCCGAUUAGCCAUGGUGAAGCUAUGUGUAUUCCUCAAUGCAAUCUCUGAGAAGGUAAUCGAUCUAGAAAUCCUAACAAGUUUACAAAAUGAUUUUGUGCAGUGUCAUGGUGUUCCCACCAUCCAUCUUCAAUAUCAUGACGCACGUCCUAGUUCACCUAGUCAAAGAAAUUGCAAUUUCGGGCCCUGUAUUUGUACAUAGUACAUUCCCCUUUGAGAGGUUCAUGGGAGUCUUACAGAAAUAUGUUCAUAACGAUGCUAGGUCGGAAGGAAGCAUCUCCAAGGGCCAUGAAACAAAGGAGGUCAUUGAAUUUUNNNNNNNNNNCCGGGCACUGUAUUUAUACAUAGUACGUUCCCCUUUGAGAGGUUCAUGGGAGUCUUACAGAAACAUGUUCAUAACCAUGCCAGGCCAUAAGGAAGCAUCUCCAAGGGCCAUGAAACAAAGGAGGUCAUUGAAUUUUGCGUUGACUUUAUUCUUGACCUUCAGCCGAUUCGUAUUCCUGAAUCGCGGCGUGAGGGCGGACUGGGUGGAAAAGGCACGCUAGGAAAGGAUUCAGUAAUAUAUAGGGAGAGACAUUCUUGGGCAUGAUGUCCCACANNNNNNNNNNNNNNNNNNNNNNNNNNNNNNNNNNNNNNNNNNNNNNNNNNNNNNNNNNNNNNNNNNNNNNNNNNNNNNNNNNNNNNNNNNNNNNNNNNNNAUAUUGUCACUCCGGGGUUGCCGGGUCAUAACACAUAGUAGGUGACUUCAACUUGCAAGAUAGGAUCUAAAACACACAUAUAUUGGCGACAACAUAAUAGGUUCAGAUCUGAAAUCAUGGCACUCGGGCCCUAGUGACAAGCAUUAAGCAUAGCCAAGUAGUAGCAACAUCAAUCUAGAACAUAGUGGAUACUAGGGAUCAAUCCCCNNNNNNNNNNGAUGAUAGAUCUCAUCCAACUCAUCACCGUCCAGCAAGCCUACAAUGAGAUUACUCACGAAUGAUGAAGAGCAUCAUGUAAUUGUCGAUGGAGGAAGGUUGAUGAUGACGAUGGCGACGAUCUCCCCUCUCCGGAGCCCAAAAUGGACUCCAGAUCUGCUGUCACGCCCAAGAUGCGACCCUAUCCUCAAUUUGGCACGAGGGCCUCGUCAGGGAUAGAAGCGCAUCUCGUCGUGUCGCAAGAAUGGAUAUCGUUACAAGUACAUGUACUGAAAAGAGGAGAUAUAUAAAGAGUUGGCUUACACUCGCCACAAGCUACAUCAGAGUCACAUCACUACAUUACAUAAUCAUCAAGAGUAAGCGCAGGGUCCGACUACGGACGAAAACAAAGGAUAAAAGAAAGAACGACGUCCAUCCUUGCUAUCCCAGGCUGCCGGCCUGGAACCCAUCCUAGAUCGAUGAAGAAGAAGAAGAAGAAGAAGAAGCAACUCCAAAUGAACAAUCAACGCGCUCGCGUCAAGUAAUCUUUACCUGCACCUGCAACUGGUGUUGUAGUAAUCUGUGAGCCACGGGGAACUCAGCAAUCUCAUUUCCAAAGGUAUCAAGACUAGCAAAGCUUAAUGGGUGAGGUAUGGUAAAGUGGUGAGGUUGCAGCAGCGACUAAGCACAUAUUUGGUGGCUAACUUACAAGUAUAAGAAUGUGAGGGGGAAGAUCUACGCAUAACGGACGUGUACUACUGAUGAUCGAAUGAAUGAUCCUGAACACCUACCUACGUCAGACAUAACCCCACCGUGUCCUCGAUCGGAGAAGGAACUCACGAAAGAGACAGUCACGGUUACGCACACAGUUGGCAUAUUUUUUUAAUUAAGUUAACUUCAAGUUAUCUAGAACCAGUGUUAAACAAGUUUUCCAAGUUGCCACAUAACCGCGGGCACGGCUUUCCAAAAGAUUUAACCCUGCAGGGGUGCUCCAACUAAUCCAUCACAAAUUACCACAAGCCGCAUAGAAAUCCUCAAUCACGAAGCUCGCGAUCUCGUCGGAUUCCCUAGUGGAAAACCUCAACUCUGAGAUUACCCAAAGCAUCACCGGAAUCCCGAUGCACAAGAUAUCUCGUCAAAGGUAAAACUAAUCCAGCAAGGCCACCCGGUGUGUCGACGAACCCGAUAGGAGCCGUGUAUCUCGUUUUCAGGACACACCGUCUAUGCAAAGUGGACGAGAACCAAACCUCGAGUUGCCCCGUGGUGGCACCGCCGACUGCUAGGUAGGUGGACCAACACUCAUGAGGAGCACUGGCCCGGGGGUUGAUUAAAUUAGUCCGCGGGUGCCGGCGGGUCCCUAUGCAUUAUUAUUAGGUUAUUAGGCAAAUGUAGCACCAAAGUUGGGCCUUGCCAGACCAGCUUUAAUCUAAAACGAAUUAUCAAGGGGGUCCCCAUAACAAUCCCGAUCGUGUUAGGAGCGCUCAUUUAUGGAACAUAACACCGGUAGCCGGAAACUAAGGGGGCAAAGGUGGAACAAAACACCAGGCUAGAAAGGCCGAGCCUUCCCCUUUUACCAAGUAUAUAGGUGCAUUAAAUUAAAUAGCAUUUAAUAUGGUGAUAUAACAAGGAACCCAUGUUUUCACAUGGAAGCAACUGCACCUGCAACUAGCAACGCUAUCAACAGGAUUAAACAAGCGGUAACAUGGCCAAUCAGUAGUUUGCUAGGUCGAACAUGUUGAAGGUUAACAUGCCAUGGUUGAGAGGCUGAUAUUUAACAUGUGGUAGGCAACGAGACAUAACGACAGAAACGAAAUAACUAGCAUGGCAAUGAUAGUAAUGGUAUCUGGGGAAAUGAUCAUCUUGCCUGAGAUCCCGCUUGGAAGAAGAAUGCCUCCGUGAAGCAGACGAACCGACGUAGUCGAACGGGUCCUUACAUCCGACACGCUUACGGAUCUCUAUCGAGACGGAGGGAAACGGAAACAAGCACCAACACACGAUAUUCACCACAUGAUGCACAACACAUAUGAUGCAUGAGCUACUGAAAAAAUGCAAGUCACGGCAUGACAAUCACACAACCAAACACUACACAUUAAGUGAAGUUCAAUAUGCACGAGUUGCAUAUUGACGAAACUCCACGUUAAUUAUUUAAUUCACUCCCAUUAUCUACACGGCAAUAUUAAUGUUGUCAAACAUGCAAGAGGUGGAGCGGAAAUUAAACUACCUAUCUAGGCAUUUUAAGUGAGGUCGGAAAUGACAUAUAGCAUCUCUGACACGACCUCACACAUUAAUUUACAAUUCUGACCAGAUCUGUACUAAUGCAUUUAAUUAGUUGUUAAACGGCAAAACAAAUAGGUUCACGUGAUUCUACGCGUCAAGGCAAGCAAUCUACACAUAAAGAACAUCUCCAACGGAGCUACGGUUCAAAAGAUACAAGCACCGCGAGAUAUGAUGGCAUGAAUGCAAAAAUGUGUGCAACGGCGGUUACGAGCACUUCAACACAUACAAAAAGCAAGAGAAAAUGAAACUACACGUGAUUCUAAUCAAGUUUCAUGUAGGACACGAUCAAAACGGAGCUACGGUUCGAAAACUACGAGCAAAACAAGAAAACACUACAAUCUGCCAAAAUCAGCCACAUAUCACUUUCUACACCACACAACUACGAGCUACACAACUCCGAUAAACUCAAGCAAGGCAUGGCACGAAAGAGGGAAAGACUCACAACUACAAGCAACUAACAACAACUAGCAUGGCAGCAAGGAGCACUAGGAAAAGAAGACACAAAAUGGCAUCUCACGCACUAUUUCAGACUUAGUGAAAAUUACACCUCAUGAAAGUGCAGUUUUCGAUCUGAAGCAAUAUUGACAGCAGAAAAACCUAUAGCUACAGGACUCCAAAUGGCAUGAAACUUAACAGCAUGCUAGAGAAACAUAAGGGGUACAACUAACUCCAUUGGACCAACCCCAAAAGAGCUACAGAUCACAAGAUGCAAGCAAGACAAGACAGCAACAAGAUAUAACAGAUUCCAGACUUAGAAAUAUUUCAGUUCCUCUAAAACAGCACUAUUUCUAGCAACUUGAGGGCAAGCAAACAACACCUAAACAUGCAUUUCUAUUGCAACCAAAAAAUACCAGGGGCUAAACAAAACAUCUAAGAAGAAUUCCCUAGUUGACAACUUAUUCAAACGAGGCCCGGAAUAAAACCUACAAAUUAAACAAAAGGGCAUCACGGCCAAAUAUCGCGCGAAUUAACUUACUCAAAAGCUAAAACUAAUUGCACCAUAUAAAAUAUGUGGGGUUUGCAACACAAAAUAAUGCCACACAUUAAUGCGAGAAAUAAUCCUAGACACGGAAAAAUAAACUAGAGGCAAUUCCCUACACGCAAAAAUACAAAUGAAUGCUCUAUAAAGCAUGCAAAAAUGAUCCCUAAAACACGGGCAUUUUAUCUACGGUGUUCGAACAAACCGGACACGCACGAGAAUUAAAACGGGAUAAAAGAUACUAGGACAGCACGCUAAACUAGGCAUUAGGCACUCUAAACGGCGUCAAAUAAAUGUGCAGGUUUUAAAUACGUACUCUACGCGCAAAAAUACCACCAAACCAUAUACUACACGCCUCAAACCGACUAACGGAAUAAAAGUUACGGUCGUCUAAAUAUACGUCUAAAUCUGGAAUUUAAUUAAAUCCAGAGAAAUACCCUAAAAGGAAAAAAACAUCUAUCGGGCCUAAACUAUGGGCGCUCGAUAUCUAAAAUACGCUCGAGCGAUAAAUAGAGGUCUGGGGAGGAACCUCACCUUGGGCUUGGCCCAGGUCGGCGAGGGAGGCAGGCCGGUCAGCGCUGGAUGGGCUGGCCCAAGCGGGGGUAGGCUGCUGGCGGGGCAGUCGCACUGGGUGUGGCGGAUCGCGUCCGAGGCGGCCCGAGCGGACAACGGGCGAGGCGGCGGCAUCCCCGUCGGUCUCGGCUCGAUCUGGACAGGAGGCGUGGCGGGGAGCAGGGUCAGGCUGGCGGCGGGCGACUCCGACGAGGGAGGCGAGCCGGCGGGGAACGGNNNNNNNNNNNNNNNNNNNNNNNNNNNNNNNNNNNNNNNNNNNNNNNNNNNNNNNNNNNNNNNNNNNNNNNNNNNNNNNNNNNNNNNNNNNNNNNNNNNNUUAAGCUUCUGAGUAAACAUGCUUAUAUGGUUACUACUCAGGUAGAACAAGUACUUAAAGCUCAAAAUGACUUGCUCAAUGAGUUGAAUGAUAAUUCCGUCUGAGUCGUCACUAGAGGCGGUAGAAUGACCCAGGAACCUUUGUAUCCUGAGGGUCAUCCGAAGAGAAUUGAAUAAGAUUCUCUAGGAGUUAGCACUAGCAACCCUGUUGCGGCUACACCUGAGAGUCCAAACGAUGUCUCUGUCUCUGAUGCUGAAGCACAAUCUGGUGAUGAACAUGAGCCUAAUGAUAAUAUCAAUAGUGAUGUUCAUGAAGAUGCUCAACCUAGCAAUGAAAAGGAUGUGGAGAUUGAACCUCGUGUUGAUCUUGAUAACCCACAGCCUAAGACUAAGAGAUACAAUAAGAAUGACUUCGCUGCUAGGAAGCACGGUAAAGAAAGGGAAACGUGGGUUCAGAAACCUAUGCCCUUUCCUCCCAAAACAUCCAAGAAAAAGGAUGAUGAGGAUUUUGAGCGCUUCGUUGAGAUGAUCAGACCUGUCUUUCUGCAGAUGCGUUUGAUAGAUAUGCUCAAGAUGUCUCCGUAUGCUAAGUACAUGAAAGAUAUUGUGACUAAUAAGAGGAGGAUACUUGACCUUGAGAUCUCCGCCAUGCUUGCCAAUUAUACUUUCAAGGGUGGAACUCCGAAGAAACUAGGUGAUCCCGGUGUGCCCACUAUACCUUGCUCCAUUAAAGGCAACUACCUUAGAACUGUGUUAUGCGACCUUGGAGCCGGUGUUAGUGUUAUACCUCUCUCUCUUUAUCGUAGGCUUGAACUGGAUAAGUUGACACCCACUGAAAUCUCUCUGCAAAUGGCCGACAAAUCAACUGCUUUCCCUAUCGGCAUUUGCGAGGAUGUGGCUGUUGUGGUUGCUAACACCACUAUCUUAACAGACUUUGUUAUCUUGGAUAUUCCCGAGGACGUUGCCAUGGCUGUCAUCCUCGGAAGACCCUUUUAAAACACUGCAGGGGCUAUUAUAGAUUGCAACAAAGGCAAUGUCACUUUCCAUGUCAACGAUAAUGAGCAUACGGUGCACUUUCCGAAGAAACAAUAUCGAUUACAUUGCAUCAAUGCUAUCGAAAAAACUUCAUCGAUUCUCAUUGGGAGCUUUGAAUGCCCUAUUCCUCGUGUCAAGAUGAAGUAUGACUUGCUUGUUGGGGAGAUACACAUCCCCAUUGAGGUGACCUAGUGACUAUUCGAAAAUUCUCCGUCUUCUUUAGCGAUUCGAAAAGUUUUGUUGAGGGGAUUUGAUCAACCCCAUUGACGGAUUUCUUUCGAUGACCAUGAGAUGGAUGAAUCAAGGAGUCACAAACCUCUGUUCCAAGCUUUCACUUUAGGUUGCUUAGAAGAAAAAUGAUAGAUUUUAGGUUCGUUUUCCCUGUUUUCUGCUUUAGCGUCCGGUAGAAAAGUACCCCGAAAAUCAAAGUUCUCCGAAUGCUGUGAAAAUCAAGUAUGAUUUUUUCUGGAUUUUUUGAAAAAUACUGGGACAAAGAGUCUGUCUGGGGGCCACACCAAUGGACCACAAGCCCUAGCGGCGCGGGCAUCCCCCCUGGCCGCGCCACCCAGGCUUGUGGGGCCCACAGGCACCCCCUCCACUCAUUCUUUCUCCCAUCCGCUUCUCCUACCUCCAGAAAAAAUCAUUUCGCAACUCAAACCCAUGUUCUUGCUCCUCUUGCUAGGAUUUUCGAUCUCUUUGCUCAAAUCACCGUUCUCCGAACUGUUUUGGGGAAAUUACUCCUUGGUAAGUGACUCCUCCAUUGGUCCAAUUAGUUUUUGCUCUAGUGUCUUAUAUUCCGCGUAUUUUUGGUGCCUUGGUGACCAUGUUCUUGAGCUUUGCAUGCUGAUUCUAGCUGGUCCCAAGUAGUUUUGGUUGCUAAUAUGGUCUCUAGGCACUUCUGGGAGUAGUUGCUACCAAUUUAGUUGAGCCUUGUUCAUUUUUCCUUUGGGUCACUGAAAAUUUCAGAAAAGGAAGAUGUUCAGGAGAAAAUUUCAUGGUGGUUCCUCAAGCAAGAGAGGUCCUCGUCUGGCAAUUCGGGAGCCUGAUCCUUACCAACCUAGGGACAAGCCAGUACAACCAUGUGAAUGGCCUUCUGAUGAAUUUAUGAUUAAGGCAGGCUUCAAAGAAGAGUUUGAUGCACUUGUUCACAACGUUGGACUCAAAGAAUUCAUCUCCGAUAAAUGUGAACAGUAUGUUGCUCUGACUGCCUCUUUUGUUCGUAGAUUCAAAUUUUUAGCUGGCCGUGAGCCAUCGGUACUGUUUGAUCUCUAUGAUAAAUCGUAUACCAUGGAUUUAGAGGAUUUCAGUAGAAUUUGCAAAAUACCUAUUUGGGGUAACCUCAAUGAUCCUCCUAAACCUUCGGUUAGAGAUUUUUGUGCUGGUAUUAUGGUUGGAGAAACUAGAGACAUUACGCAAGCUACCAUGGGGAGUAUUCAUUUUCCUGCCUUGCAUUACUUUGCCCUCUUCAUAGGCAGAUGCAUUAAUGGCAAGAUUGAGCAUUGUCACCUCUGCGCACCCGACCUUAGUAUCCUUAAGAGCGCAGUGACGGGUGACAAAAGCUUCAACAUGGGAGCUAUUAUAGCAAGGAGGCUGAAUAAGAAUGUUAUUGAAGGGGAUUUCUUUGGUGGGAUCUAUGCCACUCGCAUAGCAAAUUUUCUUGGAGUGCCCAUCCGCGAAGGAGAUCCCCCGCUCCAUACAGCUUUCCUUGACCGCGUCGCUUUGACACGCUACCAGUUCCUUGAGAGGGGUGACGAAUCCCUCCUAUAUCGUUUGAUAUUUCACCGGCAGCGUGUUUUCCAUAUUACCCUUCCUGCUCCUGCUUUCUUUGACUUUCAGGUAAAACAAAGAUAUUACAUAAGCAGAGGAGAGGCAGAGGAGUAUGAGAGGGAGGCAAAGGUUGCUCGUCUCCGUGAGGCAGCUAUUCAGGCAGUGGCUGCAGCGCUCCCGUAUAACCCCCAUUAGGAUUUUGGGUUUCACCAGGACUAUCCUUGGGAGUAGACCAAGUUAGGACAAAAGCCUAAGCUUGGGGGAGUACGUAUUUUCACCGACUUUACAUUCUUGCUUAUGCUUUCACUUUGUUAGCCGGUGUUCACACUUUGCCACUGUAUCAUCCAUGCUAGUUUAUUUUCUUUUUUCGUUUUCUUUUCGUGUGUCUGUCUAGUUUGAGAAAAAACAAAAAGAUUUUCUUUUUCUUAUUUUGCUUGUUGGGAGCUUUCUCGUGUAGAUAGUUUUAUUUUUCUUUGGGUCAAGGUAGAAGAUAUUGGUUACACUGUUUAGUGGUUCUUGCAUGCAUACCUAUUUAGCUUUCAUAGAGCCAUAUUACUUUGUCUUCUCCUUUGUGUAUGCCUGCAGAUUCCCGCGUAGUCCAAUGCACGAGCACUCUUAUUAUUGUUCACAUUGUUCGAUCGUGCAAGUGAAAGGCAAUAAUGACGAUAUAUGAUGAAGUGACUGAGCCUGGAAAAGCUGGUAUGAACUCGAUCUAUUUUGUGUUUGUAACUAUGACUAGCUCAUCAUGCGUGAUUCAGCUUUGUUGUGAGAGAAACAUGUUUGCAAUGACAACUUAGAGAUCAUAGUUGCUUAUGCCAUGCUUACUUAGCUAGGAGCUUAUAAUGGUCUGUCUUGGUUGCCCACAUGAAUGUUGAGAUGACUAUGAUGUAGUAUGAUAGGAUGGUAUAGGCCUUUGAAUGUUUCAAGUGGCUUGACUUGGCGCAUGUUCAUGCAUGUAGUUGAAACAAAAUCAACAUAGCCUCUAUGAUAUUCAUGUUCAUGGUGAUUUAUGUCCUACUCAUGCUUGCACUCAAUGUUGGUUAAUCUCAAUGCAUUUUGAUGAUUGUUGUCGCUCUCUAGUUGGUUGCUUCCCGGUCUUUUGCUAGCCUUCACUUGUACUAAGCGGGAAUACUGCUUGUGCAUACACCUCAAUAAACCCAAAGUUGUGCCAUCUGAGUCCACCAUACCUACCUAUGUGCGGUAUCUACCUGCCGUUCCUAGUAAAUUUGCAUGUGCCACUGUCGAAAUCUUCAAGAAAUAAUUUGUUUUGCAUGCCCGAACCGCUCAUGUGGUGACAGGGGGCUAUUGGUAUCUUCCAUGUUAGGCGUGUUAUCCUCGAUAUGUGUUUAUUCACUAUCAUUCACGAGAAAGGGGCCGGUAAGUGGAAUUCCCAGUUCCAUGGUCAAGUCGAAAAGAUAAUUGCAAACAAAACUCCCCCAGGAUUGAUGUUGGUAUGGACGGUACCCGAGGAUUCGGCUAGCCAUGGAGUGUGAUUGAUUGGUGGUGGGGUAGUCAAAACUUUACUUUUCUGUUUGGGGACCGCCUAUAGCAUGUGUAGCGUGGAAGAUGUUGAGAACUCUUAGUCAUUGAGUUGACAAUGAAAGCAUGCCACCCAAAAUUAUUAUCUUUGUUUUCAAAGCUUCAGCUCUGGCACCUCUACAAAUCAAUGCUUCCCUCUGCGAAGGGCGUGUCUAUUUAUGUUCCUGUUGAGUGAUCCUCCUCUUACAAAAGCACCAAUUAGAGAGCAUCUCUGUCAUUUUUAUGCUUUGCUUUUAACUGUGUUGAGUGUGACUAUGACUGGAUCUUCAUUGCCUUGAAUUACAAUGUUUAGUCAGCCCUUGUUCUUUGAGGUGCUCUGCAUUUAUGUUUUGCGGUCUGAGAAAGAGCUAGCGAGAUACCAUCUAUUCGUACUGCUUCAUGGUGUUUUGAUGGAAGUGUUGACACUUGAGGCUUAUUAUUAUUUGCUCGCUAGUUGAUUAUGCCAUUGAUAUGAGUUUACAGUCAGACCUAGAUGUCAUUUGCUUAUGUGGUUUGCUUGUGAUGUUGCUGAAAUUCUGGUUAUGAGUUAGAAAUAGUUGCAACAACAAGAUCAAACAGAGUUUGUCAAAGUUUUUCUUUUGUCUCUCUCAGUUUGUCAACUGAGUUCCUUGAGGACAAGCAAGGGUUUAAGCUUGGGGGAGUUGAUGCAUCUCCAUCAUAUCUACUUUUCCGAACUCUUUUGCCCUUGUUUUGGACUCUAAUUUGCAUGAUUUGAAUGGAACUAACCCGGACUGACGUUGUUUUCAGCAGAAUUGCCAUGGUGUUGUUUUUGUGCAGAAAUAAAAGUUCUCGGAACGUCUUGAAAAUUUACGGAGAUUUUUCUGGAAUAAAAGAAAAAUACCUGCGCAAAGAUCCACGUGAGGGCGUGUGCCAGUGGGCCACAAGCCCACAGGCCGCGGCCACCCCCUAUGGUCACGCCAUGCAGGCUUGUGGGGCCCACGUGGCACCACCGCCCCCAAUCUCAGCUCUAUAUCUUCCGUUUCGCCUGGAAAAAAUCAGAGAGAAAGUUUCGUCGCGUUUUGCGAUACGGAGGCGCCGCCACAUCCUGUUCUUCAUCUAGAGGGUAGAUUUGGAGUCCGUUUCGGGCUCCGGAGAGGGGAAAUCGUCGCCAUCGUCAUCAUCAACCUUUCUCCAUUGACAAUUCCAUGAUGCUCUUCAUCGUUCAUGAGUAAUCUCAUCGUAGGCUUGUUGGACGGUGAUGAGUUGGAUGAGAUCUAUCAUGUAAUUGAGUUAGUUCUUGACGGGGAUUAACCCCUAGUAUCGAAUAUGUUCUAGAUUGAUGUUGCUACUACUUCGCUAUGCUUAAUGCUUGUCACUAGGGCCCGAGUGCCACGAUUUCAGAUCUGAACCUAUUAUGUUGUCGCUAAUAUAUGUGUGUUUUACAUCCUAUCUUGCAAGUUGUAGUCACCUACUAUGUGUUAUGACCCGGCAACCUCGGAUUGACAAUAGCCGAAAGCACUCCCGAAGAUGACCAUAGUAUGAGGAGUUCAUGUAUUCACCACGUGUUAAUGCGUUGUCCGGUUCUUUAUUAAAAGGAUAACCUUAAUAUCCCGUAGUUUCCAUUGGGACCCCGCUCCCACAAGAGAGAUGGACAAUAUAUGUCAUGCACGUUCUUUUCCCUAAGCACGUAUGACUACAGACGGAAUACAUGCCUACAUUAGAUUGAUGAACGGGAGCUAGUUACAUAUCUCUCUGUGUUAUAGCUAUUACAUGAUGAAUCACAUCCGUCACACUCAUCCAUCACCGAUCCACUGCCUACGAGUCUUUUACUACUGGUUCUCACUACGUUACUUUGCCUAGGAUUAUCCUUUGCUACAAAAGGGAUUGGGCGACUUUGCUGCUACUGCUCCUACUGCUUUUACUUGUCGCUUUGCUGCUGCUGUCACUACUGUUGUUACUUGUUACUUUGCUACUGCUGCAACUACUGUUCCUUGCUACUCAGCUGUUACUUGUUGCAAGACUUUGUUGGCGCUAAUAUCCCGUCAACAAGGCUUUUUCUGGCGCCUUUGCUGGGGAUUGUCAAAGCUUUUUCUGGUGUCAUUGCUAUCAUACUACCUUGCUACUGAUACUUUGCUUGCAGACACUAAUCUUUCAAGUGUGGUUGAAUUGACAACUCAGCUACUAAUACUUGAGAAUAUUCUUUAGCUUCCCCUUGUGAUUGAAUCAAUAAAUUUGGGUUGAAUACUCUACCCUCGAAAACUGUUGCGAUCCCAUACGCUUGUGGGACAUCAUGCCCAAGAAUGUCUCUCCCUAUAUAUUACUGAAUCCUUUCCUAGCGUGCCUUUUCCACCCAGUCCGCCCUCACGCCGCGAUUCAGGAAUACGAAUCGGCUGAAGGUCAAGAAUAAAGUCAACGCAAAAUUCAAUGACCUCCUUUGUUUCAUGGCCCUUGGAGAUGCUUCCUUCCGACCUAGCAUCGUUAUGAACAUAUUUCUGUAAGACUCCCAUGAACCUCUCAAAGGGGAAUGUACUAUGUACAAAUACAGGGCCCGAAAUUGCAAUUUCUUUGACUAGGUGAACUAGGACGUGCGUCAUGAUAUUGAAGAUGGAUGGUGGGAACACCAUGACACUGCACAAAAUCAUUUUGUAAACUUGUUAGGAUUUCUAGAUCGAUUACCUUCUCAGAGAUUGCAUUGAUGAAUACACAUAGCUUCACCAUGGCUAAUCGGAUGUCUUCUCGUGGAAGACCCCUCAAUGCAACCGGAAUAAAUUGUGUCAUAAUCAUGUGGCAUUCAUGAGAAUUUUGGUUCUAGAAUUUUCCCCUGCCAUAUUUAUUAUUCCCUUUAUAUUCAACGAGUAGCUAGAUGGGACCCUCAUACUGAGUAGGCAUUCAAAGAAGAUUUCCUUCUCUCCUUUGUAAGAGCGUAGCUGGCAGCACCGUGAUACUACUUUGGAUGCAUGCCAUCUUUUUCGUGGAUACGUUUUUGGUCCUCCCGUGCCUCCGGUGUAUCUUUUGUCUACCCAUACACGCUUGAUACGUCUCAAAUGUAUCGACUUUUCCAAACACUUUUGCUAAUAUUUUGGCCUCAUUCUUGCAUGAAUUGAAUGAAACUAACCCGGGUUGACGCUGUUUUCAGCAGAGCUGUUUGUAUGGUUUUCUUGUGCGCAGGAAAAUGGAUAUUUAGACGUCCCGGAAAAUUCACAUAAAAAUAGAGAAAAUACACGGACCGGGAGGAACCAUGGGCUAGACGAUCGGCCAAAGGGGAGACACAGGGCCCCCAGGCGACCUGCUGGCGCGGCCAUGCCCCCUGGUCGCGCCAGGAGCCCACCUGGGUGGGGCCCACCCCCUGUGGUGCCCUACUUUGGCUCCUAUUUUUACCCGCGACGCAGAAAUCCCGGAACAGAAGUCGUUUUGCUAGUUCUCGGCGUGGAGCCGCUGCCACCCUCGGUUCUUCUUCGGGAGAGCUAAUCUAGAGGCUGUUUUGGCCUCCGGAGAGGGGAAAUCAUCGCCAGCAUCAUGACCAUCACCACUCCAUCAUCCUUCCAUGGCUUCUCCCAUCAUGUGUGAGUAAUUCCCUGAUGUAGGUGAAGGGGAUGGGAGAGAUUGGAUGAGUUAGAUCAUGUAAUAGUUCGUCGGAUUGUUGGGGGCAUGUUGCCUAUCAUCUACUAUGGUGUUUAUCAUCUUUGCUACUACUUGUUACUCUUAAUGCUUGUCACUUAGGGCUCGAGUGCCGUGAUUUCAGAUCUGGAUACCUUAUGUUUUCCUGAAUAUAUUUGUGUUCUAGAUCCUAUCUAUGAGUAGUAUGCACCUAUUAUAGUCCAGAACCGGCGAUCCCAAUGGUGACAGGUUGGGACACCAAAGGGGAUAGGCUAUAGUUUGAGGAUUCCAUGUAUACAUUGAUUGUUAAUGCUUUGUUCCAGUGCUCUUUGAAAGGAGCACCUUAAUCUCCAUAAGUUCCUUUUGGCUCCGUUGAUAGCGGGAUGGUAGGACAAAAGAUGUUGUGCAAGUUCUUAUUGCAAGCACGCACAACUACCUCGGGAUACAUGCCAAAUGUUUGAUAUAUGCCUAUAUGAUCAUUACUUUUCUAUGUGCCUUGCCCCAAGUGAAAUACAUGAUAUCUCUGAUCCAUGACCAACCAUCCAUCUCAGUAGCCUACAAUGUUUUAAUACUGCUAGUUACAAGUUACUUUACUUUCGCUGUUUUACUUUCGUUGCUUUGCCACUAUUAUUUCCGUUGCCACCUUCACUUCCAUAUCAUCGUUGCUACUAAUAUUUUGUUACCAAGCAAGUAUCUUUCAGGUGCGGUUGAAUUGACAACCCAAUUGUUAAAGCUUAUAACUAUUCUUUGGCUCCCCUUGUGUCGAAUCAAUAAAUUGGGUUAACUUACCCGCGAAGAUUGUUACGAUCGCCUACACUUGUGGGUUAUCAAGACCUUUUUUCUGGCGCCGUUGCCGGGGAGCAUAGCUUUAUUUACAAGUCAACUUGGAUUUAUUUUUCUUGCUGUGAUUUAUUCACUAUGUGUAAGAAAGGAGACCCCAAGCUUCCAAUUUUACCGUCCACUACGAGAAAAGGUACGGUUCUUAGCACUAGCGCAACGCUUGAUUCACCUUCCGUUAUGAGUAAGUUCGCUUCACCACCAUCACAUGUUGCUUCUACCGAGUCUAUUACUAUGUCUGAUACUUUUGAUGAUGCUUCCACUACUAUUGAUGAGCCUGGUUUACUUGGUUAUUUUAUUGAGUCUCAGAUUGCUAAGGCUGCUAAGCAGUCUGGAAUUGAACUUCAUGUUACACGCUACUCCAUUGGUAGAUCUUUUGGUUACCCAGACUUGAGUGGUCUCAAGGAAAAAAUUAUUGAUGAUAAUUAUAUUGAACUUCAUGAUGAUUUAUGCAGGGAACGUAUAGAGUGUGCUGACUCUGACCCUACUUCUGUUAAGAAGCUGCUUGAAAAGCAUUCUAUGAAGAACAAGAUUACUCCUCAUCCUAAGUUUGCUUCAUCUCCUAUUUGCAUUGAGGAUGCUGAUUUUGAUUUCUCUGUCGAUCUUUCACUUAUAUCCAUAGUUGAAUCUGACCCCUUUGAUGACAGAGAAGAUGAUGAUGCUAUUGCACACCUAACCAAACUCAUUGAGUUCGGUGGUUUAUUCACUAGAGAGGACAAGAAGAGAAAUUAUUAUGUUACUAAGCUACUUCCUUUCUCUUUGAAGGAAGAUGCUAAAGCAUGGUAUGAUGCACUACCAUGUGGUUCCAUUAAGAGUCCUCAAGAUUUAGCUCAAUCUUUUGUUGCUAAAUAUUUUCCUACUCAUAAGCAACAUGCUCCUUUACAAACAAUUUAUAACUUUAAACAGUUGCAGGAUGAGCACCUCCCUAAAGCUUGGGGGAGGUAUUGCACUUUGCUUAAGGCUAGACCGGUACAUGGAAUCCCUAAGAAUGAAUUGAUUGAUAUAUUUUAUGUUGGUCUAACUGAUGAAUCUAGAACCUAUCUGUUGGUUGUGUUUUCAGGGAAAGAACAUCGGACGACGCCGAAGAAUUAAUGGGCAAGAUAGCUAAAAAUCAUGAUGAUUGGUCCGUUCCUGAGCCAUCUCCACCACCUAAGAAGAGGGGCAUGCUUUUCUUGAGCCCAGAAGUUAUCCAAGAAGCCAAGAAGUCUAUGAAAGAGAGAGGUACUAAAACUGAAGAUGUGAAGAAUCUACCUCCUAUUGACAAAUUAUGUGAGCCUACCACUCACCCACCUAUGGUAGAGGUACACUCUCUUUUAGAAUUCAAUGCAAGUGACGUCCCUCAUGGUAAGCCUCCUGAUCAAUGUUUAGAUGAGCUUGAUAAUUUCAUUGUCAAGAAAAAUCACUUUAAUGAGAGGAUUCAAAGCCAAUUGCAUGAUAAUUCCCUUGCUACCAAAAUUUUGCUUGAUGUUUUAAGUAGAACUGACAAUGACGUUAAAGGUCUUGUUAAGCAUUUUCAUAUAGUUCAAACUCAGCUUGAACAAAUUUCUAAUGUGGAAAAAGAUUUGUUUGCUAACAAUGCCAAACAAGUUAAUACGCACGCAUAUGGUAUAAAGACCCGAGGAGGUACACAUACCCAGGACCCCUUUAUCCGGAGGGGCAUCCAAAGAGGAUCGAGCAAGAUUCUCAAUUGCAGGAAGAAGACGUUGUCAGCUCUCCGAAGAAGAAGAAGAAACACAAGGAGGCUGACAACUCCAAUGAUCCCAUAAUUGAUGAAGAACCUAUUGUUGAUCCUAAUAGUAUAUCUAUUUCCGAUGCUGAAACUAAAGAUGGUGUUGAACCUGAUAAAGAUAAUGAGAAGAUUGAUCCUCCUGAGAUACGAGAAGAAGAAGCACCAGACAAGCGCAAAAGAUAUGGUAGAGAAGAUCUUGUUGCAAGAAAACAUGGGAACGAAAGAGAACCAUGGGUACAGAAAUCAAUGCCCUUCCUAGGUAAGUCUUUCAAACCCAAAGAAUAAGACCAUUACAAUAAAUUUUGUGAACGGAUGAAACUUCUUUUUCUUCAAAUUCCUUUGACCGAUGCUAUUAAGUUGCCUCCGUACUCGAGGUAUAUGAAAGAUAUUGUUAUUAAUAAAAGAAAAGUUUCUAAUGAUACAAUACCUACUAUGCUUGCUAAUUACUCUUUCAGUGGCAAGAUUCCUGAGAAGCUUGGUGAUCCAGGUAUACCCACCAUUCCUUGUUUCAUAAAAAGUAAUUAUGUCAGAACUGCUUUAUGUGAUCUUGGUGCAGGAGUGAGUGUUAUGCAUUCCUCUCUUUACAAAAGGCUUUAUCUAGAUAAACUAAUCCCUACAUAUAUAUCUCUUCAAAUGGCUGAUAAGUCAACAGUCGUUCCUGUAGGUAUUUGUGAGGAUGUUCCCGUUGAAAUUGCUAAUUGCUUGAUAAUUACUAACUUUGUUGUGCUUGACAUGCCCGAGGAUCGGAGCAUAUCUAUUAUUCUUGGUAUACCUUUUCUUAACACCCCAGGUGCUAUUAUUGAUUGCAAUAAAGGAAAGGUGACCUUCAAUGUUAAUGAGAAGGAGCACAUGGUAUAUUUUCCAAAGAAUAUUGAUUAAAGGCAUGGCCUUAAUUCUAUUGAGAAUAUUGAGACCGUGAAGGUUGGAGAGUGGGAUUGUCCUCUACAUGUGCACCAGAAAUACAAAACCAUUAUGGUGGGGACAAUAUCCAUUGAAAUAAAGGUACCAUGAUUGCUUUAUAAGAAGUGAAACCUUUUGCUCAAUAUAACACAUGUUUGGUAGUGAGACUUGAUCAACCUUGCUAACAAAUAUGUUUUAUAUGAGUAAAAAGAGAAGCUUGUUAUGUUUUCAUUUCCUUUAUCUUUCAUCCUGCUUGUUGUACCAAAGUUUUAUGUUUUUGAAGUUUCAUAUGUUUAACCAUUGUUUCGAGUUUUCCGGAAGUUUUGCAGCUUUCAGUAUUUCGAAAAAAAAUCAAAAGUGAAGUUGUGAGAAAAAUUCCACAAAACCCCCCAUAAAAAUUUCCAUAAAAAAAGAGACGCAGUGGCACGUGGAGCCAGCUAGGAGGGCACCCUUGGUCCAGGCGGCCACUUGGCGCAGAGCGCCCCCUAGCCAUGCCCACAGGUCGCCUGGGCCCACCUGGGCUCCUUUCCAGGUACUUCUUCCUCCCUUCUCUCCCUCUCACUCCAAAGAUCCAGAUUUUUCUCCUAGAGCUCGAGUUAUUGCUGUUCUUGGUGGCAAAUUUUGAUCUCUCUCUACAACCCAUCAUUUGCAUUAAUAAUUUGAGCAUUUGCUCCCUGGUAUGUGACUCCUUCACUCCUCCAAUUCAAAUUCUGAUUGGUGGUCUUAUUUGUGAGUAUUUAUGAGUUCUUGGUGUUGUUCAUAUGAGCUUGCAUGCAUGUUUAGAAAUUUAUUUGUGAAGUUUUGAUGCAAGCUUAUGCACCAGGGAAGUGAGUAGAAUAGUUUGCUCCAACUCAUUUUUCCUUAAACCUCCAUUUUUGUGAUGAACCAAAAAAUUUCAGAAAUGAGCUUGGUUGGAAAAGCAAAAGGAUGGCUUAGGAAGAAGAGACCCGAGCCUACUGAUAGACUAACUAGAGUUGCAACUUCAUCCUCUACUGUGAAGACAAGUUACAAUGAUGAUAUCGUGCCACCAGAGUUAUUCCACGAGACGGACACGGCGCGUGCGAUGGCAUACCCGUGUUCAGAUUUCCUUAUGGCGGCAGGUAUUAAGGAUGAGUUUGAUAACCUCUGUGCAGCUGCAGGUUUGACACAUCCACAACUGGUUUAGAUAUAAUGAUAAAAUUUCCAUAAUUGAAUUCAGAUUAUAUGAGGAUGUCUUUACCAUGUCUUUGGCAAAAUUUUGUGAUAUUAUAGGUGUGCGGAAUGUCGGGAAGACGACCAAAAUCAACGUUCAGCCAUACGAAAUGAAAUCCCUAUUCGCUUCCCUUUAUAGUAAGGACCAGUGAGAAAUUCACCAGGGGAAGAUCUCCAGCAUCUUGUUUCCCCACAUCAGGUAGUUCGCAUACUAUAUUGCUCGAGGGGUGCUAGCUCGUGACAACACAAGUAACAUUUCGGCUCCGUAUCUCGCUCUCUUGGCAGCCUCCCUCUUAGGAGAUAACAUGUAUAAUAUUGGUGCUUUGAUUGCUCGUCGCUUCAUCGCUAACAGCGGUAAAGGGCCUCACUUUGGUGGCAUUUAUGCCACGCUUAUCGUCGAGCACCUCGGGCGCACUGUGCGCACGGAUGAUACGCCUUUUUCAUUCAUAAGCUUUGAUCUUAUCGCUAUGAAGAGGCAUGAGUUUAUUACUAGGACUUCCGAGUUUGGUAACCUUGUUUAUAUUAUGAGGUUCGGCGAGUUUACUACUCGCGAGAUCUGUCUACCUGCACCACUUUUGUUUGAUUACACUAGCAUGAACGGGUGGUCUUUCACCUUGAUUGAGUUGGACGAUUUCGUGAUCCAGUAGAAGUUCCACAACCCCAUGGAGGAGGUUAUUCCCGAGGAAGAAGAGCCUUCUCCUUAGGAGGCCAGUCGGGCAUCAGUGUACGCACCCGAAGCCUCGUAUGAUUCUUGGAGCCACCAGUACCAAUCUGGAGCCGGAGGAAGCUCCUAGAGCCGCAAUAGCCGAGCUCAACUUAGGCCAAAAGCCUAAGCUUGGGGGAGUACGUAUCCUUCUCCCCUUUCAUUGUAUCAUCCGUAGUAUCCUUUGUAAGUCUUUUCAGAGUUUUUGCAUGUUCUUAUUUGUUCUUUCUUUGCAAAAACAACAAAAAGAUUUCUCUGUUCUUUUUCUUUCCUUUAACCUUUGGAAAACCCAAAAAGAUUUCUUUUCUCUCGUUAGUUUGCUUUGUUUGCAGAGUUCAUCUCACGUCCAUGGUUGCAAUUGCACUUGAUUAUAUCUUUCUACGUUCGAUCGUGCAAGUGGCGAUGCAAUAAUGACGAAGAUCGACGGAAGGAAUGCAACAAGGAAAGCCGGUAUGAACUCUAUUUGUUUCUACUUUUGUACAUAUGCCUCUACUUAUGAUCUAGAGACCAGCUUAUAGCAACAUAGUGCUAUGAUUACAAUGUUCUCCCAGUAGUUCAUGCUUUCUUUGUGACUAGUCUCAAAUAGCUAGAGUGCAUAAUGUGUUAUUGAAAUGUUUAGCAUGCAUUGCAUUGUUCAUGGUUUGGCAUAUUAGAGUGGUAUUUCCCUUCGAAGAGUUUUUGGAUUGACUUGGCACAUGCUUACACAUGUUUACGACUAGAAGUCUAUCAAGCCUUGACGAUCUUUUUAUUUCAGAAUAGUUAUAUCACUUUCAUGCCCGAUUCAAUGUUUCUUUGUCGCUCUGCGUGAUUAUGACCGUUAUUGCUCUCUAGUUGGUCGCUUCCCCGUCUUUUGCUAGCCUUUGCGUGUACUAAGCGAACUGACUGCUUGUGCAUCCAAAAUCCUUAAAACCAGUUGCGCCAUAUGGGUACACCAUACCUACCUAUAUGCGGUAUUUAUGUGUCGUCCUAAGUAAAUUUGCAUGUGCCGUAUCCUAAAUUUUCAAAUGAAUAUUUUGUUUUGUAUGCCCAAAUCGCUCAUGUAGCGACUAGGAGCUAUCAGUAUCUUCCAUGCUAAGUAUGUUAUUCUCCAGAUAUGUGUUGAUUCACUGUCAUUCACGAGAAAGUGGCUUGUAACCGGGAUGCCAUGUUCCAUGCUCAGAGUCAAAUCAAAUUUAAUGAAACAAAACUCCCCCGGGAUUGUUGUUUGUAUGGACGGUACCCAUGGAUUCGGCCCGCCGUGGAGUGUGAUCGGUUGGUGGAGGGGGAGUUAAAACUUUACUUUUCUGUUUGGGAACCGCCUAUAAUGUAUUUAGCAUGUAAGAUAUUGAGAUCUCUUAGUUGUUACGUUAACAGUGAAAGGAUACCACUCAGAAUUUUGAUUUAUCUCUCUUUUAAAACUCAAGCUCUGGCACCUCUGCGAAUCAAUGCUUCCCUCUGCGAAGGGCCUAUCUAUUUUACUUUUCUAUUGAGUCGUCCUCUUCUUAUAAAAAGCACCAACUAUAGAGAGCAGAAUUGUCAUUCUGAGUGUAAUGUGCAUUGUCCCAAUGCACCACAUUGUCUUCUGCAUGAUUGUGAUAUUGCUUAUUUUGAAAUAAUUAUUUCUAGUCUCCCUUAAUACUUCGAAGGAGCGUGUGCAUUGAUAACCCACAAGUAUAGGGGAUCGCAACAGUUUUCGAGGGUAGAGUAUUCAACCCAAAUUUGUUAGUUUACCAAAAGGGAAGCAAAAGAAUAUUGUAAAGUAUUAGCAGCUGAGUUUAUCAGAUUCAACCACACCUGAAAGAUUAGUGUGUGCAAGCAAAGUAUCAGUAGCAAAGUAGUAUGAUAGCAGCGGUGCCAGAAACGAUCUGUUGACAAGGCAGACUAUUCCUAACUGUUGUAUCAAUGGCACCAGUAAGUUGCACGUGGCCGAGUAACUAUUCUUCCCCGACAACAGUGUCGGAAAAGGAUCUUGCAACAAGUAACAGCGAAGUAGCAAGGAACAGCAGUAGCAGCAGCAGCAGAGUAAUAGCAGUAGCAACAGUAGUAGCAAAGUGGCCCAAUCCCUUUUGUAGCAAGGGACAAGCCUAAACAAAGUAACGUAGCGAGGACCAGUAGUAAAAGACUCGUAGGCAGUGGAUCGGUGAUGGAUGAGUAUGACGGAUGUGAUUCAUCAUGUCACCGCUAUAACACGGAGAGAUAUGUAACUAGCUCCCGUUCAUCGAUCUAAUGUAGGCAUGUAUUCCGUAUGUAGUCAUACGUGCUUAGGGAAAAGAACUUGCGUGAUAUCUAUUGUCCAUCCCUCCCGCGGCAGCGGGGUCCUAAUGGAAACUACGGGAUAUUAAGGUUCUCCUUUUAAUAAAGAACCGGACCAACGCAUUAACACCUAGUGAAUACAUGAACUCCUCAUACUAUGGUCAUCUCCGGGAGUGGUUCCGGCUAUUGUCACUCCGGGGUUGCCAGGUCAUAACACAUAGUAGGUGACUACAACUUGCAAGAUAGGAUCUAAAACACACAUAUAUUGGCGAGAACAUAAUAGGUUCAGAUCUGAAAUCAUGGCACUCGGGCCCUAGUGACAAGCAUUAAGCAUGGCAAAGUAGUAGCAACAUCAAUCUAGAACAUAGUGGAUACUAGGGAUCAAUCCCCAUCAAAACUAACUCGAUUAGAUGAUAGAUCUCAUCCAACUCAUCACCGUCCAGCAAGCCUACAAUGAGAUUACUCACGAAUGAUGAAGAGCAUCAUGUAAUUGUCGAUGGAGGAAGGUUGAUGAUGACGAUGGCGACGAUCUCCCCUCUCCGGAGCCCAAAAUGGACUCCAGAUCUGCUGUCACGCCCAAGAUGCGACCCUAUCCUCAAUUUGGCACGAGGGCCUCGUCAGGGAUAGAAGCGCAUCUCGUCGUGUCGCAAGAAUGGAUAUCGUUACAAGUACAUGUACUGAAAAGAGGAGAUAUAUAAAGAGUUGGCUUACACUCGCCACAAGCUACAUCAGAGUCACAUCACUACAUUACAUAAUCAUCAAGAGUAAGCGCAGGGUCCGACUACGGACGAAAACAAAGGAUAAAAGAAAGAACGACGUCCAUCCUUGCUAUCCCAGGCUGCCGGCCUGGAACCCAUCCUAGAUCGAUGAAGAAGAAGAAGAAGAAGCAACUCCAAAUGAACAAUCAACGCGCUCGCGUCAAGUAAUCUUUACCUGCACCUGCAACUGGUGUUGUAGUAAUCUGUGAGCCACGGGGAACUCAGCAAUCUCAUUUCCAAAGGUAUCAAGACUAGCAAAGCUUAAUGGGUGAGGUAUGGUAAAGUGGUGAGGUUGCAGCAGCGACUAAGCACAUAUUUGGUGGCUAACUUACAAGUAUAAGAAUGUGAGGGGGAAGAUCUACGCAUAACGGACGUGUACUACUGAUGAUCGAAUGAAUGAUCCUGAACACCUACCUACGUCAGACAUAACCCCACCGUGUCCUCGAUCGGAGAAGGAACUCACGAAAGAGACAGUCACGGUUACGCACACAGUUGGCAUAUUUUUUUAAUUAAGUUAACUUCAAGUUAUCUAGAACCAGUGUUAAACAAGUUUUCCAAGUUGCCACAUAACCGCGGGCACGGCUUUCCAAAAGAUUUAACCCUGCAGGGGUGCUCCAACUAAUCCAUCACAAAUUACCACAAGCCGCAUAGAAAUCCUCAAUCACGAAGCUCGCGAUCUCGUCGGAUUCCCUAGUGGAAAACCUCAACUCUGAGAUUACCCAAAGCAUCACCGGAAUCCCGAUGCACAAGAUAUCUCGUCAAAGGUAAAACUAAUCCAGCAAGGCCACCCGGUGUGUCGACGAACCCGAUAGGAGCCGUGUAUCUCGUUUUCAGGACACACCGUCUAUGCAAAGUGGACGAGAACCAAACCUCGAGUUGCCCCGUGGUGGCACCGCCGACUGCUAGGUAGGUGGACCAACACUCAUGAGGAGCACUGGCCCGGGGGUUGAUUAAAUUAGUCCGCGGGUGCCGGCGGGUCCCUAUGCAUUAUUAUUAGGUUAUUAGGCAAAUGUAGCACCAAAGUUGGGCCUUGCCAGACCAGCUUUAAUCUAAAACGAAUUAUCAAGGGGGUCCCCAUAACAAUCCCGAUCGUGUUAGGAGCGCUCAUUUAUGGAACAUAACACCGGUAGCCGGAAACUAAGGGGGCAAAGGUGGAACAAAACACCAGGCUAGAAAGGCCGAGCCUUCCCCUUUUACCAAGUAUAUAGGUGCAUUAAAUUAAAUAGCAUUUAAUAUGGUGAUAUAACAAGGAACCCAUGUUUUCACAUGGAAGCAACUGCACCUGCAACUAGCAACGCUAUCAACAGGAUUAAACAAGCGGUAACAUGGCCAAUCAGUAGUUUGCUAGGUCGAACAUGUUGAAGGUUAACAUGCCAUGGUUGAGAGGCUGAUAUUUAACAUGUGGUAGGCAACGAGACAUAACGACAGAAACGAAAUAACUAGCAUGGCAAUGAUAGUAAUGGUAUCUGGGGAAAUGAUCAUCUUGCCUGAGAUCCCGCUUGGAAGAAGAAUGCCUCCGUGAAGCAGACGAACCGACGUAGUCGAACGGGUCCUUACAUCCGACACGCUUACGGAUCUCUAUCGAGACGGAGGGAAACGGAAACAAGCACCAACACACGAUAUUCACCACAUGAUGCACAACACAUAUGAUGCAUGAGCUACUGAAAAAAUGCAAGUCACGGCAUGACAAUCACACAACCAAACACUACACAUUAAGUGAAGUUCAAUAUGCACGAGUUGCAUAUUGACGAAACUCCACGUUAAUUAUUUAAUUCACUCCCAUUAUCUACACGGCAAUAUUAAUGUUGUCAAACAUGCAAGAGGUGGAGCGGAAAUUAAACUACCUAUCUAGGCAUUUUAAGUGAGGUCGGAAAUGACAUAUAGCAUCUCUGACACGACCUCACACAUUAAUUUACAAUUCUGACCAGAUCUGUACUAAUGCAUUUAAUUAGUUGUUAAACGGCAAAACAAAUAGGUUCACGUGAUUCUACGCGUCAAGGCAAGCAAUCUACACAUAAAGAACAUCUCCAACGGAGCUACGGUUCAAAAGAUACAAGCACCGCGAGAUAUGAUGGCAUGAAUGCAAAAAUGUGUGCAACGGCGGUUACGAGCACUUCAACACAUACAAAAAGCAAGAGAAAAUGAAACUACACGUGAUUCUAAUCAAGUUUCAUGUAGGACACGAUCAAAACGGAGCUACGGUUCGAAAACUACGAGCAAAACAAGAAAACACUACAAUCUGCCAAAAUCAGCCACAUAUCACUUUCUACACCACACAACUACGAGCUACACAACUCCGAUAAACUCAAGCAAGGCAUGGCACGAAAGAGGGAAAGACUCACAACUACAAGCAACUAACAACAACUAGCAUGGCAGCAAGGAGCACUAGGAAAAGAAGACACAAAAUGGCAUCUCACGCACUAUUUCAGACUUAGUGAAAAUUACACCUCAUGAAAGUGCAGUUUUCGAUCUGAAGCAAUAUUGACAGCAGAAAAACCUAUAGCUACAGGACUCCAAAUGGCAUGAAACUUAACAGCAUGCUAGAGAAACAUAAGGGGUACAACUAACUCCAUUGGACCAACCCCAAAAGAGCUACAGAUCACAAGAUGCAAGCAAGACAAGACAGCAACAAGAUAUAACAGAUUCCAGACUUAGAAAUAUUUCAGUUCCUCUAAAACAGCACUAUUUCUAGCAACUUGAGGGCAAGCAAACAACACCUAAACAUGCAUUUCUAUUGCAACCAAAAAAUACCAGGGGCUAAACAAAACAUCUAAGAAGAAUUCCCUAGUUGACAACUUAUUCAAACGAGGCCCGGAAUAAAACCUACAAAUUAAACAAAAGGGCAUCACGGCCAAAUAUCGCGCGAAUUAACUUACUCAAAAGCUAAAACUAAUUGCACCAUAUAAAAUAUGUGGGGUUUGCAACACAAAAUAAUGCCACACAUUAAUGCGAGAAAUAAUCCUAGACACGGAAAAAUAAACUAGAGGCAAUUCCCUACACGCAAAAAUACAAAUGAAUGCUCUAUAAAGCAUGCAAAAAUGAUCCCUAAAACACGGGCAUUUUAUCUACGGUGUUCGAACAAACCGGACACGCACGAGAAUUAAAACGGGAUAAAAGAUACUAGGACAGCACGCUAAACUAGGCAUUAGGCACUCUAAACGGCGUCAAAUAAAUGUGCAGGUUUUAAAUACGUACUCUACGCGCAAAAAUACCACCAAACCAUAUACUACACGCCUCAAACCGACUAACGGAAUAAAAGUUACGGUCGUCUAAAUAUACGUCUAAAUCUGGAAUUUAAUUAAAUCCAGAGAAAUACCCUAAAAGGAAAAAAACAUCUAUCGGGCCUAAACUAUGGGCGCUCGAUAUCUAAAAUACGCUCGAGCGAUAAAUAGAGGUCUGGGGAGGAACCUCACCUUGGGCUUGGCCCAGGUCGGCGAGGGAGGCAGGCCGGUCAGCGCUGGAUGGGCUGGCCCAAGCGGGGGUAGGCUGCUGGCGGGGCAGUCGCNNNNNNNNNNNNNNNNNNNNNNNNNNNNNNNNNNNNNNNNNNNNNNNNNNNNNNNNNNNNNNNNNNNNNNNNNNNNNNNNNNNNNNNNNNNNNNNNNNNNNNNNNNNNNNNNNNNNNNNNNNNNNNNNNNNNNNNNNNNNNNNNNNNNNNNNNNNNNNNNNNNNNNNNNNNNNNNNNNNNNNNNNNNNNNNNNNNNNNNNNNNNNNNNNNNNNNNNNNNNNNNNNNNNNNNNNNNNNNNNNNNNNNNNNNNGGCCAAGGGCGGGGGCUGCGGGAGGAGCCUGGGCCGUUGGAUCAGCGAUCCGACGGUCCAGAUCGGCGCCCUGGUGGAUCAGAUCUGAGAGGAGAGAGAGGGAGGGAUCCCUGGGUUUCGGAAUUGCACGGUUUUCGAGGCAGGAUUAGGGGAGGCCUAAAAUGGAAGGGGAGGUGUGUUUAAAUAGGAAAGGGGGCUAGGUUUAGCGAAAUUUCGAUCCGGAGCCAACCGCGGGGUCGGAUUCGGACGAUUCCGAACGCGGGUAUGGGCAUGCGGUCGUGUAGAGGGGAUAUCCGGAGACGAGAUGGAGAACGGGCGGCGCGGCACGAAUUUUAAAACACCGACAUACGUCCGACUGUAGACCGAAUACGGUGCCGCUACGGUCGACAGUUCGGGUACCAGACGGUCUCCGAUCGCGACGAAAUUCGACAGGCGGUCUAGCGAAAACUAAACACGACCGCACGUCAAAUCUCAACCCGAUCAGAGAAAGUUUUAAACGCACUUUAAAAACAGGGUUUCGACGGUGCCGCGGGCGCGUGCGAGUGCGGUCGGGCUCAGAACGGACGACGACGCGAACCGACAACUAACAACGAAUGCUAGUUUUGAAAACUGGCGGCAACGGAGUUGCCGAUGCAAUGAUGAUGAUGCGGAUGAUGCGAUGAUGAUGCGGCAACUCAAAAUACCCACAGGACGAAAACGGAAAGAAAAGGGGAAGCUUCUGGAACGUCGGCAUCGGGCUGUCACAUGUGCCCACCAUAUGAAGAACAGGAGGUGGCGGUGCCUCCGUAUCAUAAAACGUGAUGAAACCUUCUCUUUGAUUUUUUUCCGGUCGAGACGGAAGAUAUAGAGCUGAGUUUGGGGGCAGUGGUGCCACCUGAGCCCCACAAGCCCUCACGGCGCGGCCAGGGGGUGGCUGCGGCCUGUGGGCUUGUGGCCCACUGGCACGCCCCCUCAGCUGGAUCUUUGCGCAGGUAUUUUUAUUUUAUUCCAGAAAAAAUCUCCGUAAAUUUUCAGGACAUUCCGAGAACUUUUAUUUCUGCACAAAAACAACGCCAUGGCAAUUCUGCUGAAAACAGCGUCAGUCCGGGUUAGUUCCAUUCAAAUCAUGCAAAUUAGAGUCCAAAACAAGGGUAGAAGAGUUUGGAAAAGUAGAUACGACGGAGACGUAUCAUGCAUUUAUGUUUUGCUUCACUCUUGGGGGCUAGCGAGAUACCACUCUAGUAUAUCCAAGUUUGUGCAUUGUGAUCUCGUUAUGAUUUUUAGUUACAUAUUAUUCUUUCUCAGUUGUUUGAAACUCUUCACAUGAUCGAAGGAUCUCUUCGUGCAUUGUCUUUGUAGCAUUACUUCGAUACUUGUUGGACUGGUUCGUAGUGCAUGUUUAUAUACAUCUGUUGAAGCAAAAGAGUUUUUCAAAGUUUUCUUUGUCGCGUUCGGUUCGUUGAACUGAAUUGCUUGAGGACAAGCAAUAUAUAUGCUAAGCUUGGGGGAGUUGAUACGUCUCAAACGUAUCGACUUUUCCAAACACUUCUGCUAAUGUUUUGGCCUCAUUCUUGCAUCAUUUGAAUGAAACUAACCCGGACUGACGCUGUAUUGAGCAAAGUUGUUUGUAUGGUUUUCUUGUUUGCAGGAAAAUGGAUAUUUAGAUGUCCCGGAAAAUUCCCAUAAAAAUAGAGAAAAUCCACGCACUGGGAGGAACCAUGGGCCAGAAGAUGGGCCACAGGGGAGCCACAGGGCCCCCACGCGACCUGCUGGUGUGGCCUACCCCCUGGUCGCGCCAGGAGGCUGACUGGGUGGGGCCCACCCCCUCUAGUGCCCUACUUUGGCUCCUAUUUUUACCCGUGACAUCGAAGAACAUAAGUCGUUUUGCAAGUUCUCGACGUGGAGCCGCUGCCACCCUCGGUUCUUCUUCGGGAGAGCUAAUCUAGAGGCUGUUUUGGCCUCCGGAGAGGGGAAAUCGUCGCCAUCAUCAUCACCAUCACCACUCCGUCAUCCUUCCAUGGCUUCUCCCAUCAUGUGUGAGUAAUUCCCUGUUGUAGGUGAAGGGGAUGGGAGAGAUUGGAUGAGUUAGAUCAUGUAAUAGUUUGUCGGAUUGUUGGGGGCAUGUUGCCUAUCAUCUACUAUGGUGUUAUCAUCUUUAAUACUACUUGUUACUCUUAAUGCUUGUCACUUUGGGCCUGAGUGCCCUGAUUUCAGAUCUGAAUACCUUAUGUUUUCAUGAAUAUAUUUGUGUUCUAGAUCCUAUCUAUGAGUAGUAUGCACCUAUUACAUUCCGGAACCGGCGAUCCCAAUGGUGACAGCUUGGGACACCAAACGGGAUAGGCUAUAGUUUGAGGAUUCCAUGUAUCCAUUGAUUGUUAAUGCUUUUUUCCGGUGCUCUUUGGCAGGAGCACCUUAAUCUCCAUAAGUUCCUUUUGGCCCCGUUGAUAGCAGGAUGGUAGGACAAAAGAUGUUGUGCAAGUUCUUAUUCCAACCACGCACAACUACCUCGGGAUACAUGCCUAAUGUUUGAUAUAUGCCUAGAUGAUCAUUACUUUUCUAUGUGCCUUGCCCCAAGUGAAAUACAUGAUAUCUCUCAUCCAUGACCAACCAUCCAUCUCCCUACCCUGCAGUGUUUUAAUAUUGCUAGUUGCAAGUUACUUUACUUUCGCCAUUUUGCUUCCCUUGCUUUGCCACUAUUAUUUCCGUUGCCACCUUCACUUUCAUAUCAUGGUUGCUACUAAUAUUUCGUUGCCAAGAAAGUAUCUUCCAGGUGUGGUUUAAUUGACAACUCAAAUGUUAAACCAUAUAAAUAUACUUUGGCUCCCCUUGUGUCGAAUCAAUAAAUUGGGUUAACUUACCCGCGAAGACUGUUGCGAUCCCCUACACUUGUGGGUUAUCAACGCCCAAGAAGCCUAGCAGGUUAACAUAAAGAUUCUUCGUCACGUGCAUCACGUCUAUUACAGAGCGUACCUGUAGGACUUUCCAAUAAGGCAGGUCCCAAAAUAUAGAUUUAUUCUUCCACAUGGACGCGUGUCCGUCAACGUCAUUCGGAACAAAUUGUCCGCCAGGACCCUUUCCAAAGAUUACUUUUAAUUCCUUGACCAUAUGAAGUAUAUGAUAACCAGUACGAUGGUCAAGAUUCUUCUGGUGAUCUGACUCACUUUGAAAUGCUUGCCUUCUUUUCUUAAGAGAUGCUUGAUCAGAAGAAAUCGAUGAUGUCCUAGGUACACAUUCUUCUUACAUUUAUCCAAAUAUAUACUUUCGAUGUCAUCUAAAUAGUGCACGCAUGUGUGGUAUCCCUUGUUUGUCUGUUAUUAAAGGUUACUAAGAGCAGGCCAAUCAUUGAUGGUUACAAAUAGCAACGCUCGUAGGUCAAAUUCAUGUUGUUUGUGCUCAUCCCACACACGUACACCUUUGAUAUCCCACAGCUGUGAAAGUUCUUCAACUAAUGGCCUUAGGUACACAUCAAUGUCAUUGUCGGAUUGCUUGGGGCCUUGGAUGAGCAUUGGCAUCAUAAUGAACUUCCGCUUCAUGCACAACUAAGGAGAAAGGUUAUAGAUACAUAGAGUCAUAGGCGAGGUGACCUGAUUGCUGCUCUGCUCCCCAAAAGGAUUAAUGAAAUCUGCACUUAAACCAAACCAAUAGUUCCAUGCAUCAUUUGCAAAGUCCGACCACUUUAUCUCGAUUUUCCUCCACUGCGGCCAAUCAGCGGGUACUCUCAACUUCCCGUCUUUCUUAUAGUCUUCUUUGUGUCAUUGCAUCAACUUGGCAUGCUCUUUGUUUUGGAACAAAUGUUUCAACCAUGGUAUUAUAGGAUCAUACCACAUAACCUUGGCAGGAAUCCUGUUCCUGGGGCGCUCGCCCUCAACAUCACGAGUGUCAUCGCAACUAUUAUUAUAGUGCAACGCACCGCAUACCGGGCAUGCAUUCAAAUUAUUGUAAUCCUCACCACGGUAGAGUAUGCAACCAUUAGGGCAUGCAUGUAUCUUGUGCACCUCUAAUCCUAGAGUGCAGAUAGCCUUCUUUGCUUCAUACGUACUGCCGUGUGAUACGUCCAUUUUGCAUCAUGCUUUCAUGUUGAUAUUUAUUGCUUUUUGGGCUAUUAUAUUAUUUGUGGUACCAUACUUAUGCCUUUUCUCUUUUAUUUUGCAAGGUUUAUUUGAAGAGGGAGAAUUUAGGCAGCUGGAAUUCUGGACUGGAAAAGGAGCACAUCUCCAAAUGCCUUGAAAAGUUACGUGGAUUUUUUCUGGAUUAUAUAAAAAAUACUGGGCGAAAGAACUACCGGAGGGGGGCUGCCAGGGCUCCACAAGCCCUAACACCGCCACCCCCCUAGUGGCGGAGUGGGGGCUUGUGGGCUCCCUGACGGCCCACUAGCCCCCCUCUUUUGCUAUAAGAAGCGUCCUGGUCCAGAAAAAAUAAAUCGGGAGCUUUUUCGUGGUUUCCCCGUCGCCACGAGGCGGAACUUGAGCAGAUCCAAUCUAGAGCUCCGACAGGACGAUCCUGCCGGGGAAACUUCCCUCCCGGAGGGGGGAAUCAUCGCCAUCGUCAUCACCAACACUCCUCUCGUCGGAGGGGAGGCAUCUUCAUCAACAUCUUCAUCAGCACCAUCUCCUCUCCAAUCCCUAGUUCAUCUCUUGUAACCAAUCUUCGUCUCGCAACUCCGAUUGGUACUUGUAAGGUUGCUAGUAGUGUUGAUUACUCUUUAUAGUUGAUGCUAGUUGAAUUCCUUAUGGAAGAGUUUAUGUUCAGAUCCUUGAUGCUAUUCAUUACACCUCUGAUCAUGAUUAUGAUUAUGCUUUGUGAGUAGUUACUUUUGUUCCUGAGGACAUGGGAUAAGUCAUGCUGAUAAUAGUCAUGUGAAUUUGAUAUUCGUUCGGUAUUUUGAUAUGUUGUAUGUUGUCUUUUCCUCUAGUGGUGUUAUGUGAACGUCAACUACAUAACACUUCACCAUAUUUGGGCCUAGAGGAAGGCAUUGGGGAGUAGUAAGUAGUUGAUAGGUUGCUGGAGUGACAGAAGCUUAAACCCCAGUCUAUGCGUUGCUUCGUGAGGGGCUGAUUUGGAUCCACUAGUUUAAUGCUAUGGUUAGACUUUGUCUUAAUUCUUCUUUUGUAGUUGCGGAUGCUUGCGAGAGAGGUUAAUCAUAAGUGGGAUGCUUGUCCAAGUAAGGGCAGUACCCACGCUCCGGUCCACCCACAUAUCAAACUAUCAAAGUAACGAACGCGAAUCAUACGAACAUGAUGAAACUAGCAUGACAGAAAUUCCCGUAUGUCCUCGAGAGCUUUUUUCCUCCUAUAAGACAUUGUUCAGGCUUGUCCCUUGCUACAAAAGGGAUUGGGCCACUUGCUGCACCGUUUCUACUACUUGUUACUUGUUACUCUUUGCUUGUGUAACGACCAAGAUGCGGUCCUUUCCGAUCUGGGGAUCGAGGCCCCGAAUUGGAAAGGAGUGCAUCUAAGCGUCUCGCAAACAGGUAACACAGCACAUACAUAAUAAUAAUAAAGAGACAAUCAGGGGUUCAAUUGCCUUCUCAUAAAUAUUAUCAGUGUACAUCACGCAUACAAUCAAAGUAGUUCCGCUACGGACUACAAACAAGAGAAAAUGGCUAUGCUACCCUGCCUGCUGGCCCACGAUCAUGACCACGCCUCAAUCUUCUGGAUAGUUCACGUACAGGCGGUCGGUCUCCUCAUCGUACUGCCAAGCCAGCUGCAUGCUGUCGGGAUCACCUGUCUCUAGGGUACCUGAACCUAUUGGUAUUAUGGAGGAAUCCGUGAGCCACGGGGACUCAGCAAUCUAAGACCUUGGUGCCAGAACUAGUCAAGUUAUUAGGUCGGAUAGGGUAGAGUGUUUAAGAUUGCAGCAUCCUAAGCUUGAAAUGGUGGCUAACUUACGUAGAGCAUUUAUGAAGGUGGACUAUACUAGCGGUCGAGAAUACUUGAUCACUAAGUGAUCCUGAACACCUACCUACGUCAUUCAUAACCCCACCGUGUUCCCGAUCGAAGAGAGAUCUCCAAGGGGACAGUCACGGUUACGCACACGGUUGGCAAUUUUAUUCCCCCCCCCAUGUUAAAGUUAUCUAAUACCAGAUGUUAACAAAAUAUUCCAAGUUGCCACAUAACCGCGGGCACGGCUUACCAAAAGAUUAAACCUUGCAGAGGUGCUCCAACUAGUCCAUCACAAACGUACAUGGGCCGCAAAGUAAUCCUCUAUGACGAAUCUCGUGAUCUCGUCGGAUUCCUUAGAGGAAAACCUCAACUCUGGGGGAACCAAAGCUUCACCGGGAUUCCUAUACGCAAGAUAUAUCGCUAAGGUAAGGCAAGACUAGCAGGACCUCCCGUCGUGUCGACGACCCCGAUAAGAGCCGCGUAUCUCAGUCUCAGGACACGAAAAGCCUACAAGAGCCAAACCUCAAGUUUCCCUGUGGUGGCCCCCACAGUCUGUCCAUUUUGGGCCAACACUCAUGAGGAGCACUGGCCCGGGUUGUUGAUUAAAGAUCCUCGGGUGAUCAUUUCCUAUGCAUAUUAUUAUUAAGUGAUUAGCAAAUUAACACCAAUGUUGGGUCCUGCCGGACAAGUCUUAGCACUAAGCGAUUUAUCGAGGGGGUCCCCAUAACAACCCCGAACGUCUUAGGAGCGAUCAAUAUGGAAUCAAACACCGGUAACCGGUAACUAUGGCGGCAAUAACGGAACAAAGCACCCGGCAAAAUGCUAGGCCUUCCGUCAUUUACCAAGUAUAUAGGUGCAUUAAUUAAAUAACAGAAUUUAAGAUAAUGACAUCAAGCUCAUGUUAUCACAUGAGUCAAAGCACCUGCAUCUAGCAACGCUAACAUUAGUAGCUGAGCAAAGCCUACUUAGCCAUUCAAGUUUGCUGGGAAGGGAUCAGUGUUUGGGUUCAUGGCAUAUCAAGAGGCAAAUAUUUCAGUGGUAGGCAGUGAGGAUAUGACAAAGGAAAUGUAAUAUAGCAUAACAAUUCUAGAGAUGGAAUCAAGGUCAUAUCAUCUUGCCUGUGAUAUCCUCAGCUUGGAAUGGUUCUUGAUCAUCCUGCACAUACUCUCCGGACUCCACGUACUCGUUCUCCGAUCCCGGUGCUAUCCAACAUAAGAAUAUCAUCCAAUGAACAACAUCACCUCAAGAUGCAACAAGCACAUGAUGCAUGAGAUGAAUAUGAGCAUGCAUCACUAUUUCUAUCACUAGCACAAGCAUAUGGAGUAAAUACAUGUUCCUGCACAGAACUGCAUGCUAACCUAUUUUGACAUGCAUGAGAAUGACAUGAUCAUAUGUGUCUCGUGUAAACGAUGCAAAAGCAUAUAAAGAACAUUACAAUCGGAGCUACGAAUCAACGGGAAUCAACGAAACAAGAUAUGAAGCCCUACGUGUCAAAAUAAUGACCACGCACUCAAAUGGCACAAAUCUGGUAUUCCUAGGUUGCCAAGAGAAUAACCAAACCAUCAUGGAUGGGGUGGAGCAAAUAAGAACACCACAACAUCAACUAAGCACUCACAAACAUCAAAAUCACAAAACUACACAAUCUGCCAUAAACUGCAUCAUAGCACUUUGUGAGCUACAUGCAAAGCACCUACGGCCACCCAAACAUGACAAAUAAUAUAUGUGGCUGUAUCUAGACAAGAAUACUACAAGCACAAGCAAGAAUCACACAAAAAGGAAUUAAACACAGAAAGUUACAAGGCUGCAAACUUGCCCAAAAACGACAGUUUUCACGGACUUAGAGAAAAUUCCAGAUUCUCACUUUCUCUCUAUGCUCUGAAGCAUUUUGACAGCAGCCAAAACAAUAUCUAUAGGGCUCCAAAUGACAUGCAAUUUUACAGGGAGCUAGACAAACAUAUCAGGUACAACUUUCUAGGUGAAAGCUAAGGCUUGAUCACAACACAAUGACCAGCACAACCUCAUCAACAGGAGAAGAAAAUAUAAACAGAUUCUCAGACUUCGUGAAAAUCUCAGAUUUUCACUAAUCUGGAAUUUCAGCCACAUGCCUACUUUGAGUGGGCAUAACUUGCACAUAUGGAAUCCUAAUCAUGAGAUGAAACCAACAAGAGUUAGAGGGGGUCACCCUCUACUACCACAACCAAGAAACAAACACAAAGACUCAUCACAACUCAUGGAAGCAAGCUCUAAACAUAGAAGAAAAUGAAAAUAUGUCAUCUCCAGAAAUGUUCCAAUGGAAAAAACUGAUCUCACCAAUGGAUUCCUUAGGAGAUUCUACCCCAAAAACAUAUAUAAUAUGUGGGCACGUACUUGGAACAAGUGACCACAAAUUAAGAAGGAAAAAACAACAUAGAAUCUUAAUUAGUGAAUAGUGCAACAUCACAUGUGCAAAAUCACUAGAACACUAUCUACACUAGCACUUGCAUGACCACAACACCAAUGUUGACAUGAGGAUUUUGACCCCAUGUGUGUGUGCCAUGGCCAUCACCAUACCCAAACAUAUCUACAAGACAAACUCACCGACACAAGAAACAUGCACCACUCACAUAUGGACAUAUGGACAUAUGAGGAUUCCCCACACACAAGCACAUGCUCACAAUCCAUGGUGCUCAUGAAAUAUGUUCAUGUGUGUGUGUGCUUCUCACACACCACACCUCAAUAUAAACAUGCACUCAAAACCUACCACACUACACCACUUAAGCAUGUCACUAGUGCAUCAUCCUCACCUUGAGGAAGAGCUGCUCACACACAUGCAGCACACUAGGCUAGUAAAACACCCACAAGUCAAGCACAUCACAAACAUCUCAUAUGGAAGAAGAUCCACACAUACACUACUCUACCUUACAGAUAACUACACACUCACAUAAACACACAUGCUAGCAAAAAAAAUACCUUCACACACAUGCUGUUUGUGGGAAGAAAGUAUUCCCACUUGGUGUAGCUCACACCAAGCAACUCUCAUACACAUACAAGAGGAUAAGCAGCAACAAGGCAAAAGAAAAUAAAUUAAAAGGGGUGGUGGUUUCGAACCCAGGACCUCCUGGUACAAGCCACAACACCAAACCACUCUGCUACCAAACACUAUCUCGACAGGGAAGGAUAGAAAAGCAAGUUGACUGCACUGCUGCUGCAACGCUACUGUUGCCCGAAAUAUAAUGCAAAAAGGGGGGAGAGAUCUCCUGGGACUCGAACCCACAACCUCUCGAGAACAAAUAUUGGUUGUUACCACUUCGCUAUGAUAUGGACGACUGACAUAACAGGGAACUGUAACAAGGUAACUAGCACCUGAUCCAUACCCUGCUCUGCACCAGCGAGCCGGCGACACAGAGAUCGCCAAUGAUGGUCUCUCUCUACAGCUCAAUGUCGACGAGGGGAUCCAACCUAGUCUCAGCGCUGCUACCACGAGGGGCAAGGAAGCCCCCCUCUUUCACCCAUGCAACCGAACGCCAGUACACAGAACACCACCACGCACAUGACCGAUCUACCUCUCUGAGCAGAGAAACUCCGGCGAAGUACAAGCGAUCCUAGCGAGGAGGAAGGAGGGAGGGGAGAUCCCUCACCUAGGGAAGGAAGGGAAGAAGCCACCCCGCUUGAAGGAGUAGCCGGAGGGGAAGAAGACGCGUCGGAACUCUGUUGCCGAUGAAGUAGAGGAAGACGACGGGGAACUUCGGGGCCGAGGCGAUGGCGACCUCCUGGCCGUCGUUGUAGUCGCUCCUCGACCUCAACGAUGGCGGGAAUGGGGCGCGGGGAGCCUCCCCGAGCUCCUGGACAUGGCGGCGGCUCCGGACGUCGACGGGAACGGGGAAGACACCGGCGAGGCUUCCCUUCUCUCUCUGCCACUCCUACAGGAACUUACCGGUGGGGGAAGGAAGAGAGAUGGGGAUGGAGAGAGGUGGCGGCGCAGAUGGGGAGAGAGGGAAACCCUUAGGCAGUUGGGCACGGACGCCCACGCUUUAUGGGGUGGCCUCGACGGUUGUGCCUGACGGCGGCACGCCCUCUCUCUGUGCUGACGAGACGGAAAGUUGGACGAGGAAGAACGCCGUCAGAAGACGAGGAGGUCGCAGGACUGGGCCACCGCGCCAGGAAGGGAGGGGGAACUGGGCCACGCUGUGCGGGAUCAAGCCCAAUAGAGCGCCACUUAAGAGAAAAUAAAUGCCUGGUGUUUUUCUUUUUUACAAGAAGUACAAGAGAAGAAUGAAAUGCACAAGAAAAACUACAAACGCAAAAAAUAAAGCUAGCACAUCCCUGGUCAUGAAAAUUCAUGACCUAUUUGAAUAAAAUGCAACAUGAAUGUAUGGGGCAAAUUAAUAUUUACAAAACAGCCAUUGUUUGACCUGUUUUGUAAUUAUUUGCACCUCUUGCACCCCUCCUUAAAAGAGCAUCUAUACUUCACAAAUCCACCACACACAAGAGCUAAAACAGGAACAUUUUAAAAACAGAAAAGGAAGUAGUGAAUCUUGACAUAGGAGGAAUAGAGAGAGGGGUGAAGAUGAUUUGAAACCUAAGCAUUCACAUGGUAUCCUACUAGCACAAGCAACCUAGUAGAGUUGCACCACACCACACAUAUGUCCACAAGAUCACAAACACCACAUAAAAGCAUAAGACCACAAUGCAACAUCACAAGACAUGAGCAUGAAAUGUUAUGUUAUGCAUGAAUGCAAGGAAAGGAAAUGUUAAGGGACAUCACAUGGAAUCAUGGCAUUGAUCUAUCUCAUAGCAUAGACAUGGUGGUCCCACAUGGAAGGUUACAAAAAGGGAAGGCUUUACACUUGGGGCACUACAGACUCUCCCACACUAUGAAAAAGAUCUCGCCCCGAGAUCUACGCCUGAAAGAAUGCCGGAAAUUCAGAACGGAGGUGGUCCUAGCAUUCCCAAGUAGCCUCUUUAUCGGAAUGGUGUGACCACUGCACUUUGAGAAAUUUGACAGUCUUGUUACUGGUCUUGCGCUCAGUCGCCUCGAGAACCACAACUGGAUUCUCACGAUAACAAAGGUCAGGCUGAAGGUCGAUGUCUUGAAGAAGAACAGUGCGCUCGGGGGUCUUGAAGCACCUCCGAAGCUGAGAAACAUGGAACACAUCAUGGACAUUUGCAAAGUUUGUCGGAAGCUCGAGCUGGUACGCAAGGUGGCCUCUCUUGCCAACCACUCUGAACGGACCAACGAAACGAGGCGCAAGCUUGCCUUUGAUGCCAAAGCGUUGCAUACCCUUCAUAGGUGACACCUUGAGAUAGACGAAGUCAUCAAGAUCAUAAGACAUGUCACGGUGCUUGCUAUCAUAAUAGCUCUUCUGACGGGACUGAGCUGCUUUGAGGUUGUCGCGAAUGAUCCGACACAUCUCCUCAGCUUCUUCUAUCAUAUCAUUGCCAAGGAUCUGACGCUCGCCGGUCUCGGACCAGUUGAGCGGAGUACGGCACUUCCUGCCAUAGAGAAUUUCAAACGGAGCCUUGCCAGAACUAGCUCGAUAACUGUUGUUAUACGAGAACUCCGCGAAAGGCAGACAAUCUUCCCACUUCAUGCCAAAAGAGAUAACACAGGCUCUCAGCAUAUCCUCAAGAACGUGAUUCACUCUCUCCACUUGACCACUAGUCUGAGGAUGGAACGCUGUGCUGAAGCGGAUCUUCGUGUCCAUAGCAGACUAAAAGGAGUCCCAGAACUUGGAAGUGAAGAUACUUCCGCGAUCCGAAGAGAUCAUCAUAGGCACGCCGUGCAAAGAGACAAUCCUGGAGGUGUACAACUCUGCGAGCUGAGCUGCUGAAAUGGACUCGUUGACUGGAAGAAAAUGAACCACUUUACUCAACUUGUCGAUGACGACGAAGAUAGAAUCAUUACCCUUCUUGGACUUCAAAAACCCGGUGACGAAAUCCAUCUCAAUGUGAUCGAACUUCCACUCUGGAAUUGGCAAAGGCUGCAAAAGGCCUGCUGGGCGUUGAUGUUCUACUUUCACCCUUCGACAUACAUCACAUUCAUUUACGAACUGAGCAAUCUCACGCUUCAUACGAGUCCACCAGAAGGUCUGCUUCAAGUCGUGGUACAUUUUGGAGCUUCCAGGAUGAAUAGAGAGCAGAGAGUUAUGAGCUUCCUCCAUGAUUACCUUCCUAAGAUCACCUUUCGGGACGACAAGGCGAUCCUCGAAGAACAACGUGUCUCUGGCAUCGACAGUGAAGCACUUAUACUUGGGGAGACUCUUUCCCACGGCAAUCUUGACCUUCUUCACCAUAGCGUCAAGAAGUUGUGCUGCUCGGACCUGAUCUUCCAAGGUAGGAGAGAUCUGAAGGUUUGCAAGAAAUCCCUGAGGUACUAGCUGAAGGUUGAGAUUCCUGAAAGACUCACAAAGACCAGGCUGGAGAGGUUGCACAAUCAGACUAUUGCAAUAUGCCUUCCUGCUCAAAGCAUCCUCCACGACAUUAGCUUUGCCUGGCGUGUACUCAACACUCGGAUUAAAAUCCUGGAGCAUUUCCACCCAACGUGUUUGCUGAAGAUUCAAGUUAGACUGAGUGAAGAUGUACUUGAGACUCUUGUGAACGGCGAAACUUCAACCUUACGUUCCAACAAGAGGUGUCUCCAAGUCAUCGGAGCAUGUACCACAGCUGCUAGCUCAAGAUCAUGCACAGGAUAGUUCUUCUCCGCUGGCUUCAACUGCCUGGAGGUAUAAGCAACCACCUUCUUAUCUUGCAUCUGGACCGCACCAAGACCCUGGAGAGAAGCGUCGCAGAAGACCUGGUAAGGCAUGGAAUCAUCCGGAGGGACCAAGACAGGAGUGGAGGUAAGCUUCUCUUUGAGUGUAUCGAAGGCCAGUUGACACAAUGGAGACCAAGCAUACUUAACACCCUUCUGAAGAAGACUUGAGAGCGGCUUGGCGAUCUUGGAGAAGUUCUCAAAAAACCUUCCUCAAUAUCCAGCAAGCCCAAGAAAGCUUCGAAGCUCCUUCACAUUCUGCGGAGGCUCCCAUUCAACAAUGGCCUGAACCUUGGACGGAUCGACUUUAAUGCCCUCGGCAGAGAUAAUGUGCCCAAGAUACACCACUUCUUUCAGCCAGAACUCGCACUUGGAAAACUUAGCAUACAGCUUGUACUCUCUCAGCUUAUCAAGCACCAAUCUGAGAUGUUCUUCAUGUUCUUCCUCAGUUUGAGAAAAGACCAGAAUGGCGUCGAGGUAGAGCAAGACAAAGUCAUUCUUGAACGGAGAGAAUAUGUAGUUCAUCAAUCGACAGAAUGUCGGAGGAGCAUUUGCCAGACCAAAAGACAUGACCAUAUACUCAUACGAGCCAAAACUAGUCCUGAAGGCAGUCUUCGGAAUAUCUUCCUCGCGAAUGUGAAUUUGAUGAUAGCCCAUUCUAAGAUCAAGCUUGGAGAAGACCUUAGCACCUUUCAACUGUUCGAAAAACUCAGUUAUGUUCGGAAGUGGAUAUUUGUUCCUGAUUGUCUUCUUAUUCAAUGGGAAGUAAUCUACACACAGUCGGUCCGUGCCAUCCUUCUUCUUGACAAACAGAACACCACAGCCCCACGGAGACGAGCUUGGUCUGAUCAAACCCAAACUCUCCUGCUCAUCGAGUUGCCUCAUAAGUUCCUUCAAUUCUUCUGGGCCCAGCUUGUACAGUCGUUUGCACACUCGCUCUGUGCCUGGCUCAAGCUCAAUGACAAACUGAACUUCACGGUGCGGAGGCAUGCCUGGAAGUUCUUUAGGAAAUACAUCUUCAUACUCGCAGACCACUGGGAGUUGCGAGAUAGGAUUGAUCUCACCCUUUUCAUACAAAGAGAACAGACGGAUUGUAUCAUCACGCGCCGGGAAUAUAAUCACGUCCUCCGAAGAGUGGGUAAGCUUCACUUCUUUGGCUUCACAAUCAAUUGACGCCUUGUUCAUGGCUAGCCAGUCCAUACCAAGAAUAAACUCGAUGUCGGAAUUGCCCAAGACAAUAGGAGACGCCAGAAAAGCAUAAGCACCCAUCUUGACAGAAAUAUCAGGAACGAACAAACUAGAACUCAAAGGCUUUGCAGGAGAAACGACUGCCAACGGCUUAGGCAACUGCUCCUGACGCAGAUUAUGCUUGGAUGCAAAUGGAUAUGACACGAAGCAAUGCGAAGCACCAGAAUCAAAUAAAACUUUAGCAGGAAUAUCAUUGACGAGGAGGUUACCCAUGAUCACAUCUGACGAGUUCUCUGCCUUAGCUGCAUUCACCAUGUUGACUCGAGCUGAUCUAUGGUUGAACUUGACAAGAGCGUUGCUUGGAGGUUUGCCUGGAGGAGGAGGCGGCAGUCGGAGCUGAGAAAUACACUUGUUGGCAUAGUGGCCCUUCUGCCCACACUUGUGACAAGUGACAUCUGCUGGCUGCCGGUACUGAGUCUGAGGAGGCCCUUGCUUGUGAUGUUGGUAUCUCUGCUGGAAAACAGGGUUGGGUGGGUGGGAAGAACCACGACCACCUGAGUGCUUGAGCUGCUGCGAGUGCCGAGGAGGAGGACGAGAAACCCAAAACUUCUGUUGCUUCUGAACCACCUGAGUCGAGGAAGAGCUGGAAUCUCUGAAGCGCUUCUUAGAAUUCUCCACCCUGAGCAAGGCUGCCUCUGCUGUGAGAGAUAGGUUGUAGAACUUGUCGAACUCCUCAGGAUCGUGCAAGGCAAGAGCUAACUACAAAUCUUCUUUCAAGCCACCUUUGAACUGAUAAAUCUUGCUCUUGUGAUCAGGGAUAUCCUGCAACGUGUAACAGGCCAGCUCAUGGAACUAAACGUUGUACUUGUACACGGAAAUGCCACCCUGCUUCAAACGCCUGAACUUCUCAUGCAUCUCCUCCACGAAACUGGAAGGGAUGUACUGGGACCUGAAAUCACGACAGAACUCAUCCCAAGAAAUCACCCUAGCACCACUGGAGUCCUUCAGUUGCUGCCACCAUAUAGAAGCCUACCCCUUCAACUGAAACGUUGCAAACUUGACAUAAUCCUCCGGACGCACAUUGCUACACUCAAAAUGUUUGUUCAUAUCACGGAUCCAAUCUUUUGCAUCAAAUGGCUGGUCGCAUGAAGUGAACGUCUUUGGUUGGUUUGACAGGAACUGACUCAGACUCGCAAACUGAUUGCCACCAUGCAGGAAAUUGCAUGGUUGUUGGUUGGCUCUCUCUUGCAGCAACUGUAUCAGCAUCUGGGUGUUUGCAUUAGUAGCACCAUCACCGCUUGCCAGGCCUCUGCAGGAGGAGGAGGCGGCGGAGGGUUCUUCGGAGGGGGAGGUGGAGGAAGCAUAUCCUCACGCCCUGGAUUCUGACGAGUCGGUGGAGCCAUCCUGAAGAUGGACAGCAUAUUAGCCCACAGAAUAAUUGAAGAUAUUGUUGAAUCAAAAGACAGGAAUAUCUUAACAGGAAUAAGCAAUGCACUCGAACAAAUUAGUAAGAAUGCUUCCUGAAAGUGAUGGACGACACAAUUCCGAUUAGGACCACUUCAAACAAGUAUGAGCUAGAACUGCUCGGAACAAACAUACGAUCGAGAUUUCCCCAACCUCAAUCAUGCAUCUGUAGGAAGAUAGUCCUAUAAGAUACUACUUGAUAUCCCACCUAAGAAUUCCCGAAAUAACUGGUCAUGCAAUCUGGUACACGGAUACAAGGAGUAAUAUCACACAACUCCUAAAGUAACCCAUCACCUGUAUCACAUCCUUCAACACACAACCAGCAUCUCGGACCUUCAUCUACCACAGACCCUCGUGGUCACAACGAUACCAAGUAUGGUAGUACUCCCGAACAAUCUACACCAGUACUAGGGACAUCAGGGUUAUCUCGCCACUACCGGUAUUGAAGCAAUAACGAACAUCCUUCGUUCUUAGAUACUCAUAAAUCUGAAUGAUGGCGAUGUGUGCAAGAGUCCCCUGGAGCUCAACUCCCCGGAAGAAACUCAAAGCAGAGAGGAGGCACCAAGGCAGGACUCUGUCACAUCGAAAUCAUAUAGAUUUCACAAAUACCCGCGUGAUCCUAAAAAAAAUUUGAGCGAGAAAAGGAGUAGAGUUAAAGAUUUCCUAAGUCGGGAACCUCACCAGAGCAUAGAAGAGGAGAAAAAAGAAUCCUACUCUCUAAUAUAACUAAGACUCAAAACAUUUUACUAGACUCGACUCGGCCAAGUACGAUCACACAAAGGCUCCUAUGGUCGUAAGGCUCUGAUACCAACUUGUAACGACCAAGAUGCGGUCCUUUCCGAUCUGGGGAUCGAGGCCCCGAAUUGGAAAGGAGCGCAUCUAACCGUCUCGCAAACAGGUAACACAGCACAUACAUAAUAAUAAUAAAGAGACAAUCAAGGGUUCAAUUGCCUUCUCAUAAAUAUAUCAGAGUACAUCACGCAUACAAUCAAAGUAGUUCCGCUACGGACUACAAACAAGAGAAAGUGGCUAUGCUACCCUGCCUGCUGACCCAUGAUCACGACCACGCCUCAAUCUUCUGGAUAGUUCACGUACAGGCAGUCGGUCUCCUCAUCGUACUGCCAAGCCAGCUGCAUGCCGUCGGGAUCACCUGUCUCUAGGGUACCUAAACCUGUUGGUAUUGUGGAGGAAUCCGUGAGCCACGGGGACUCAGCAAUCUAAGACCUUGGUGCCAGAACUAGUCAAAUUAUUAGGUUGGAUAGGGUAGAGUGUUUAAGGUUGCAGCAUCCUAAGCUUGAAAUGGUGGCUAACUUACGUAGAGCAUUUAUGAAGGUGGACUAUACUAGCGGUCGAGAAUACUUGAUCACUAAGUGAUCCUGAACACCUACCCACGUCAUUCAUAACCCCACCGUGUUCCCGAUCGAAGAGAGAUCUCCAAGGGGACAGUCACGGUUACGAACACGGUUGGCAAUUUUAUUAGCUUAUGUCAUGUUAAAGUUAUCUAAUACCGGAUGUUAACAAAAUAUUCCAAGUUGCCACAUAACCGCGGGCACGGCUUCCCAAAAGAUUAAACCCUGCAGGGGUGCUCCAACUAGUCCAUCACAAACGUACACGGGCCGCAAAGUAAUCCUCUAUCACGAAUCUCGUGAUCUCGUCGGAUCCCUUAGAGGAAAACCUCAACUCUGGAGGAACCAAAACUUCACCGGGAUUCCUAUACACAAGAUAUAUCGCUAAGGUAAGGCAAGACUAGCAGGACCUCCCGUCGUGUCGACGACCCCGAUAAGAGCCGCGUAUCUCAGUCUCAGGACACGAAAAGCCUAUAGGAGCCAAACCUCAAGUUUCCCUGUGGUGGCCUCCACAGUCUAUCCAUUUUGGACCAACACUCAUGAGGAGCACUGCCCGGGUUGUUCAUUAAAGAUCCUCGGGGUGAUCAGUCCCUAUGCAGAUUAUUAUUAAGUGAUUAGCAAAUUAACACCAAUGUUGGGUCCUGCCGGACAAGUCUUAGCACUAAGCGAUUUAUCGAGGGGGUCCCCAUAACAACCCUGAACGUGUUAGGAGAGAUCAAUAUGGAAUCAAACACCGGUAACCGGUAACUAUGGUGGCAAUAACGGAACAAAGCACCUGGAAAAACGCUAGGCCUUCCGUCAUUUACCAAGUAUAUAGGUGCAUGAAUUAAAUAUGAGAAUUUAAGAUAAUGACAUCAAGCUCAGGUUAUCACAUGAGUCAAAGCACCUGCAUCUAGCAACACUAACAUUAGUAGCUGAGCAAAGCCUACUUAGCCAUUCAAGUUUGCUGGGAAGGGAUCAGUGUUUGGGUUCACGGCAUAUCAAGUGGCGAAUAUUUCAGUGGUAGGCAGCGAGCAUAUGACAAAGGAAACGUAAUCUAGCAUAACAAGUCUAGAGAUGGAAUCAAGGUCAUAUCAUCUUGCCUGUGAUAUCCUCAGCUUGGAAUGGUUCUUGAUCGUCCUGCACGUACUCUCCGGACUCCACAUACUCGUUCUCCGAUCCGGUGCUACCCAACAUAAGAAUAACAUCCACUGAACAAAAGCACCUCAAGAUGCAACAAGCACAUGAUGCAUGAGAUGAAUAUGAGCAUGCAUCACUAUUUCUAUCACUAGCACAAGCAUAAGGAGUAAAUACAUGUUCCUGGACAGAACUGCAUGCUAACCUAUUUUUACAUGCAUGAGAAUGACAUGAUCAGAUGCGUCUCGUGAAAAUGAUGCAAAAUCAUAUAAAGAACAUUACAAUCGGAGCUACGGAUCAACGGGAAUCAACGAAACAAGAUAUGAAGCCCUACGUGUCAAAAUCAUCACCACACACUCAAAUGGCACAAAUCUGGUAUUCCCAGGUUGCCAAGACAAUAAACAAGGAAAAUCAUGGAUGGGGUGGAGCAAAUAAGAACACCACAACAUCAACUAAGCACUCACAAACAUCAAAAUGACAAAACUACACAAUCUGCCAUAAACUGCAUCAUAGCACUUUGUGAGCUACAUGCAAAGCAUCUACAGCCACCCAAACAUGACAAAUAAUAUAUGUGGCUGUAGCUAUCCAAGAAUAAUACAAGCACAAGCAAGAAUCACACAAAAAGGAAUUAAACACAGAAAGUUACAAGGCUGCAAACUUGCCCAAAAACAUCAGUUUUCACGGACUUGAAAAUUCCAGAUUCUCACUUUCUGUCUAUGCUCUGAAGCAUUUUGACAGCAGCCAAAACAAUAUCUACAGGGCUCCGAAUGACAUGAAAUAUUACAGCGAGCUAUACAAACAUAUCCGGUCCAACUUUCUAGUUGAAAGCUAAGGCUAGAUCACAACACAAUGACCAGCACAACCUCAUCAACACGAGAAGAAAAUAUAAACAGAUUCUCAGACUUAGUGAAAAUCUCAGAUUUUCACUAAUCUGGAAUUUCAGCCACAUGCCUACUUUGAGUGGGCAUAACUUGCACAUAUGGAAUCCUGAUCAUGAGAUGAAACCAACAAAAGGUAGAGGGGGUCACCCUCUACUACCACAACCAAGAAACAAACACAAAGACUCAUCACGACUCAUGGAACCAAGCUCUAAACAUAGAAGAAAAUGAAAAUAUGUCAUCUCUAGAAAAUGUUCCAAUGGCAAAACUGAGUUCACCAAUGGAUUCCUUGGGAUAUUCUACCCCAAAAACAUAUAUAAUAUGUGGGCACUUACUUGGAACAAGUGACCACAAAUUAAGAAGGAAAACCAACAUAGAAUCAUAAGUAGUGAAUAGUGCAACAUCACAUGUGCAAAAUCACUAGAACACUAUCUACACUAGAACUCGCAUGAACACAACACCAAUGUUGACAUGAGGGUUUUGACCCGAUGUGUGUGUGCCAUGGCCAUCACCAUACCCAAACAUAUCUACAAGGCAAACUCACCAACACAAGAAACAUGCACCACUCACAUAUGGACAUAUGAAGGUACCCCUUGUUUCUAGUAGGUGGGGAUUCCACACACACAAGCACAUGCUCACAAUCCAUGGUGCUCAUGAAAUAUGUUCAUGUGUUUGUGCUUCUCACACACCACUCCUCAAUAUAAACAUGCACUCAAAACCUACCACGCUACACCACUUAAGCAUGUCACUAGUGCAUCAUCCUCACCUUGAGGAAGAGCUGCUCACACACAUGCAGCACACUAGGCUAGUAAAACACCCACAAGUCAAGCACCUCAGAAACAUCUCAUACGGAAGAAGAUCCACACAUACACUACUCUACCUUACAAAUAACUACACACUCACAUAAACACACAUGCUAGCAAAAAAAUUACCUUCACACACAUGCUGUUUGUGGGAAGAAAGUAUUCCCACUUGGUGUAGCUCACACCAAGCAACUCUCAUACACAUACAAGAGGAGAAGCAGCAACAAGGCAAAAGAAAAUAAAUUAAAAGGGGUGGUGGUUUCGAACCCAGGACCUCCUGGUACAAGCCACAACACCAAACCACUCUGCUACCAAACACUAUCUCGACACGGAAGGAUAGAAAAGCAAGUUGACUGCACUAUUGCAGUAAUGCUAGUGUUGCCCGAAAUAUAAUGCAAAAAGGGGGGAGAGAUCUCCUGGGACUCAAACCCACAACCUCACGAGAACAAAUACUGGUUGUUACCACUUCGCUACGAUAUGGACGACUGACAUAACAGGGAACUGUAACAAGGUAACUAGCACCUGAUCCAUACCCUGCUCUGCACGAGCGAGCCAGCGACAGAGAGAUCGCCGGUGCUGGUCUCUCUCUACGGCUCAACAUCGACGAGGGGAUCCAACCUAGUCUCAGCGCUGCAACCACGAGGGGGAAGUAAGUCCCCCUCUUGCACCCAUGCAACCGAACGCCAGUACGCAGAACACCACCACGCAAAUGACCGAUCUACCUCUCGGAGCAGAGAAACUCCGGCGAAGUACAAGCGAUCCUAGCGAGGAGGAAGGAGGGAGGGGAGAUGCCUCACCUAGGGAAGGAAGGGAAGAAGCCACCCCGCUUGAAGGAGUAGCCGGAGGGGAAGAAGACGCGUCGGAACUCUGCUGCCAAUGAAAUAGAGGAAGACGACGGGGAACUCUGGGGCCGAGGCGAUGGCGACCUCCUAGCCGUCGUUGUGGUCACUCCUCGACCUCAACGAUGGCGGGAAUGGGGCGCGGGAAGCCUGACUGAGCUCCUGGACAUGGCGGCGGCUCCGGACAUCGACGGGAACGGGGAAGACGUCGGCGAGGCUUCCCUUCUCUCUCUCCCACUCCUACAAGAACUUACUGGCGGUGGAAGGAAGGGAGAUGGGGAUGGAGAGAGGUGGCGGCGCAGAUCGGGAGAGAGGGAAACCCUAAGGCAGUUAGGCACGGACGCCCACACUUUAUGGCGUGGCCUCGACGGCUGUGCCUGAUGGCAGCAUACCCUCCCUCUCUGCUGACGAGACAGAAAGGUGGACGAGGAAGAACACCGUCAGAAGACGAGGCGGUCGCAGGACUGGGCCACCGCGCGAGGAAGGGAGGGGGAACUGGGCCACGCUGUGCGGGAGCAAGCCCAAUAGAGCGCCACUUAAGAGAAAAUAAAUCCCUGGUGUUUUUCUUUUUUACAAGAAGUACCAGAGAAGAAUGAAAUGCACAAGAAAAACUACAAAAGCAAAAAAAUAAAGCUAGCACAUCCCUGGUCAUGAAAAUUCAUGACCUAUUUGAAUAAAAUGCAACAUGAAUAUAUGGGGCAAAUUAAUAUCUACAAAACAGCCAUUGGUUGACCUGUUUUGUAAUUAUUUGCACCUCUUGCACCCCUCCUUAAAAGAGCAUCUAUACUUCACAAAUCCACCACACACAAGAGCUAAAACAGGAACAUUUUAAAAACAGAAAAGGAAGUAGUGAAUCUUGACAUAGGAGGAAUAGAGAGAGGGGUGAAGAUGAUUUGAAACCUAAGCAUUCACAUGGUAUCCUACUAGCACAAGAAACCUAGUAGAGUUGCACCACACCACACAUAUGUCCACAAGAUCACAAACACCACAUGAAAGCAUAAGACCACAAUGCAACAUCACAAGACAUGAGCAUGAAAUGUUAUGUUAUGCAUGAAUGCAAGGAAAGGAAAUGUUAAGGGACAUGACAUGGAAUCAUGGCAUUGAUCUCUCUCAUAGCAUAGACAUGGUGGUCCCACAUGGAAGGUUACAAAAAGGGAAGGCUUUACACUUGGGGCACUACAGCUUGCUACGUUUCACCUUGCUACACAAUCACUUGUUACCGCUUCUUUCAGGGCUUUCAGUUAUUACCUUGCUGAAAUCCAUUUAUCAGAGCCUUCUGCUCCUCGUUGGGUUCGACACUCUUACUUAUCGAAAGGACUACGAUUAAUCCCCUAUACUUGUGGGUCAUCAAGACUCUUUUCUGGCGACGUUGCCGGGGAGUUUUGCACCUUUGGUAAGUGGAAAUUGGUAAGGAAACAUUUAUAUACUGUGCUGAAAUUUAUUGUCACUUGUCACUAUGGAAACUGUUUCUUUGAGGAGUUUGUUCGGGGUAUCUUCACGACGAACGGAAGCACGAGGAGUUGCUCCUCAACCUGAGGUACCUAGUGAAAAUAUCUUUUAUGAAAUUCCUUCAGGUAUGCUUGAGAAACUUCUGGCUAAUCCUUUGACAGGAGAUGGAUCUUCACAUCCACACUUGCAUCUAAUCUAUGUAGAUGAAGUUUGUGGUUUAUUUAAGCUUGCAGCUUUGCCCGAGGAUGAGGUAAAGAAGAAAGUCUUUCCUUUAUCUUUGAAGGAUAAGGCGUUGACAUGGUAUAGGCUUUGUGAUGACACUGGAUCAUGGGGCUACAAUCGGUUGAAAUUGGAAUUUCAUCAAAAGUUCUAUCCUAUGCAUUUAAUACAUCGUGAUCGGACUUUAUUUAUAAAUUUUGGCCUCGUGACAAGGAAAGCAUAGCUCAAGCUUGGGGGAGGCUUAAAUCAAUGCUAUAUUCAUGCCCCAAUCAUGAGCUCUCGGGAGAAAUCAUCACUCAAAACUUUUAUGCUCGGCUUUCUCAUGAAGAUCUUACCAUGCUUGACACUUCUUGUACCGGUUAUUUUAUGAAGAAGGAUAUUGAUCACAAGUGGAAUUUAUUGGAGAGAAUCAAACGCAACUCUGAAGAUUGGGAGCUGGAGGAAGGUAAGGAGUCAGGUAUGAAUUUCCAGUUUGAUUGCGUUAAAUAUUUUGUUGAGACAAACACUUCUAGAGAUUUUAGCGCUAAGUAUGGACUUGACUCUGAGAUAGUAGCUUCUCUAUGUGAAUCUUUUGCUGCUCAUGGUAAUCUUCCCAAAGAGAAGUGGUUUAAAUAUCAUCCUCCUAUAGAAAGCAACAUAGCCAAAACCAAUCUAGUUGAGGAGAAAGUCAUUGCUUUUAGUGAUCCUAUUGUUCCUUGUGCUUACACUGAGAAACCACCAUACCCUGCUAGGAUAAAGGAUUAUUCUAAAGCUCCAACUGUGAUACGUAGGGGUUACAUUAGAUCACUUGCACCCCCUGAGGAGAUUAGAGUUGAACCUAGUGUUGCUAUUAUCAAAGAUCUCUUAGCCGAAGACAUAGAUGGGCAUGUUAUCAAAUUCUGUGAGGACUCCGCUAGAAUUGCUAAACCUCACGCGAAAGACAAACACGGACCUGUAGUUGGCCUGCCCGUUGUUUCUGUUAAGAUAGGAGAUCACUGUUACCAUGGUUUAUGUGAUAUGGGAGCUAGUGUUAGUGCAAUACCCCGUUCUCUAUAUGAUGAAAUCCAAGAUGAGAUUGCACCUGCUGAGUUAGAACCCAUCGAUGUCACUAUUACGCUAGCUAAUAGAGACACUAUCUACCCUGUGGGAAUUAUGAGAGACGUAGAAGUCCUGUGUAGUAAGAGGAAGUAUCCUACUGAUUUCCUCAUCCUUGGUACUGCACAAGAUAGCUUUUGUCCCAUCAUAUUCGGUAGACCCUUUCUCAACACUGUCAAUGCUCACAUUGAUUGCAUUAAGCAGACUGCCACAGUAAGUUUCGAGUGUGUGUCUCAUGAAUUUAACUUCUCCAUGUUUGGAAGACAAACCCAUGAAAGAGAGUCGUCUGGUAGAGAUGAAAUCAUUGCUCUUGCCUCUAUUGCCAUACCUCCUACAGAUCCUUUAGAGAAAUAUCUGCUUGAGCAUGAAAAUGAUAUGCAUAUGGAGGAGAGAGAUGAGAUAUAUAAAAUUGUCUUAGAACAAUAUCCUAUUCUCAAGAAUAAUCUGCGUGUUGAACUGCUUGGGGAUCCUCCCCCACCAAAGGGUGAUCUUGUGUUCGAGCUUAAACAGUUGCCUGAUACUCUUAAGUAUGCCUAUCUUGAUGAGAAGGAGAUAUAUCCUAUCAUUAUUAGUGCUCUCCUCUCAUAGUGCAAAGAGAAGAAGUUACUAAAAACUCUGAGGAAGCACCGCGCUGCUAUUGGAUAUACUCUUGAUGAUCUUAAGGGUAUUAGUCCUACUCUAUGUCAGCACAAGAUUAAAACGGAUCCUGACUUUAAACCAGUUGCUGAUCAUCAAAGGAGAUUAAAUCCUAAGAUGAAAGAGGUCGUUAGAAAAGAAAUAUUAAAGCUUCUGGAAGCAGGAAUCAUUUAUCAUGUUGCUCAUAGUGAUUGGGUAAGUCCAGUACAUUGCGUACCUAAGAAGGGAGGUAUCACCGUCGUUCCCAAUGAUAAGGAUGAACUAAUCCCACAAAGGAUUAUUACCGGCUAUAGAAUGGUGAUAGACUUCCGGAAACUGAACAAGGAAACCAGGAAAGAUCAUUAUCCUUUGCCGUUCAUCGACCAAAUGCUAGAAAGGCUAUCAAAACACACACACUUCUGCUUUCUAGACGGUUAUUCAGGUUUCUCGCAAAUACCUGUUGCACAAUCUGAUCAAGAGAAAACCACUUUCACCUGCCCUUUCGGUACCUUUGCCUAUAGAUGUAUGCCUUUUGGCUUUUGUAAUGCACCUGCCACCUUCCAAAGAUGUAUGAUGGCUAUAUUCUCUGACUUUUGUGAAAAGAUCGUCGAGGUUUUCAUGGAUGACUUCUCCGUUUACGGGUCUUCCUUUGAUGAUUGCCUCAGCAACCUUGAUCGAGUCUUACAGAGAUGCAAAGAAACCAACCUCGUCUUGAAUUGGGAGAAGUGCCACUUUAUGGUUAAUGAAGGUAUCGUCUUAGGACACAAAAUUUCUGAGAGAGGCAUUGAAGUUGAUAAGUCUAAGGUUGAUGCAAUUGAGAAAAUGCCUUGCCCCAUAGAUAUCAGAGGUAUACGAAGUUUCUUAGCUCAUGUUGGUUUCUAUAGAAGGUUCAUUAAAGACUUCUCUAAGAUUUCUAGGCCUCUUACCAACCUCUUGCACAAGGAUGUUCCUUUUGUUUUUGAUGAGGAUGUUCCUUUUGUUUUUGAUAAGGUAUUGCAAUCAGGUUUCUAUUUGCCCACUCUCUUCAAGGAUGCCCGUAAGUUUGUUUUGUCUUGUGACGAAUGCCAAAGGAUAGGGAACAUCAGUAAGCAUCAAGAGAUGCCUAUGAACUAUUCACUUGUCAUUGAACCAUUUGAUGUCUGGGGCUUUGAUUAUAUGGGACCCUUCCCGACUUCCAAUGUGUACACUCACAUCUUAGUUGCUGUGGAUUACAUUACUAAGUGGGUAGAAGCUAUCCCCACUAAAAAUGUUGAUCACCACACCUCUAUUAAGAUGCUUAAAGAAGUCAUAUUCCCAAGAUUUGGAGUCCCUAGAUACUUGAUGAAUGAUGGCGGUUCACACUUCAUUCAUGGUGUUUUCCGCAAGAUGCUAGCUAAGUAUGAUGUCAACCAUAGAGUUGCAUCUCCUUAUCAUUCUCAGUCUAGUGGUCAAGUUGAGUUGAGUAAUAGGGAGAUCAAGUUGAUCCUACAAAAGACCGUCAAUAGAUCUCGAAAGAACUAGUCUAGCAAACUUGACGAUGCACUAUGGGCUUAUAGGACUGCUUAUAAGAAUCCCAUGGGCAUGUCAUCGUAUAAAAUGGUUUACGGUAAGGCCUGUCAUUGACCUCUUGAGCUGGAACACAAAGCUUAUUGGGCAAUCAAAGAGCUCAACUUUGAUUUCAAACUUGCCGGUGAGAAGCGGUUGUUUGAUAUCAGCUCGUUAGAUGAAUGGAGAGCCCACGCGUAUGAGAAUGCCAGGUUGAUCAAGGAAAAGGUUAAGAGAUGGCACGACAAACGAAUACAGAAACGAGAGUUCAGUGUAGGUGAUUAUGUCUUGCUAUACAAUUCUCAUUUGAGAUUCUUUAGAGGCAAGCUUCUCUCUAAAUGGGAAGGUCCCUAUGUUGUCGAGGAAGUAUAUCGCUCCGGUGCCAUCAAAAUCAAUAACACGGAAGGAAAUUUUCCUAGAGUGGUAAAUGGGCAAAGAAUCAAGCAUUACAUCUCUGGUACUCCCAUAAAUGUUGAGAACAAUAUCAUCAAUGUCAUAACUCCAGAGGAGUACAUAAGGGAUGUUUAUCUGCCUGUUUCAGACCUUGAAAACGAAGAUGUAUCUGUUUCGGUAAGUAAUUGGACUCCGAUACUUUUCCAAUAGGAAAUUUCUUCCGGAAUUUUUGAAAAAUUAGAAAAAUGAAAAGCAGUCCGGAGAGCGAACGAGGCAGCCACAAGCCCUGCCACCGCCCCCUACCCCACUAGUGGUGGAGACCACGCUUGUGGGCACCUCGUGUGCCUCCCGGACUCCGUUUUCUUGUGAAGGACUCCUUCUGGCCCAGAAAAAAUCAAUAUAUAGUCGCCCGAAGGUUUUGAUCUCCGUAUCGCGCAGUUUUCCUAUGUUUUCGUUUCGAGCUUGUUGUCUGCCGCAGAUUUAGAGCAAAGAUGUCUCAGGAAUCUGUUGGGGAGAAUGAUCUUCACCAAGUUCAUGAGGAAGUAGAUGAUGAUCUGAAAAGAGUAGAAGUCACGGAAGCCAGGGGCCAAGAUAAGGAGAAAACCCAAGCUAGGGAGGAAGUUCAACCUAUGUUCAACAUUGAAGACGUUGAAGGAGUAGAUUUUCUCCAACCCUUGAUUGAACUCUUGAGGUUUUGUGAAACAACUCGUGCUCACAAUAUUUCUCUUUCUCGUGAAGUUGUUUUGCUGGAAAACCAUGUCACAGAUCUCAAAGGUAUAAAUCAAAGAUUGAUAGCUCUCUUGGAAUCAAAGGCGACAACAACACCACCAUCAUCACCAAAGGAAGACAACUAAGCAUUGGUAUGGGCAAUCCCCUUGGUUUCUGCCAAGCUUGGGGGAGUUGCCCUGGUAUCGUAUCACCUUUAUAUCUUUUGCUUUUACCUUUGUUUUAGUUCUUUCCUUUUCAGUUUUUAUUUCUUCUUUUAGAGGAAUAAGUCUUUAGUGUUUAGUUUGAGUCUUUUGCUUUUGUCUCUCCCUCGAUGUAUUCGAACUUACGAGCUAUAUAAUAAAGAGUUUCUUAGUUAAGGGCUUUGCUUUGUGCCAUGAUCAAAAAGUAUGAAAAGAACGAUAGAAUGAAAGAUCAUGAGACGAUCUUAUGGAAAGUGAUAACUUCACUUAUGACACGUAUGAUGAUUGGAACUUGUUGAGAAUAAAUCAACAUAGAUCUCAGUCAUUGUUGCAAUUAAUAAGAAGUAAUAAGGAAAGAGAGGUUCACAUAUAAAUAUAUCAUCUUAGACACUUUUUACAAUUGUGAGCACUCACCAAACUAUUACAUGCCUAGGAGUAGAUGUUGGACAAGGAAGACAACAUAAUGAAUUGUUUUUGCUUGGUUCCAAACAAUGUUAUAUGAUCAGAGAUCCCUUAGCAUGUGACGAUUGCUUCCACCUCAUAUUAGCCAAAACUCCCUCACCAAGUAGAGAUACUACUUGUGCAUCCAUAAACCUCCAACCAAGUUUUGCCAUGAGAGUCCACCAUACCUACCUAUGGGUUGAAUAAGAUCCUUCAAGUAAGUUGUUAUCGCUGCAAGCAAUAAAAAUUUCUCUCUAAUAUGUAUGAUCUAUUAGUGUGUGGAAAAUAAGCUUUGUACGAACCUGUGAUGAGGAAGACAUAAAAGCGACAGACUGCAUAAUAUAGUUCUUUAUCACAGGAGGCAAUAUAAAGUGACGUUCCUCCGCACGAAGAGGACACGCAUUCAAACCUCAAAAGCGCAUGACAACCUCUGCUUCCCUCUGCGAAGGGCCUAUCUUGUACCUUUACUUUUUACCCAUGUAAGAGUCAUGGUGAUCUUCACCAAUUCCCUUUUUGCCUUUGUCUUGGCUACCGUCACAUGCUUGCGAAAGAUCUAUAUUCAUAUAUCAACUUGGAGUUGAGUACUCAUGCUUUAUUGUUGUUGACUUUACCCUUGAGGUAAAUGGUUGGGAGGCAAAACUAUAAGCCCCUAUCUUCCUCUGUGUCCAGCUGAAACUUUGACACCAUGAGUACCACGUGAGUUAUAACAAUUGUGGAAAACAAAAGAGAUGAUUGAGUAUGUGGGUUUGUGUUACAACCUCUUAUUUGACUCUUUCUGAUGUUGUGAUAAAUUGCAAUUGCUUCAAUGACUAUGGACUAUUGUUGGUUACUUCUCGGUAAGGUUUUUGCUUCAUGCUUUGCUUUGUGAAGGAAUUGUUACUUUCCCAUAAGAAUCUUUAUGAUGUAUUGUUGUUCUAUGUGUGAUCAUGAUGCCCUCAUGUCUGUAUUAUGUUUUAUCGACACCUUCGUCCCUUAACAUGUGGACAUGUUUAUGGAACUUGGCUUUCGCUUGAGGACAAGCAAGGUCUAAGCUUGGGGGGGGGGGGUUGAUACGUCCAUUUUGCAUCAUGCUUUCAUGUUGAUAUUUAUUGCUUUUUGGGCUGUUAUAUUACUUGUGGUACCAUAUUUAUGUUGGAAAUAUGCCCUAGAGGCAAUAAUAAUUAGUUAUUAUUAUAUUUCUUUGUUCACGAUAAUCUUUUAUUAUCCAUGCUAUAAUUGUAUUGAUUGGAAACACAAUACUUGUGUGGAUACAUAGACAAAACAUUAUCCCUAGUAAGCCUCUAGUUGACUAGCUCGUUGAUCAAAGAUGGUCAAGGUUUCCUGGCCAUAGGCAAGUGUUGUUACUUGAUAACGGGAUCACAUCAUUAGGAGAAUCAUGUGAUGGACUAGACCCAAACUAAUAGACGUAGCAUGUUGAUCGUGUCAUUUUGUUGCUACUGUUUUUUGUGUGUCAAGUAUUUGUUCCUAUGACCAUGAGAUCAUAUAACUCACAGACACCGGAGGAAUGCUUUAUGUGUAUAAAAUGUCGCAACGUAACUGGGUGACUAUAAAGAUGCUCUACAGGUCUCUCCGAAGGUGUUCGUUGAGUUAGUAUGGAUCAAGACUGGGAUUUGUCACUCCGUAUGACGGAGAGGUAUCUCGGGGCCCACUCGAUAAUACAACAUCACACACAAGCCUUGCAAGCAAUGUGACUUAGUGUAAGUUGCGGGAUCUUGUAUUACGGAACGAGUAAAGAGACUUGCCGGUAAACGAGAUUGAAAUAGGUAUGCGGAUACUGACGAUCGAAUCUCAAGCAAGUAACAUACCGAAGGACAAAGGGAAUGACAUACGGGAUUAUAUGAAUCCUUGGCACUGAGGUUCAAACGAUAAGAUCUUCAUAGAAUAUGUAGGAUCCAAUAUGGGCAUCCAGGUCCCGCUAUUGGAUAUUGACCGAGGAGUCUCUCGGGUCAUGUCUACAUAGUUCUCGAACCCGCAGGGUCUGCAAACUUAAGGUUCGACGAUGUUUUAUGCGUAUUUGAGUUAUAUGGUUGGUUACGGAAUGUUGUUCAGAGUCCCGGAUGGGAUCACGGACGUCACGAGGGCUUCCGGAAUGGUCCGGAGACGAAGAUUGAUAUAUAAGAUGACCUCAUUUGGUUACCGGAAAGUUUCCGGGCAUUAUCGGAAAAGUUUCGGGCUCAUCGGUAGUGUACGGGGAGUGCCGGGAGGGGUGACGGGGACCAUCGAGAGGGGUGUCACGCCCCAAGGGGUCUCAUGGGCUAUGGGAAGAUAUAAACCAGCCCCUAGUGGGCUGGAAUAAGUUCCCACUAAGCCCCAUAAGGUUUGAGAAGGGAAAAACACAAGGUGGAAAGAGUUUCCAAGUGGGAAGGUGGAAUCCUACUCCAAGUAGGAUUGGAGUAGGACUCCUCCACCUCAAAUUUCGGCCAAACCUUGAGGGUUUGAGGCUGCCUCCUCCCCUCCCUCCCUCCUAUAUAUACUGAGGUAUUAGGGCUGAUUUGAGACAACUUUUUCAAGACAGCCCGACCACAUACCUCCACGGUUUUACCUCUAGAUCGCGUCUCUGCGGAGCUCGGGCGGAGCCCUGCCAAGAUUAGAUCAUCACCAACCUCCGGAGCGCCGUCACGCUACCGGAGAACUCAUCUACCUCUCCAUCUCUCUUGCUGGAUCAAGAAGGCCGAGAUCAUCGUCGAGCUGUAUGUGUUCUGAACGCGGAGGUGCCGUCCGUUCGGCACUAGAUCGUGGGACGGAUCGCGGGACGGUUCGUGGGACGGUUCGCGGGGCGGAUCAAGGGACGUGAGGAUGUUCCACUACAUCAACCGCGUUCACUAACGCUUCUGCUGUGCGAUCUACAAGGGUACGUAGAUCGGAAAUCCCCUCUCGUAGAUGGACAUCACCAUGAUAGGUCUUCGUGCGCGUAGGAAAAAUUUUGUUUCCGAUGCGACGUUCCCCAACAGUGGCAUCAUGAGCUAGGUUCAUGCGUAGAUGUCUUCUCGAGUAGAACACAAAAGUUUUGUGGGCGGUGAUGUGCGUUUUGCUGCCCUCCUUAGUCUUUUCUUGAUUCCGCGGUAUUGUUGGAUUGAAGUGGCUUGGACCGACAUUACUCGUACGCUUACGAGAGACUAGUUUCAUCGCUACGAGUAACCCCCUUGCUCAAAGAUGACUGGCAAGUGUUGGUUUCUCCAACUUUAGUUGAAUCGGAUUUGACCGAGGAGGUCCUUGUAUAAGGUUAAAUAGCAAUUCAUAUAUCUCUGUUGUGGUGUUUGCGUAAGUAAGAUGCGAUCCUACUAGAUACCCAUGGUCACCACGUAAAACAUGCAACAACAAAAUUAGAGGACGUCUAACUUCUUUUUGCAGGGUAUGCUUGUGAUGUGAUAUGGCCAACGAUGUGAUGUGAUAUAUUGGAUGUAUGAGAUGAUCAUGUUGUAAUAGAUAAUAUCGACUUGCACGUUGAUGGUACGGCAACCGGCAGGAGCCAUAGGGUUGUCUUUAAACUAACAUUUGUGCUUGCAGAUGCGUUUACUAUAUUGCUAGGACGUAGCUUUAGUAGUAAUAGCAUGAGUAGCACGACAACCCCGAUGGUGACACGUUGAUGGAGAUCAUGAUGAUGGAGAUCAUGGUGUGACGCAGGUGACAAGAAGAUCGUGCCGGUGCUUUGGUGAUGGAGAUCAAGAAGCACAUGAUGAUGGCCAUAUCAUGUCACUUAUGAAUUGCAUGUGAUGUUAAUCCUUUAUGCACCUUAUCUUGCUUAGAACGACGGUAGCAUUAUGAGGUGAUCUCGCACUAAAAUUUCAAGACGAAAUUGUGUUCUCCCCGACUGUGCACCGUUGCGACAGUUCUUCGUUUCGAGACACCACGUGAUGAUCGGGUGUGAUAGACUCAACGUUCACAUACAACGGGUGCAAAAACAGUUGCACACGCGGAACACUCGGGUUAAGCUUGACGAGCCUAGCAUGUACAGACAUGGCCUCGGAACACAUGAGAUCAAAAGGUCGAGCAUGAAUCGUAUAGUAUAUAUGAUUAGCAUAGAGAUGCUUACCACUGAAACUAUUCUCGACUCACGUGAUGAUCGGACUUGAGAUAGUGGAUUUGGAUCAUGUACCACUCAAAUGACUAGAGAGAUGUACUUUUUGAGUGGGUGUUCUUGAGUAAUAUGAUUAAUUGAACUAAUUGUCAUGAAGAUAGUCUAAUGGUCUUUGCAAAUUACGAUGUAGCUUGCGCUAUAGCUCUACUAUUUUUAAUAUGUUCCUAGAGAAAAUUUAGUUGAAAGUUGAUAGUAGCAAACUUUGCGGACUGAGUCUAUGAAACUAAGGAUUGUCCUUGUUGCUACGUAGAAGGCUUAUGUCCUUAAUGCACCACUCAGUGUGCUACACCUCGAGCGUCGUCUGUGGAUGUUGUGAACAUCCGACAUACACGUUUCUGAUGACUACGCGAUAGUUCAGUGCAAAAUACUUAAUGGCUUAGAAGCGUGGCGCCGAAGAUGUUUUGAAACGUCACGGAACAUGAGUCAUGUCCUAAAGAUAUGAAAUUUUGAUUUCAUGCUUGUGCCCUUGUUAAGAGGUAUGAGACCUCUGACAAGAUUCUUUGUCCAUGAAGUAAAGGAGAAAAACUCAAUCGUUGAGCGUGUGCUCAGAUUGUCUGAGUACGAAAAUCGCUUGAAUCAAGUGGGAGUUAAUCUUCCAGAUGAGAUAGUGAUGGUUCUCCAAAGUCACUGCCACCAAGCUGUGAGAGCUUCGUGAUGAACUAUAACAUAUCAAGAAUAGAUACAAUGAUCCUUGAGAGAUUCGUGAUGUAUGACACUACGAAAGUAGAAAUCAAGAAGGAGCAUCAAUGGUUGAUGGUUAGUAAAACCACCAAGUUUCAUGAAAGGCAAGGGCUAGAAGGGAUACUUCGUGAAACAGCAAAACAGUUGCUGCACUAAUGAAGAGACCCAAGUCUAAACCCAAACCCGAGACUAAGUGCUUCUGUUAUGAGGGGAACGAUCACUGAGGCGGAGCUACCCUAGAUGCUUGGUAGAUAAGUAGGCUGGCAAAGUCGAAAGUAGUAUAUUUGAUAUACAUGACAUUGAUGUGUGCUUUACUAGUACUCCUAGUAGCGCGAGGGUAUUGGAUACCGGUUCAGUUGCUAAGUGAUUGGUAACACGAAAUGAAAGCUACGGCAUAAACGGAGACUAGCUAAAGGCGAGGUGACGAUACGUGUUGGAAGUGUUUCCAAGGUUGAUAUGAUCAAACGUCGCAUGCUCCCUCUACCAUCGGGAUUGGUGUUAAACCUAAAUAAUUGUUAUUUGGUGUUUGCGUUGAGCAUGAACAUGAUUGGAUCGUGUUUGUUGCAAUACGAUUAUUCAUUUAAAAGAAUAAUAGUUAUUCUAUUUGCUUGAAUAAUUACCCUCAAUGGUUUAUUGAAUCUCGAUCGUAGUGUUACACAUGUUCAUAAUAUUAGUGCCAAAAGAUAAAAAGUAAUAAUGAUAGUACCACUUAGUUGUGGCACUGCCACUUGAGUCAUGUUGGUGUAAAAUGCAUGAAGAAGCUCCAUGCUGAUGGAUCGUUUGGACUCACUUGAUUUCGAAUCACUUGAGACAUGCAAAACAUGCCACAUGAAACAAGUAGAGUAACUUGUUGGGAGUAAUGCAUUUUUGAUGUGUGCAGUCCAAUAAGUGCUAAGGCACGCAGUGGAUAUCAUUAUGUUCUUACUUCACUGACGAUUUGAGUAGAUACAAGAGUAUUUACUUGAUGAAUCACAAGUCUGAAAUGUUGAAAAGUUCAAAGCUAUUUUAGAGUGAAGAUCGUCGUGACAAGAGGAUAAACAGUCUAUGAUAUGAUCAUAGAGAUGAAUAUCUGAGUUACGAGUUUUGGUACGCAGUUAAGACAAUGUGGAAAUUGUUUCGUAGUUCAUGCCACCUGGAACAUCAUAGUGUGAUGAUGUGUCUGAACGUCAUAGCCACGCACUAUUUGGUAUGGUGCAUGCUAUGAUGUCUCUUAUCGAAUUACCACUAUCGUUUAUGGGUUAUGCAUUAGAGACAACCGCAUUCACUUUAAAUAGGGCACCGUGUAUUUCCGUUGAGAUGACACGGUAUAGACUAAGGUUUAGAGAAAUCUAGACUGUCGUUUCUUGAAAAUUUGGGGCUUCGACACUUAUGUGAAAAAGUUUCAGUAUGAUAAGCUCGAACCCAAAGCGGAUAAAUGCAUCUUCAUAGGAUAUCCAAAAAAGUUGGGUACAUCUCCUAUCUCAGAUCCGAAAGCAAAGUGUUUGUUUCUAGAAACGGAUCCUUUCUCGAGGAAAGGUUUCUCUCGAAAGAAUUGAGUGGGAGGGUGGUAGAACUUGAUGAGGUUAUUGAACCAUCACUUCAACCAGUGUGUAGCAGGGCACAGGAAGUUGUUCCUGCGGCGCCUACACCAAUUGAAGUGAAAUUUGAUGAUGGUGAUCAUCGAGCAUCGGAUCAAGUUACUACAAACCUCGUAGGUUGACAAGGUCGCGUACUACGGUAGAGUGGUACGGUAACCCUGUCUUGGAGGUCAUGUUGUUGAGCAACAGUGAACCUACGAGUUAUGGAGAAAGCAAUGGUGGGCCCGGAUUCCAACAAAUGGCUGGAGGCCAUGAAAUCCGAGAGAGGAUCCAUGUAUGAAAACAAAGUGUAGACUUUGGAAGAACUACUUGAUGGUCAUAGGACUAUUGAGUAAAGAUGGAUCUUUAAAAGGAAGACAGACGAUGAUGGUGAUAAGUCACUAUUAAGAAAAGCUCGACUUGUCGCAAAGAUGUUUCCGACAAGAUCAAACAGUUGACUAUGAUGAGACUUUCUCACUCGUAGCGAUGCUGAAAGUCUGGUAGAAUUAUGUUAGUAGUUGCUGCAUUAUUUAUGAAAUAUUGCACAUAGGAUGUCAAAACAUUGUUUCCUCAACGGUUUCCUUGAGCAAACACUGUAUGUGAUACAACCAGUAGGUUUUGUCGAUCCUAAAGAUACUAGCAAGUAUGCAAGCUCCAGCGAUCCUUCAAUGGACUGGUGCAAGCAUCUCGGAGUUGGAAUAUACACUUUGAUGAGAUAAUCAAAGAUUUUGGGUUUGUACAAGGUUUAUGAGAAACUUGUAUUUCCAAAGAAGUGAGUGAGAGCACUAUAGAAUUUCUGAUAAGUAUAUAUGGUUGACAUAUUGUGGAUCAGAAGUAAGAUAGAAUUUCUGUAAAGCAUACAAGGUUGUUUGAAAGGAGUUUUCAAAGGAAUACCUGGAUUGAGCUACUUGAACGUUGAGCAUCAAAGAUCUAUGGAGAUAGAUCGAAAGCGCUUAAUGGAAGUUUCAACAAGAUGCAUGCCUUGACAAGUUUUUGAAAGAGCUCAAAAUAGAUCAGCAAAGAAGGAGUUCUUGGUUGCGUUGUAAGGUGUGAAUUUGAGUAAGACUCAAAACCCGACCCCGGCAGAAUAAAGAGAAUAGACGAAGGUCGUCUUCUAUGCCUUGGCCGUAGAAUCUGAAGUAUGCCAUGCUGGGUACCGCACCUGAUGAGUGCCUUGACUCAAAGUCUAUUGAGAGGUACAAAGAGUGAUCCAUGAUUGAAUCACUAGCAGCGGUCAAAAUUUAUCCUUAGUAACUGAUGGACUAAGGAAUUUUUCUCGAUUAUGGAGGUGGUUAAAGUGUUCGUCGUAAAGGGUUACGUCGAUGCAAGCUUUGACACUAAUCCGAAUAACUAUGAGUAGUGAAAUGGAUUCGUAUAGUAGAGUAGAUAUUUGGAGUAUUUUCGAAUAGCACAUAGUAGCAGCAUCUAUAAGAUGACAUAAAGAUUUCUAAAGAACACACGGAUCUGAAAGUUUCACAACCGUUGACUAAAACCUCUCUCACGAGCAAAACGUGAUCAGACCCCAUAACUAUACGGGUGUUGGAUUCGUUGGAAUCACAUGGUGAUGUGAACUAGAUUAUUGACUCUAGUGCAAGUGGGAGACUGUUGGAAAUAUGCCCUAGAGGCAAUAAUAAUUAGUUAUUAUUAUAUUUCUUUGUUCACGAUAAUUUUUUAUUAUCCAUGCUAUAAUUGUACUGAUUGGAAACACAAUACUUGUGUGGAUCCAUAGACAAAAUAUUGUCCCUAGUAAGCCUCUAGUUGACUAGCUCGUUGAUCAAAGAUGGUCAAGGUUUCCUGGCCAUAGGCAAGUGUUCUUACUUGAUAACAGGAUCACAUCAUUAGGAGAAUCAUGUGAUGGACUAGACCCAAACAAAUAGACGUAGCAUGUUGAUCGUGUCAUUUUGUUGCUACUGUUUUCUGCGUGUCAAGUAUUUGUUCCUAUGACCAUGAGAUCAUAUAACUCACUGACACCGGAGGAAUGCUUUGUGUGUAUCAAACUUCGCAACGUAACUGGGUGACUAUAAAGAUUCUCUACAGGUAUCUCCGAAGGUGUUCGUUGAGUUAGUAUGGAUCAAGACUGGGAUUUGUCACUCCGUAUGACGGAGAGGUAUCUCGGGGCCCACUCGGUAAUACAACAUCACACACAAGCCUUGCAAGCAAUGUGACUUAGUGUAAGUUGCGGGAUCUUGUAUUACGGAACAAGUAAAGAUACUUGCCGGUAAACGAGAUUGAAAUAGGUAUGCGGAUACUGACGAUCGAAUCUCAGGCAAGUAACAUACCGAAGGACAAAGGGAAUGACAUACGGGAUUAUAUGAAUCCUUGGUACUGAGGUUCAAACGAUAAGAUCUUCAUAGAAUAUGUAGGAUCCAAUAUGGGCAUCCAGGUCCCGCUAUUGGAUAUUGACCGAGGAGUCUCCUGGGUCAUGUCUACAUAGUUCUCGAACCCGCAGGGUCUGCACACUUAAGGUUCGACGAUGUUUUAUGCGUAUUUGAGUUAUAUGGUUGGUUACAAAAUGUUGUUCGGAGUCCCGUAUGGGAUCACGGACGUCACGAGGGUUUCCGGAAUGGUCCGGAGACAAAGAUUGAUAUAUAGGAUGACCUCAUUUGCUUACCGGAAAGUUUCCGGGCAUUACCGGAAAAGUUUCGGGCUCAUCGGUAGUGUACCGGGAGUGCCGGGAGGGGUGACGGAGACCAUCGAGAGGGGUGUCAUGCCCCAAGGGGUCUCAUGGGCUAUGGGAAGAGAUAAACCAGCCCCUAGUGGGCUGGAAUAAGUUCCCACUAAGGCCCAUAAGGUUUGAGAAGGGAAAAACACAAGGUGGAAAGAGUUUCCAAGUGGGAAGGUGGAAUCCUACUCCAAGUAGGAUUGGAGUAGGACUCCUCCACCUCAAAUUUCGGCCAAACCUUGAGGGUUUGAGGCUGCCUCCUCCCCUCCCUCCCUCCUAUAUAUACUGAGGUAUUAGGGCUGAUUUGAGACAACUUUUUCAAGACAGCCCGACCACAUACCUCCACGGUUUUACCUCUAGAUCGCGUCUCUGCGGAGCUCGGGCGGAGCCCUGCCAAGAUUAGAUCAUCACCAACCUCCGGAGCGCCGUCACGCUACCGGAGAACUCAUCUACCUCUCCAUCUCUCUUGCUGGAUCAAGAAGGCCGAGAUCAUCGUCGAGCUGUACGUGUUCUGAACGCGGAGGUGCCGUCCGUUCGGCACUAGAUCGUGGGACGGAUCGCGGGACGGUUCGUGGGACGGUUCGCGGGGCGGAUCAAGGGACGUGAGGAUGUUCCACUACAUCAACCGCGUUCACUAACGCUUCUGCUGUGCGAUCUACAAGGGUACGUAGAUCGGAAAUCCCCUCUCGUAGAUGGACAUCACCAUGAUAGGUCUUCGUGCGCGUAGGAAAAUUUUUGUUUCCGAUGCGACGUUCCCCAACAAUUUAUGCCUUUUCUCUCUUAUUUUGCAAGGUUUAUUUGAAGAGGGAGAAUUCAGGCAGCUGGAAUUCUGGACUCGAAAAGGAGCAAAUCCUAGUCCACUAUUCUGCACAUCUCCAAAUGCCGUGAAAAGUUACGUGGAUUUUUUCUGGAUUAUAUAAAAAAUAUUGGGCAAAAGAACUACCGGAGGGGGGCUGCCAGGGCUCCACAAGCCCUGACACCGCCACCCCCUGGUGGCGGAGUGGGGGCUUGUGGGCUCCCUGACGGCCCACUAGCCCCCCUCUUUUGCUAUAUGAAGCGUCCUGGUCCAUAAAAAAUCAAUCGGGAGCUUUUUCGUGGUUUCUCCGCCGCCACGAGGCGGAACUUGAGCAGAUCCAAUCUAGAGCUCGGGCAGGACGAUCCUGCCGGGGAAACUUCCCUCUCGGAGGGGGGAAUCGUCGCCAUCAUCAUAACCAACACUCCUCUCAUCGGAGGGGAGGCAUCUUCAUCAACAUCUUCAUCAGCACCAUCUCCUCUCCAAUCCCUAGUUCAUCUCUUGUAACCAAUCUUCGUCUCGCAACUCCGAUUGGUACUUGUAAGGUUGCUACUAGUGUUGAUUACUCUUUGUAGUUGAGGCUAGUUGGAUUACUUGGUGGAAGAGUUUAUGUUCAGAUUCUUGAUGCUAUUCAUUACACCUCUGAUCAUGAUUAUGAUUAUGCUUUGUGAGUAGUUACUUUUGUUCCUGAGGACAUGGGAUAAGUCAUGUUGAUAAUAGUCAUGUGAAUUUGAUAUUCGUUCGGUAUUUUGAUAUGUUGUAUGUGGUCUUUUCCUCUAGUGGUUUUAUAUGAACGUCGACUACAUAACACUUCACCAUAUUUGGGCCUAGAGGAAGGCAUUGGGGAGUAGUAAGUAGAUGAUGGGUUGCUGGAGUGACAGAAGCUUAAACCCCAGUCUAUGCGUUGCUUCGUGAGGGGCUGAUUUGGAUCCACUAGUUUAAUGCUAUGGUUAGACUUUGUCUUAAUUCUUAUUUUGUAGUUGUGGAUGCUUGCGAGAGAGGUUACUCAUAAGUGGGAUGCUUGUCCAAGUAAGGGCAGUACCCAAGCGCCGGUCCACCCACAUAUCGAACUAAUAAAGUAACGAACGUGAAUCAUAUGAACAUGAUGAAACUAGCAUGACAGAAAUUCCCGUGUGUCCUCGGGAGCACUUUUCCUCCUAUAAGACUUUGUUGGCUUGUCCCUUGCUACAAAAGGGAUUGGGCCACUUGCUGCACCGUUGCUACUACUUGUUACUUGUUACUCUUUGCUUGCUACAUUUCACCUCGCUACACAAUCACUUGUUACCUCUACUUUCAGUGCUUGCAGUUAUUACCUUGCUGAAAUCAAUUUAUAUGAGCCUUCUGCUCCUCGUUGGGUUCGACAAUCUUAAUUAUCGAAAGGACUACGAUUGAUCCCCUAUACUUGUGGGUCAUCACCGUGCAAUUCGUUUUCCUUUGGAAUCAUCUUCUUCAACGUUUUCAGUAACUUUUCAAUCCCCUGUCAGAUACACCAUUCACUGCAUUCCAUUGCAGCAGUUCCAGUGUGGUACCCGACUUCUUCUUGUCAUCUAUGCAAUUCGGGUACAACAAUUCUUGUGAUUCUCUAACAUGCGCUGCAACUUCAACUUCUCCUUUUAACUUGAAAAAUUUCCCUUUGAAUCAGCAAUGGCCGGACCAAAAUCAUCACCGGGCUCAUCUGGUGCCUCUUCUUUAGCUUCUUCGCCCAUUGUAGUAUGUAAGUGCAUCUAGUUCCCCUUAGUGAUUUUGGUGGUUUGAAGACUUUAGGUUCAGUAUCUAAUGUGUUCAUGAGUGUACACAGGAUCUAUUAGUCACUUAGGAGUUUGAAAUAUUUGAUGAAUAUCGACCCCUAAAAAUGUAUAUCUUCGGUUGAAGAAACUGGUCUGAAGCUGAAGAAUUGAAUCGCGAAGAAUCUGCGAUGAAAUUGAUAUUCCUCGUGAAGAUAUUGAAAUUGAGGAAUUCGGUAUGUCCUGAAGAAAAUCAUUCUGAAGACUUUGAAGCAUGAAGAUUUACUCUUUCUGUUUUGUUUCCUUCACACUUGAGUAAUAGGAACACCGUACUGUUAAAGGGGGUCGAAGUUACACUUUCGAAUGAAUUUCCUCAUGAUGCUCAACCCAAGCCUAAUCCUACCAAAAGCCUCAAGUGAGGAAUAUGAGUGGCAUGAGGACUCUCACAGUGGAGGGUUCCGACCGUUUCGAUAGCCACGCCACAUCAUUGGUCUUAUCCACACCAACGGUCAUAUUAUUUAAGGGCAUUAGUGUCAAAUCAUGUCGGGAUGCUCCCAGGCUAUAAAUAGCCGCCCCCACAACCAUUAGCUGUUUGGCUGCUCCGUUAGAAACUGACACUUGUCAUAACAGCAACCCAAUUCCUCAGAAUCUUCGAGAGUAAUUCAUCAGUGAGGAAAUACCCCACACACUAAACCGCAAACCUAGAACCAAGUGAUUGAGCAUCACUGAAGAAGUUGUUCCUGUGUGGGACUGAAGCCUUUUUACCUUUGAGGACUGUGCAUCCUCAAGACAGUUAGGCAUCAUGGUCUAGAGCAAUCCAGUAGUCAAUUGUGGAUCGCCGGGUGACCAAGUUUGUGAGGGUUUGGAAGUCUGCCCUGAAGACUUACCACGAAUGUUGGGCGAGGACCGUGUGUUCUUAGCCCAAGGAGAAUAUGGUAGGGACUGUGUGUCCCGGGAAUGUGUGUCUUUUGGUUUCAAUACCAAGCCGCUCCAAACCAGAUGUACAACUGUCACAGCAGUUGGAACUGGGUCAUCAACUACUGUCUUCACUGUGAAACGGGUUCUAAUUCCUCAACUCUUUACAUUCCUCAGAUUAUGUGUUGAUGACUUUCACUGUUAGUGUUUUAAGAAUUUGCUGAAGACUUUCUCUGAAAUUCCUCAACCCCAAAUUCUUCACGCUAGUUAAUCCUCAUCUGUUUUCUGCGUGCCUGCUCACUGUGCAAUAUGUUUUCACAUUCCUCACACUGAAAAACUGUUGUUGUGAAAUUUGCACUUCUGAUCCUUUACUGUUUCCGCUGUAAGUUAGUCAUCAGUGAGUAAUUUCCUCAAAAGGAAUUUCCUCAGUGAUGAAAUUCUAAAAAUCUCCUAUUCACCCCCCCUCUAGUCGAUAUAAUGCACUUUCAAUUAGUAUCAGAGCAAGGUACUCCCUUGUUCUGUGUGAUUUUGGUUUAACCACCUGGAGUUUUAGUUAUGUCGACUGCGGGCAUGAUUAAGGUUACUGCAGCAUGUCCUACUUUCGAAGGAAAGAACUUUCCCUUCUGGAAGACCAAGAUGCAAAUGCAUCUACAAGCUAUUGAUAAUGAUCUCUCGUAUAUUGUGGAACAUGGCGUCCCCAUCAUCUCUGCUAGUGUCUCUGCUGAUGAUGUGAAGAAAUUCAAGCAACUUGAUUCUCAAGCGAAGAAUAUCAUCUGUGGCCAUCUGAGCCCGGGCCAGUUUGGAAGAGUGAGUGCUUUGGGCUCAGCAACACUUAUCUGGGAGAGACUGUGCAAAGUAAAUGAAGGACUAUCAACCCAGCGUGAUUCUCGUGUUGAUGUUGUUCGCAAUCUCUUCAAUCGCUUCAAGAGGCAUGACAAUGAAAGCUGCCAAGAUACCUUUGAUCGCCUCACUGACAUACCAAAUGAACUGCAAGCACUGGGAGCUCGAGACAUUACUGAUCACGAAGUUGUGAAGAAACUGCUAAGAUCCUUGGAUUCUUCAUUUGAUACUUUAGUUCUGAUGAUUCAAGAAAGACCAGACUACAAGAUGCUUGAUCCAGCUGAUAUACUCGAAAGACUCAAUACUCAUGACUUCCAGCAAGAAGAAAAGAAAGAUCUAUAUGGACCAAGCUAUUCUAGACCACGUGCACUGAAGGCUAGAGCAAUUUCCUCACCUGAAGAAGAAGAUUUGGAUGAUAGCAUUGGUGACCCUGAAGAAUUUGGAUAGGAGCUUGCAAUGCUCGUGAGGAAAUUCCAGAGGUUUACAUGACGUGGCCAGUUUGGUAAAUCUUCAAGAAGAGAUAUGAGGAAAUCAGAAUCUUCAUCUGAGGAUUACAAGAAAAGAACCUGCCACAAAUGCAAGAAGUCAGGUCACUACAUUGCUGACUAUCCCCGUUGGGGAAAGGAAUCAAAUAAGAAGAAAUACAAGGAUGACAGUUCUGAUGACUCGAAGAAGAAGAAGAAAUCUUCAAAAUCCUCAUCUUCAAAGCCCUCAUCGCACAAGAAGACUAGUUUCAGAAAGGCUCGGGCACUUAUUGGCAAGGAAAUUGAUUUUGAGGCAGAAUCAGAGGAAUGUGACGAAGAGGAGGGUUCUGAUGAAGACUCAGAAUCCGAACAGGCCAGUCUUGCACUUGCAACCACUUUCGUCAGCAAGUCAAUCUUCAACCUUGAAGAAGAUGAUAAUACCAUCCACACUGAUGACUAUGCUGAUGACUUCGCUCCAACCUAUUGCUUCAUGGCAAAAGGCUCAAAGGUACGAAUGAUGCUUCCUCCUCUGAUUCAAGUGACUGUGAACCUGAUGAUUAUAAAAAACCCAGUUACACUAAACUUGCUAUCGUUGCCACUAAACAACAAACUGCCCUCGAAAAGCUUCAGAAACUGCUAGAUAGAAGUGAUGAUAUGUUGAAUGAUGAAAUGAAUCUUACCCAAAUCCUCACUGAUGAUGUGAAAAGUCUUCAGUCUAGAUUUGAUAAUCUUCAAGAUCGUUAUGAUACUCUCCUCGCUAAUCAUGAGAAACUUUCCUAUGAAUUUCUUCAAAGGAAGCUUGAUCUAGAGAAGCUAAGGAUUUCUCAUGAUGAUCUUCGUAUGGAAAAUGAUUCAUUACUAGCUCAACACAUCAGCGCUGCUCAAGCUGAGAUCAUUCCUCCAUGUCUUAAAUGCAUUGAACGCGAAACUACUAAUUCUUCACCAGAAUCAUCAAAUGCUUCUAUUGCUACAAAUUCCUCAACUGCUCCUGUAGUGUCAAUUUCCUAACUUGAGGAAAACACAAAUGUUAUUGAUGAAAAUGCAGGGCUGAAGGAAUUGUAUGUGACAGGCAUAUACAAAAGCCUCAAAGGACAUCAAACCCUUUGUGAUGUGCUCAAAAAGCAUAUCUUGAACAGGAAUCGAAGGAAAGAAGGAAUUGCCUUUGAGAGGAAAUUGAAUGCUGAUGGAUCUUAUUGGAAACCUGAGCAGUAUCCCAAAACCUCAUGGGUUGCUGCUACUGGGCCUCCUUUUGAUCCAUCCAAUCUAACUGGCUUUUCAUGUGAAUUGUCCUAUUCCUCAGAUGAAUCAUUUGACUCUGUUAGAGCAUAUAUCUCCAUAUGUGGUUUUGGUAAUUGAUGACAAUUCCUAUGGACUAAUGGUUGCCUUAAGUUACAUUUAUAGGAUUUGUCCAUAGGCACUUCUUGAAGUCCAUCUGUUGGGUUCAAGGAGUUUAUAUGAUGACCAAGAUGGUAUUCAAGGUAUUAUCCAAAGAAUGGUCAUAGAGACACAUGGUUGAUCAAGAUCUCAUACAAAGAGUAAAUCAAGAUGAUCAACACACAAAGCGUACAAGAUGUACCGAGAGGGAUCAAGUGAUCCCAUGGUGUGUUUCCAUAGGCUUGCGUCAAAGAGAAGAUCUCAUACAACCCAUGAAGUAUGACGUCAAGUUGUGAUCGUCAUCAAGAUUGCGAUGUGCAAGUUCAAGUGGAUCAACACGAAGAUAUCAUGCUUGAAGCUUGCUGUCCAUUGACAAAGAGUAAAUCAAGAUGAUCGACACACAAAGUGUACAAGAUGUACCGAGAGGGAUCAAGUGAUCCCAUGGUAUGGUAAGCAUUGUCCAUUACGUGUUUGUGUACUAACCCAUGGUCUUCGUGAGAUUUCUAUGUGGAGGUUAGGUGUGUUUCCAUGGGCUUGCGUCAAAGAUAAGAUCUCAUACAACCCAUGAAGUAUGACGUCAAGUUGUGAUCGUCAUCAAGAUUGCGAUGUGCAAGUUCAUGUGGAUCAGCACGAAGAUAUCAUACUUGAAGCUUGCUGUCCAUUGUGGUGGCAAUGGACUUGUGAAGAUAUGCUGAAGAGUGGCUCACCCAUAGUGAGUAUGGGGGAGCAAUCAACUAGUCUUCAUCAAGCCAACGCAAUCAAGAAAGGUCGUCCAUCUUGAGGAAGCCAAGAUCAUCAUCAUCUAGCUCAAGAGGACGAGGUGCAAGGUAUAGGUUUACCCUUGAUAGGUUUUCUGUUUAGGAUAGAUUGCUGUACUAUCAAGGGGGGCUCUCAACUGAGUAGCUUGAUCGUAUCGUUCGUUGAGAGCUCAAACCAUUUGCAUCCUUGCAUCAUACUUCUUGGUUCUUGUUUGGUGUUUCUCUUUGUGAUUUUUAGAGCUUAUGGUCAUCUUCGUGACAAGCUCGAGUUCAUCGAAAACGGAGUCCAUAUGCAUCUACUAUGAUGUUUUCGACGUUGGAGUUUUUGCCGGUUCUUCAUUCAUAGAUGACUCACAUCUCUAUAUCGCUGUUUGGAUAGCCCUUGUCGUCCUGAAUCCAAUAAGCUUGGGUUUGCUCGAUUCGGAGCUCGUAUGCGAAAGUUAUGGUUGUUUCAGUGGCGAGCGGUAGUACCGCUGGACCUAGCGGUAGUACCGCUGGACCUAGCGGUAGUACCGCUAGAGUUGGCGGUAGUACCGCUGGCCCUAGCGGUAGUACCGCCCCUGGUCAGCGGUAGUACCGCUCCAGGAGCUUAGUACCGCCUGCCUAGCGGUUGUUCGUGGACGGACCUUUUUGCGAAGACUUUCUUGGCGGUGGUAGUGCCUUUGCACUACCAGGGGCCCAGCGGUAGUACCGCUGGGGCCCAGCGGUAGUACCGCUGGAGUGCCAGCGGUAGUACCGCUGCAGCCAGCGGUAGUACCGCUAGCUGGCGGUAGUACCGCUGCAGUCAGCGGUAGUACCGCUCGAGUGCCAGCGGUAGUACCGCUGGAGCUCGGGCAGAGAGUGGGGGUAACAGUCUGAUUUGUUCCCCCACUAUAUAAAGGGGGUCUUCUUCCCCCUUGGCCUUAUCCAUCCGUUGAGCUCUUGUUCUACCUCCAUUGUUGACAUUCUUAGAGCUUGCUAACUCUCAAUCCCUCCGAUGAUUCUUGCUUGUUGUUGAGGGAAAAGAGAGAGGAGAUCUAGAUCCACAUCUCCACCAAUCACUUUCUCCUCUAUGUGAGGGGAACCCCUUGGAUCUACCUCUUGGAGUUCUUUGUGAGCUCCUUGUUCUUCCUCUCAUAUUUCUCCAUAGCUUUUGUUGUUGUGGAGGAAUUUGAGUGUGAGGGACUUGACCACUUCGUGUGUUCUUGCCAUUGCAUUGGUUGCAUCGGUUUGAGUUCUCCACGGUGAUACGUGGAAGUGAAGUUUGAGAAGCUUAUUACCUUUGGUACUUAGUACCCUAGAUAUUGUUCUUCGUGGAUGCUUUGGCAUCCUAGAAGCUUGGUGGUGUCUCGGAGCUCAAUCAUUGUGGUGUGAAGCUUCGGGCAACCGUCGGGGCCUCCAAUUAGGUUGUGGAGAUAGCCCCGAGCAAUUUGUACGGGUGCCGGUAACCGCCCCCAAGGGUUGCCACGUGUACGGGUUCGGUGACCGCCCCCAAGGUUUGCCAUUUGUACGGGUUCGGUGACUGCCCUCAAGGGUCCCUUAGUGGAAUCACGGCAUCUUGCAUUGUGCGAGGGCGUGAGGAGAUUACGGUGGCCUUAGUGGCAUCUUGGGGAGCAUUGUGCCUCCACACCGCUCUAACGGAGAUUAGCAUCCGCAAGGGUGUGAACUUCGGGAUACAUCAUCGUCUCCCCGUGCCUCGGUUAUCUCUUACCCGAACCCUUUACUUAUGCACUUUACUUUGUGAUAGACAUAUUGUUUAUUGUAAUAUAUCUUGCUAUCACUUAGUUGUUUAUCUUGCUUAGCAUAAGUUGUUGGUGCACAUAGGUGAGCCUAGUUGUUUGUAGGUUUUGUGCUUGACAUAUUAAACGUUAGUUUUAUUCCGCAUUUGUUCAAGCCUAAACCUUAAUUAUUUUAAAGCGCCUAUUCACCCCCCCCCCUCUAGGCGACAUCCACGUCCUUUCAGACUCCAACUAUAAACUGUUCAAAACUCAAUCUGGUGAAGUAUUUGCUCGAUAUGUUAGAACUAAGUGCAGGAAUGGUCCUCCCUUGAGGAAAAUCUGGGUUCCCAAAAGUUGUAUUGAAAAUCUUCAAGUGAAUGUCCUCAUGACACCACCGAUGAAGAAUCUGAACCCAGAUGAAAUUCCUCAGGAGGACCAAAGUCUUCAAGAGGAUCAAAAUCCUCAACUGGUCAAAAUUAUGCUCGUACCCAUGCUAAUGCUUCUAACAUGCAGAGAAACUAUAAGGAAUAUGAAUAUGAGCGUUACUCUUCAAAUCAUUAUGUUCAUAAAUCCUCAAACCAGUUCUCUGCAUAUUCAUAUGAGUACUUUAACCCCCCUACUGUUAAGAGAAGUGCAUUAGCUUCAAUGCCACCUUUCUCAUAUGGUGCUCGCAGGAUGAUGAAUGCUUUACCACCCCUUCAGAUGUGGGUGGUGAGGAAAUCGAACUAAUCACUUAUGCAGGACAGGUCUCCAGAUGAAAAUCAUCAUCUGAAGAAUUUGCUGGAGACAUGAGGAAAUGCUUGAUAGGACGCAAGCCAAAUUGAUGAAAUAGAAAUAUUUCACACGUCCUUAUAAUUCUGUUGUGAUGAAAUUCUUAUAUGGUGAAAUUGAUAUCAUAUUCUUCAAAUCUGAAGCAUAUGAGAUGGUAACUGUACUAAUUCAUCUACAGGAUGACAAACCCAAGAAUACUGAGUGGGUUCUUGAUAGUGGUUGCACACAUCACAUGACUGGUGAUAAAAGCUUGCUGAUGAAUAUGCCACUAACUCCAUCACCUCUGAAGCAAAUCACAUAUGCUGACAAAGGUAAAAGCAAGGUAUUGGGACUUGGCAAAGCGGCUAUUUCCAAGGAUAGGCAUAUGGACAAAGUGAUGCUUGUUGAAUCCCUUGGUUUUAACCUCAUGUCAGUCUCGAUGCUUUGAGAUCUUGAUAUGAUUGUUAUCUUUGGUAGAUAUAGAUGUGUAGUCAUCAUGGAAUCUCACACAUCCAAAGUCUUCGAAGGUGUAAGGAGAGGGGAUUUGUACAUUGUUGAUUUCUCUACAGGUCCUCAACCAGCCACUUGCUUACUAGCAAAGACCUCAGAAGGAUGGAUGUGGCACCGAAGACUAGGUCAUGCAGGCAUGAGGAAUUUGCACACGCUCGCGAAGAAGAAGUAUGUCAUCGGCAUCGAAUCAGUCAAAUUCCUCAAGGAUCAUCUCUGCGGUGCAUGUGAAUCUGGGAAAAUGACCAGAUCCAAGCAUCCCUCGAAGACUAUCAUGACCACUACACGUCCCUUUGAAUUGCUUCAUAUGGAUAUAUUUGGACCUACUCACUAUGCCACACUAACCAAUGCAGCAUCUUUAUAUGGCUUCGUCAUAGUUGAUGAUUAUUCCAGAUAUACAUGGGUGCAUAUCAUCGUAUAUAAAACUGAAGUGCAGGAAAUCUUCAAACGAUUUUCUUCAAGGGCCUCGACAAACUUUGGCAUCAAGAUCAAACAUAUCAGGAGUGAUAAUGGAAUAGAGUUCAAAAACACUGGUCUUGAUGAUUAUCUUGAUGAACUUGGUAUUACUCACAAAUUAUCUGCUCCUUAUACUCCUCAGCAGAACGGUGUCGUCGAAAAGAAGAACAGGACUCUGGUUGAGAUGGCAAGAACUAUGCUUGAAGAAUAUCAGACUCCUUGUCGCUUUUGGCCUGAAGCAAUCAACAGUGCAUGCCAUAUCAUCAACAGGGUAUAUCUUCACAAAUUCCUCAAGAAAACCUCAUAUGAACUCCUCACUGAUAAGAAACCCAAUGUAAGUUAUUUCAAAGUCUUCGGUGCAAAAUGUUGGAUUAGAGAUCCUCACCAUAGCUCAAAAUUUGCACCUAAGGCACAUGAGGGUUUUAUGCUUGGUUAUGGAAAGGACUCGCACACCUACAGAGUUUUCAACAACUAUCACAACAAAGUUGUUGAGACUGUAGAUGUGCGGUUCGAUGAAACUAAUGGCUCGCAAAGAGAGCAAUUGCCUUCUGAUCCAGAUAAGUUGUCUCCUGAGGAAGCAAUAAAGCUCAAACCUACUGAAGACAUUGUUCCCACUUAGGAAAUUGAUGAAGAAACCAUCCCCAUCACUGAUGAAAAUGAAGAAGAUGCUCCUGAGGAAAUUGCUCCAGAACCACUUCCUCAGCCCAGACGAAAUCCUCAACCAGCACAUCUGAGGAUUGCAAAUGAAGUAGAACUUGACAAAAUCAUCAACGACAUCAACGCGCCAGGUCCUCUCACUCACUCAAAAGCUUCACACUUAGUUAACUUUUGUGGGCAUUUUUCCUUUGUAUCUAUCACAGAACCCUCAAAAGUUGCUGAGGCUUUCUUGGAACCGGAGUGGAUCCAAGCUAUGCAAGACGAACAUCUUCAAUUCAAGCUGAAUGACGUAUGGGAGCUAGUCAAACGACCAGAUCCUCGCAAGCACAACAUCAUCAGAACCAAGUGGAUUUUCCGAAACAAGCAAGAUGAGGAUGGUCAAGUGGUGAGGAAUAAGGCACGACUCGUAGCCCAAGGCUACACCCAGGUUGAAGGAAUAGAUUUCGAUGAAACUUUUGCACCUGUUGCUAGACUUGAAGCUAUUCGAAUACUACUUGCUUAUGCUAAUCAUCAUAACAUCAUCUUAUAUCAAAUGGAUGUGAAAAGUGCAUUCCUCAAUGGUAAGCUUGAGGAAGAAGUAUAUGUUGCUCAGCCCCCAGAUUUUGAGGAUCCAAAGAAUCCAGACAAAGUCUUCAGACUCAAAAAGGUGCUCUAUGGUCUCAAGCAAGCCCCUCGGGCAUGGUAUGACACAUUGAAGGAAUUCCUCAUGAAGAAAGGCUUCAAACCUGGUUCACUCGAUCCAACUCUUUUCACUAAAUCCUAUGAUAAUGAGCUACUUGUGUGCCAAAUAUAUGUCGAUACAGUGAUGAAUUUGCUUACAUGAUGAGUGAAGAAUAUCAGAUGUCUAUGAUGGGGGAGCUGAAAUUCUUCUUAGGUCUUCAAAUUCGUCAACAACGCAAUGGAAUGUUCAUACCACAGGAGAAAUACCUCAAGGAUGUUCUGAGGAAAUUCGACAUGCAUGAAUGCAAAGGUGCCAAGACUCCAAUGCCUACCAACGGCCACCUCGGCACUGAUGAAAAUGGUAAAGAAUUCGAUCAGCAGGUAUAUCGCUCUAUGAUUGGCUCUUUAUUGUAUCUAUGUGCAUCUAGGCCAGAUAUAAUGCUUAGUGUUUGCAUGUGCACGUUUUCAAGCAAAACCGAAGGAAUCACACCAUAAGGCUGUGAAGCAUAUUCUUCGAUACUUAGGUCACACACCAACACUAGGAUUAUGGUAUCCCAAGGGCUCAAAUCUUCAUCUGGUAGGGUAUUCUGAUUCUGACUGUGCUGGUGAUCGUGUAGAUCGCAAGUCAACUUUCGGUACAUGCCAUUUCCUCGGAAUAUCACUAGUUUGCUGGUCCUCAAAGAAGCAGAACUGCGUAUCACUCUCCACUGCCGAAGCUGAGUACAUUUCUAUUGGUUCAUGUUGUGCUCAAUUACUAUGGAGGAAGCAAACCCUCAAGGACUACGGCAUUAACAUGAAGAAUGUGCCUCUCUACUGCGACAAUGAGAGUGCAAUCAAGAUUGCAUACAACCCAGUACAGCACUCGAAGACUAAGCACAUCCAGAUUCGUCAUCAUUUUCUUCGGGACCAUGUCCUCAAGGGAAAUAUCCUCAUCGACCAUGUGAAGACUGAUGAUCAACUCGCAGAUAUCUUCACUAAGCCCUUGGAUGAGAAAAGGUUUUGCAAGUUGCGGUGUGAGCUAAAUAUCUUAGAAUCUUCAAAUGUUUUGUAAAAACAUGCACACAUCCUAACACUUAUGCAAAAUUGAUGACUUGGAUGUGCAACACAAGAUGAAUCAAUUUUCUUCAAAUGAUGAAGAAUAUCACUCUGAAUGUGAAGAAAUCAACGAAGAAAUUGAUUCUCAGGGCCCUACGACAAUUGUACGCGGCGUCUGUAAUCAACAUUCUUAUAUGGUGGGUCACGCCACCGCCCAACGUGAAAUUCCUCAAGUUGAUUUUCUUCAAAGUUCCAUUUCCUCAAAACUUGUUUUUCUUCAAAACAAUUUUUCUUCAUUGUGACGAUUUAUCACAAAAUCCUCAAGUUAGUCAAAUCUUCAAAAACACUUGAUGACUUUCGUUUCACUAGAUAGACUGUGAUUUCAAGUCCUCAACAGCAUUCACUUAUAGCUAUUUCUUCAAGUUGAUAUUUCAUCUAAGUGCAUGUGAUCGGACCCUACUUUCCCUCUAUGCUAUUCUCAUCCAGUCUAUUCAAUUCUUAAUAUGCGUUCUACUUGAAACUUUGUUCAAAAUCCUCAUUGCGUCCUUGUCAGUUGAUGAUUUUGUAACAAAAUCGUCAAAUCUUCAAAAAUGUCUCUUUAAUGCACAGUAACUGAACCCCACUUCCCUCAUCCGGAUAACCACGAUCUCCACCGCCUUGCUCGGGAGUUACACGUGUCCUGCGGAGACGUAGAGGCAGGGGCUAUUUGGUCCGAUUUCUUCGCGCCAAAAGUAACUGCAUGGCUAUAAAUAUGUCCUUAUCUCCCUCGGCAAACACUUCUUCGCUCCAUCGCUCUCCUGCUACAGCAAAAGCCCCGAACCCUAGCGCCACCGCUGGAAGUCUCGUCGCCGGCGAAGAAGAGCUUCACUGCCUCGACUUUUCCGUUGCCGAAACCACGCCGGAGUCAGACCAUCUUUGUCCGCCGCCGUCGUAGACGUCCUCUGUUGUCGGGUUAGGGCACAUUGGACACGCACCGAAGAGCUUCUCCUGACAACUCUCCUCUGUUCUUCGUGUGCGCCAUCUAGGGUAAAUAGAAACCCUAUUUUUGCAGCAAGUUAGAUCUACUAUUUUACAUCUGAGAUGUGAAAUCUGUUUUUCCUCAAGAAUCAAUACGCAUCUGAUUCCUCAAACACUGCCUAUCACCACACUAUUGAUGAACUUCACUAAGCAUCUAAGACUUUCACGAGAUUUCUCAAUUGUGCGAAUUUUCGGAUAUGUACAACUCUGGAACCCAAGAACAGUAUGCUUAGCCAAAUUCCUCAACCACUGGUCAAAUUCCUAUAGUGUCAAACUUUUUCAUUUUCUUCAAAUCUGAGAACGCAUAUGACCUUUCCAAAUUCCUCGCAACUAUACUUUGUUCACAGGUACACACAUGUCAGCUGAUGAAUCUCUCGGUUCUCAUCACAUUAACUCAUUUGCUGCGUUUCUUGAAGAAAAUCUUCAAGUCUCAUCAGAAUCUGCAAGAGUUCAAUCUCAUCAGCAAAAUCCUCAGCUGAAGAAAAUGGAGGAUGACAGGAAACAGAAGGGAGGCAAGAAACUUGAGCAGAAUACAGCUUUGGAUAUCCCUGAGGAUAUUUACUUGGACUAUUGCACACCUGAUGAAAAUGAAACAAUGGCCAAGAGAAAGAUUCGGCUUCAGAAGAUAGAACGCCGAUGGGCUAAGGAGUGGAAGGAAUACAGAUUUGUCACUCCCAAGUAUGCAAAGAAAUUCGCUCUGAAGCCUCCUGGCAAACGGGCUCCACUUGAGGCUCAUCAAGUAGCACAUCCCUCAAGCCUCGAGACCCUUGAUGACUAUCCUGAUGAAAAGGACAAGCACUUGGCUAAGCUUAAAAAGCAGGCAGAUGCUGCGGUGAGGAAAUUCAAUGAAUCAUCUGCUGCAGCUUCAACUGCAGCUACUUCCUCUGCCACUGAGACCUCUGGUUCAGCAAUUCCUCAACAAAAGUCUAUGCCGUCAAAACCAAAGGCUCCAAAGCCUCAAGAGAAACUAGCUCUGGCAUCAGUUACAAAACCAUCAGUGCCAAAAUCCUCAGCACCACCACUGGUUUCAAAACCAGAACAGAAGCCAGUCAUGAAGCCACUGCCCGCUACCUCCAGCUCCUCACUCCCAGCUGCAACCAGCUCAGAGACAAAGUCUUCACCACCUCCUAUGAAGACUCAGGUGUCUGCUGGAAGAGGAACAAAACCAAGCCCUAGCAAAAUCAUAACAGUCCCUUCUGCAUCAGAGGGUAGUGAUGAAUAUGAUGAUGAAACCCUGCAAGCUAUGAUCAGAAACAAGCAGGAGAGGGUAGCUCAAGCUUCUGGUAGCGCCAUUCCUCUGGCCAUAGACCCCAAAGUCCUCCUAGACUACAUAAACAUCUGGUAUGAGGACCCCAACACUCCGCUUGAUGACUUGAAACUUCCCCUGGCAUCAGCCACAUGGUGGCCACAUUCAUCAACGAGGCCAAGUGGAAGGAGCAGCAAGCCAAACAGGCCAAAGUUGCUAAGCUCAAGAAGGAGAAAUUCCUCAAGCAGAAUCUCCUCAACCUGACGCCUGAUGCACUGGUGUCAACACAGGCUGAGUUGAAGACUUUGACAGAUAAGUACUCCAAGCUAUCUGAUCGUGAGAGUCUCAAAAGCAGUUUCAUCAAAUUUGCCACUAAAGUUGUUGACGACUACAACAAGAAGGCUGCCCCUCCAGUACCAACUCCUCAGCCUCUGAUUGAAGAGCCAGCCGACAAAUCUCCUCAAGCUGAUGAAACUCCUCAAGCUGAGGAAAUACCACAAGAAAGCCGUGUGGAUGUACCGGCAAUUGAAGAAAUCAACACAGAAAAUCCAGCUGAUGAAUCCGCUACAGCUGGUGAGACUGCCCCUGAACCAGCUGCUGCUUCAAAGCAAGCUGAUGACUCUGAUCCAGCUGGUUCCUCAAAGCCAGCUGAUGAAUCUCCUAAGAAAACACCUUCACCAAAAGCUUCAAAGGUGAAGAACAUGACUCCGUCUGCAUCAGACGUGAAGAAGACAAGGGCUGCUGAGAACGAAGCCAAAAAGAGAAAGGCCUCCUCAGCAGAAGAAAACACUAAGGCCAAGCGCCUCAAAGCGCUUGAAGAAAAUGCUCCACUGGACCCUGUGCCCCUCAACGUCGCUCCAUCUUAUGAAAUGGUCACCUUUGAAGACCAGGAGAAAGGGCCAUAUGAGGAAAUGAAGGAUGAUGCAUCUGAGGAACACACUGACGAAGAAAUUCGCAUUGGCGACAGUCCUCAGCCCUCCAUUCCUCAGGUAACAACUGCACAAGGAUCAGCUGCACCAGCAGAUGAAUCUGGCUCGGUCACCAAGCAAGCUGAGGAAGAGCAAAGUGAAAAUCCUCAAGCUGAUGAAAUUCAGAGUCGUGAGAAAAAUCCUCAAGUUGAGGAUCAGGUUGACCCAACUCCUCCUCGUGAGCAAGAUCUUCACACUGAGGCUCAAAAUGAACCUAUUCCUCCUCCUGAGCAGAACCCUCAACAGGAUGCUCCAGUUGAUGACAUUCCUCAGCCUGAGGCACAGCCAGAUCCCAUUCCUCAACCUGAAGCACAACACGAGCAUGCUCCUCAGCCUGACGCCCAAGCUGAUGAAAUUCCUCAACCUGAGGACAAUGCUGAGGAAAAUGCACCAGACCAAGACAAUGCUUUCGUCAUGCUCAAUCCAGAGACUGCAAUUGUUGUCUCCCCUCCAGUUCCUCAGCAAAAUCUUCAGCCAAUGCAGCGUCAGCCAUUCUCCAAGCGACCACAGUUUCAAAAGGAGAACUUCUUUGAAGAACGCAUGUACUUCAUUGGAGAAAAUCCCUAUGACAAGCCUCAAAUCAGGCAUCUGAAGUUUUGGACGAGGACACAGCUGAAUUACUAUGCCUCUGUGCUGUGUGGAAGAAAUAAGAUAUUCCAGCACAAGCAUAUUCCUCAUGUUGAACUUGAAGCAAUACCAUGCGUGGCUCCAGUCCUCAAUGUCCUUCAUGAAGAUGGACUGCUACCAAUGUGCUCAGAUAUCUCUGAUUGGAACGGCGAGCUCAUUCUUCAAUUUUAUGCCACUCUUCACAUCUCUGGCGAUCCUGAAGAUAUUAACACCUGGGUGUUUGACUGGAUGAUGCAAAACACUCACUACAAGGCUCCUGCUACUGAGCUACUGCGUGAAUUGCCAGUAUCAAUUCCCUCAGAGGAGGCCGUGAAGCUUUAUGGUGAGAAUGAGCUGCCCAACAGGAUGAUGGAAGUCCUCAUGAAGCCUUUUGCUAAAGGGCAACCACCGAGAAAAACCUUCCUCAUCCACGAGCUCAAAUAUACACCAAGGUCUGUUUACAGAAUCCUGUGCAGUGUUCUUGCGCCGAUCAAAGGCCAUUGAUGAUGAAGAAGAUGUCGUAGGCAUCAUGAAGAAUAUCCUCUUCAACAUCAUCCAUGGUAUUCCUAUCAACAUACAUGAUUUCUUCUUGAGGACUUUGGCCGACAAUGCCAUGUGUCCAUUUGAUCACAAGAUAUAUGCCCCAUGGAUCAUGAGAUUCAUCAGGACAAGGACAGGCAUCAACUUCCACGCUGAUUUCAACAAGAAGACUUUCGAGCCAGUUGAAGGAAAAGGGAAGUCAGUUAUUGAUGAAGGCUGUAGGCCCCUUGAUGGCCAGUUCAGAGAGCCGGAAGCAUAUUCUUCAUGGGAUGAUACUGAGACUCACCCUCCAAGCCAUUUUGCUCCUCGCGUGAUGAAUACAAGAGAGCUUCUCCUCAGUCUUCACCAGAAGGUGGAUCGCAAUCACAAGUGGGUCAAACGCCAGUUUGGCGCCAUUGUGAAAACACUCACUGAAACACAGAACUCUGUGAAGCUUAACCAUCACUAUCUGCAUGAGGUUUUUGAUCGCACCUGGGCCACACUUGCUCAUCUGAAGACUCAGACAAAACUUGAAGAAUUGGAGUUUGAGCGAGACUUUUACUGGUCGUGGCCUCCCAAGAAGAAGUUCAGGCCAAUUCCAGUUCCAGACCUUGAAGACAGUUCCUUUUCUUCAUUCCGCACUGCUGAAUCUGAUGAAGAACAGCAUGACACUGCCACCGGUCCAAGGAAGAAGACUACUCCCAAGAAGCACCACGCAUCUUCAUCAACCGCCAAGGAGUGAAGUCUUCAUAGGCGUUAGUCCUCAGUUCGUCCCUUUUGUCACUUGAUGACAAAGGGGGAGAAACUUGAGAUUUAGUCUUCAAGCGGGAUAUUUUGGGGAUUAUGAACUAUAUUUAAGUUACAAACUCUUGGCUCUUCUGAAGUUUUUAUGUAAUGAGUUGUAACUUAAACCCGAUGGUACUCUGACGCUUUUGAACGUUUUUCUUCGCAUGCUUACUCCUCAAGUUUUAAUGCACGCAUGCUGAAAUUCGUCAGAUACCAUUUGUCAUCAUGCAUCUUCACUUUCUUCAUACUAUAUGUUAUAUGUAUGCAUGAUUUACAAGACUCAGGGGGAGUCCCCAUGAUAUAAAUCAUCAAUGUGCAUUUGCUGUGAAAAGCAAAAUCCUCAAGAUAUGCACAUCUUCAGGGGGAGUCUCUCUGAAUCUUGAUUUCAAAUUCCUCAAAUGAGUAUUUACACUUCAUAUUUUUAUCCCUGUUGAAGACUUAACCUAAUUGUCAUCAACCACCAAAAAGGGGGAGAUUGUAAGUGCAUCUAGUGCCUCUUAGUGAUUUUGGUGGUUUGAAGACUUAUAGGUUAAGUAUCUAAUGUGUUCAUGAGUGUACACGGGAUCUAUAAGUCACUGAGGAGUUUGAAAUAUUUGAUGAAUAUCGACCCCUAAAAAUGUAUAUCUUCGGUUGAAGAAAUUGGUCUGAAGCUGAAGAAUUGAAUCGCGAAGAAUCUACGAUGAAAUUGAUAUUCCUCGUGAAGAUAUUGAAAUUGAGGAAUUCGGUGUGUCCUGAAGAAAAUCAUUCUGAAGACUUUGAAGCAUGAAGAUUUACUCUUUCUGUUUUGUUUUAUUCACACUUGAGUAAUAGGAACAGCGUACUGUUAAAGGGGGUCGAAGUUACACUUUGGAAUGAAUUUCCUCAUGAUGCUCAACCCAAGCCUAAUCCUACCAAAAGCCUCAAGUGAGGAAUAUGAGUGACAUGAGAACUCUCACAGUUGAGGGUUCCGACCGUUUCGAUAGCCACGCCACAUCAUUGAUCUUAUCCACACCAACGGUCAUAUUAUUUAAGGGCAUUAGUGUCAAAUCAUGUCGGGAUGCUCCCAGGCUAUAAAUAGCCGCCCCCACAACCAUUAGCUGGUUGGCUGCUCCGUUAGAAACUGACACUUGUCAUAAGAGCAACCCAAUUCCUCAGAAUCUUCGAGAGUAAUUCAUCAGUGAGGAAAUACCCCAAACACUAAACCACAAACCUAGAACCAAGUGAUUGAGCAUCACUGAAGAAGUUGUUCAUGUGUGGGACUGAAGCCUUUUACCUUUGAGGAUUGUGCAUCCUCCAGACGGUUAGGCGUCAUGGUCUAGAGCAAUCCAGCAGUCAAUUGUGGAUCGCCGGGUGACCAAGUUUGUGAGGGUUUGGAAGUCUGCCCUGAAGACUUACCACGAGUGUUGGGCGAGGACUGUGUGUUAUUAGCCCAAGGAGAAUACGGUAGGGACUCUGUGUCCCGGGACUGUGUGUCUUUUGGUUUCAAUACCAAGCCGCUCCAAACCAGAUGUACAACUGUCACAGCAGUUGGAACUGGGUCAUCAACUACUGUCUUCGCUGAGAAACGGGUUCUAAUUCCUCAACUCUUUACAUUCCUCAGAUUAUGUGUUGAUGACUUUCACUGUUACUGUUUGAAGAAUUUGCUGAAGACUUUCUCUAAAAUUCCUCAACCCCAAAUUCUUCACGCUAGUUAAUCCUCAUCUGUUUUCUGCGUGCCUGCUCACUGUGCAAUAUGUUUUCACAUUCCUCACACUGAAAAACUGUUGUUGUGAAACUUUGCACUUCUGAUCCAUUACUGUUUCCGCUGUAAGUUAGUCAUCAGUGAGGAAUUUCCUCAAAAGGAAUUUCCUCAGUGAUGAAAUUCUAAAAAUCUCCUAUUCACCCCCCCCCCCCUCUAGUCGAUAUAACGCACUUUCAUAGUACCAUCGUAUUCAGAGAACACAUGAUAGAUGGCAUCAUCCUCUUCUUCUCAUUCUCUUCCAUUAGAACCCCUCUUUCUCCAUGCUUGGUCCAACAGUUAUAGCCGGACAUGAAACCAGACGUAAACAGGUGGACAUGAAUUAUUCUUGACUUAGAGUAAGUGUUAUCUGCUGGUUUGCCUCAACCGCACGUAGAAACCUCUACGCGCCAUUAUUGAACUGGGGAGAGCGGUAGUCAUCGUACAUGCAUCCAUUGUCAGCUCAUCUUCAUUACACAAGACCGAAAAGACCAAAUCAAUACAAGUUCAUACAUAAAGUUCAUACACACUUAUUCUCAUAAAACAACAUACAAGAGUAUCUAGCUAAAGCUUUCAAAUGCAAUCAAGAUUGCAACUAAGGUAACAAUUGAUCCAACAACACAGUAAUACCAAGCCUCUUUAUUAACGACAUAUUUUCUAAUCUUUCUAAUAUUCAAGCGCAUUGCAUCCAUCUUGAUCUUGUGAUCAUCGAUGACAUCGACAACAUACAACUCCAAUUUCAUCUUCUCUUCUUUAAUUCUUUUCAAAUUUUCUUUCAAAUAAUCGUUUUCUUUUUCAACUAAAUUUAACUUCUCGACAAGAGGGUCAGUUGCAAUUUCCGGUUCACAUACCUCCUAGAUAAAAAAUAUCUAUGUCAACUUGAUGGGCAUAAUUGUCAUAAACGCGAAAUGCAACAAAUAGUUAUAAAAGAGAAUAUACCACAUCCGGAUCAUAAAGCAGACGAGGGCCGAUAGGCACGGAUUUCAAGACCAUGAAACUAUGUAUAACAAACAACCAUACAAGUAAGAAAACUAUCUAAAUCAUACAAAUAAGAUUUUUUUUAUAAAAAGGAUAAGAACAAGAGGCUCACCAAGGUGGUGCCGGCGACGGGACGCUCCGGGCGAUCGACUGUGGUUAGGACGGGGACAGGAAGGCACUAAGUUAAGCACACCUACACAUAUGGAAACUAAGAAGUUAAUUUGAGCUCAAAUUGCAUAUAAAUCAAAUAAACUCCCACAAAAUUACUCCGAAACUAAAACCCACAAAUCACUAUACUUAUAGAGCAUUGCACGAGCUAAUCUAGCAAUGAUAGAUGAAAGAACAAAGUUGCUAACCUUCGUGAACACUUGGAGAGAUGGGGUGCCUCAAAUCUUGACAAAUCUUGGCAAAAACGGAGGAUGAGCUCAAGCUAAGGGGAAGAAUAGAUGGGAAUGGAGAAAACAGAGAAAUGGGUUUGGUUUGGACGAAGGGUUUAUAUAGAGACAUCUUUAGUCCCGGUUGGUUAUACCAACCGGGCCUAGAGGUCCACCUCUUGUCCCGAUUUAUGAUACAAACCGGGACUUAAUGUGCUUGUGGGGCCCCCAACCUGACGAGAGCCUGCCAUCACCCCUUUAGUACCGGUUUGUAUCACAAACUGGGACUAGAUGUGGCAACUGAACCGGGACUAAUGACGCCCCCACGAAAUCGGGAUGAAUGGUCAUGUUAGUCCCAAGCUGUAAUCAAACCGGGACUAAAGGUUCAGACGAAAGGUCGGUUUUCUACUAGUGUACGGUAAAAAACAAUGCCAAGGAAGGAGAGGGUAAUUUGCUAAGGGCGUUAAGGAAACAACAAACCAAAAGAGAAAUAUCUUUUUCUUACAACUUCACUGAGUGCUACUAUCUUGUACGCAUUCUGUUUCGCUUACUCGAUGUUAAGUGUAAUUGAUGAGUUAUGUGUGCGCAGGUUCCAUUUUAUUAUCCUAGUCAUUCAGGUUGACUAAGAAGUAGUACUUGUCAUGGACUCGGAACGUAAAGACCCUAAGAUGUGGGCGGACCUGAGUGAAAUGCUCGAGAGGUAAUUUCAAUUGUUAUCGCACUAUAUCAACAACUUUUGUUCAUUUCUUGAUAUCAAAUAAUUAAUAACUCUUUUAUUCAUUUUCUUUCUUGAGCAUGGUUUGGAAACUGUUCAUCAAGAAGGUUAGGGGUGAAUGAAAAGAGGAGCUCCAAUUUUGACAACUUAAUGUAAGUUGUAAUAGAUACGUCUGUGCAUCUUUAUGGUUCUAGUUUCAAUAUCAAUAUCUUGCUUGAUUAUUAUUUUGAUUGAACAAUAUUCUCAUAAAGUGCUUGAGGCAGGGAGACGGGUAUAAUUUAUGUGGAUACUACGUUUGCGAGUUCAUUCGCCACACGAACUAUGAGAAGGGCAGAAUUUUAGAACAACUUUGAGUACAUAAACAAUAUUCACAAUUUUAUUUUAUUACCAUCAAUUGUUGAGUUUAAUUCAUAUAUAUUGACCAUCUUCUUUAAAUUAGAUCGAACGGAUGCGGGACGAUCUCCUACCAAAGGAUCACGUAUGAGCAAUUCAAGAGGAAAUGGUGGGAUUCUUACUUGAAGAGGUCAUAUAUAAAACCGGAGAAUACCAUCGGGAAUUGGUAAUUAGAUAUUAGGGAUCAUAAGAGAUAUUAUAUUGUAUAUAUGCAUGAACGUGUACUAUAUGUAGUAACGUCGAAUAUAUAUAAAAAACUCGUUGUUCGACCAAGCACAGAGAAAGAUAUCACUUCUCUACAUUCAUGAUGAUGUUGUGUAAUGAUUCCUUCAUUGCUAUAUGUAGUAGCGUCAAGUUGAAUGAAAAACAUAAAAUAAAAACCAUAAAUGAAAAAGAAUUGAAUGGUAAACUCAAAAAGCAAAGAGAAACACAAAAUGAAACGCGACCCCUCAAAAACCCUAAACCCCGGCGUUUGGCAAUGCAUGACGCAUGACGGCCUUUAGUCCCGGUUGAUGUUAUCAAUCGGAACUAAAGAUCCUUCUGUCUGAACGCUCCACAACGGAUACGUGAAGCCCCUUUAAUCUCGGUUCGUAACACAACUGAGAUUAAAAAGGGGUCUUUAGUCUCAAUUCUUUAGUUCCGAUUAUCUAACCGAGACUAAAGGCCCUUAUGAAACGGAACUAAUGUCCCGUUUUCCACGAUUGCACUGUGUAUCUCAGCAGCUUGUCCAUGACGUGCAAGUCUGCUCAUUUGAUUUAAAAAUAAUAAUAACCCGCGGAUCUGCACUCACUAUCCAACUAAUAUACACGGAGGUCGUUUUCUGCUCAACUUGCAACCGAGGAAGGCCUUGCCGACAGACACAUCCCACACGAUAGAUUAAUUACGAAGCUCGGUGAUGUGGAGCUAGCCCUAACCAAGCACAGCCACCACGAAUGCAAGGUAAUAAAGCUCGAAAGCGCACUGCGACAACAGUAAACAACUUCCAUUUCCACCAUAUCAAAAUCAAAAUAAGCGCACGGCCGGGUCUAUUUUUCCUGACCACAGCCCCUGAACUUAGAGCAUCUCCAACAGCCCCGCUACGCGUCGCGUUCAAAAAAUGCAUUUGCCGCGCGCUUCGGCUGGUUUAGCGCGGGGACAGGCGCUGGCUCCAACAGCCGCGCUAUAAUGCAGCGCGCGCGCGCCGCUCCAGUAAUGCCCAAAAAUGCAGCGCGCAUAAUAUUUUUUUUAAUACAUAGAUUGCAUUCAAAUAAAAAGGAUACAAAGUUUUUGCAACUAGAUAGGUAGUUGGAAAAACAUAGAUAGAUAUUCGGCGCUAUAUAGUUCGAAAACAUAUAAAAAAAACUAAUCCCAGUCGCUCCAGUCAUCUGCACCAUCGUCGUCGUCGUUGGUGUCGUCAGAGGUCGACAGCCAGCAAUCGAACCAACGCUCAUCUUCUUCAGUGAAGAAGGACCUCCCGCCUGCAUUGACGAGGUCGGCCUGCGCACACGCCAACGCCUUCCGACGACGCCUAUCCAAACGCUUCUCGCGGCGCCGGCGCGUGUCCUCCUCGUGGCGACUUGCCCAAUAUUGCUGCUCGUAGGCGACGUCCUCCGGGUGGCGCCGGCGCCACUCCGCCAUGAUCCGCUCGUCCUCCUGGGCGACGAGGAGGCGGCGCUGCAGCGCAUUGUGCUCCGCACGAUCUUGUGCGGAGUUCAGACGAGGCGGCGGGGCGAGGUCUAACGCCUGCUGUAGCGUCUGGACGUCCUCGAAAUUCAUUUGACGGGCCGGCCUACCUACUGUCUCUUAUACACAUCUCCGAGCCCACGGGACUUGAAGGAUAUCUCGUAUGCCGUCUUCUGCUUGNNNNNNNNNNNNNNNNNNNNNNNNNNNNNNNNNNNNNNNNNNNNNNNNNNNNNNNNNNNNNNNNNNNNNNNNNNNNNNNNNNNNNNNNNNNNNNNNNNNNNNNNNNNNNNNNNNNNNNNNNNNNNNNNNNNNNNNNNNNNNNNNNNNNNNNNCGCGCAAGCGGUUCCCGCGCGCGCGGUUUUCCCGCCGUCGCUGGAGCGCGCCUUUCUGCACCGCGCGCGGUAAAACUGAUAUUUAGCGCGCGCGCCUUUUUGCGCGGUUGUUGAAGAUGCUCUUAACAUGCCUCAGCUAGCCGUUCGCUGGCGAGUGGUGACCUAACACGACGACCGUGCGCCCGCGACCUCACACCGCGGUACGGCGACGGACGCUCCUACGCGACCGCGUGCGCGCGCAGUCCAUCAAUUCUGCACGAUGUAUGGCGUCUUCAGCAGUUCAGCCGGAUCGACUAGACAGGUGCAGCUGACCUGCCGAGCCGACCGACCAAAAUUACAGGGUGUGAUGCUUGCAUUCAUCCUUGAAUGUAUGUCAGCGAUUUUGAUUGUACCGUGUUAAAAAAAAGUGUAUCACCAUCCAAGAAACACUUGCUUUCAGGUUCGCUGUAGCACAGGAUAUUCGGUGCGUAGGCGAGGUAGCAUGUAUUGAUAUGAAUACAUCUGGACAGUAGGUUCUGGUACAAUCUUAGAGCAAAGUAAUAAACAAACAAUUAGAGCUUGAAAUGUAUGACCGACACCGACACUGACCAUAUCACGCCAUCACUUAAUACUCCAAACUAACUUAACUAAACAUAACUAUAGAUGGAUAGUCAGAGGAAGUGAGCAAAUAACAACCGAGAUGCAGGUAACCUACCACGACACCAAGGCACCAAAGUUCAGUCAGAUCACUACUGGUGUCUACCGCAAACAUGCAUACAUGAUACAUGUAUACCCGUUUCAUGUAGGGUGUAGCAUUUUUUUGGCUAUAAAUACCAGCCUUCUUCUAUCUCUCGGCCACCACACCAAGAACCAGAAGCACACAGCAUAUCGACCAUGCUGUGCAAGAACACCAUGGCCUCCCUUGUCUUCAUUGUAGCACUACUGCUCUCAUGCAGCUCCAUGAGCAGUGCAGCGCGGCACCUAGAAGAGGUUGUGCCGAAGAAGGAGUAUCCACCACAUCCGAUCAUCCCGGAGCUGCCAAAGCCCGAAAUCCCGCCGCACCCUGCCAUGCCCGAGCUGCCGAAGCCUGAACUACCGCACCCUCUCGUGCCCGAAGUGCCACAUCCCGUGGUGCCGGAGACGCCAAAGGAGCCUGAAGUGCCACACCCCGUGGUGCCGGAGACGCCAAAGGAGCCUGAAGUGUCACACCCCGUUGUGCCGGAGGUACCAAAGCAUGAGCUGCCGCCACACCCUGCUAUGCCCGAGCUCCCGAAGCCUGAAUUACCUCAUCCAGCUGUGCCCGAGGUGCCACACCCCAUUGUGCCGGAGACGCCAAAGGAGCCUGAAGUGCCACACCCCAUGGUGCCGGAGGUGCCAAAGCAUGAGCUGCCGCCGCACCCUGCUAUGCCCGAGCUCCCGAAGCCUGAAUUGCCUCAUCCAGCUGUGCCCGAGGUGCCAAAGGAGCACGAACUGCCGCACCCUAUCGCGCCAGAGGUGCCAAAGGAGCCUGAAGUGCCACACCCCGUUGUGCCGGAGGUACCAAAGGAGCACGAGCUGCCGCACCCUGCCAUGCCAGAGUUGCCGAAGCCUGAAAUGCCACACCAUGUCGUGCCAGAGAUACAAAAGGAGCCCCCUGUGUCGCACCCUGAGGUGCCGAAAGAACCCCAGGUACCACACCCUGCCGUGCCAGAGGUCCCAAAGCACGAAAUGCCGCCGUUCCCUAUAUCCGAGCUGCCCCCAAAGCCAGAGGCCAAGCCAUGAUCGGACUAGGUACAUCCGCGUUGUGUGUGUGGGUGUAUGGGUGUCUGUGAUUGUUGUAGUAUACACUGUGGUGUUGCAUGGUGCACCUGCUCAAUCUUUUCCCUUCUUCCCUUUACGUGUAUACACGAUGAAUAUGAUAUAUAUGUACAUGUGAAUGUGUAUGUUCUCGUGUUUGGAGUUUAUUUAUAUUGGAUCAGAUUUGUGUUUGGAUUUACCUAAUACAUAUGCGCAUCAAUAAAGGAGUUUAUUUUAUAUUCGUUUGGAUUUGUGUUUGGAUUUUACAUAUGUACAGUCUUAUAUUUUGGCUAUAUUAUGCACCCAGUAAAAGUCUCAUUUUUUUGCUGACAAAAUUUUCUUUUUUUGGGGGGGGGGGUUGUACAGAGAAGGCAUGAAAGACCAGGUUUCAUGUGAAGCAUAAUAAGAUAACAGUGAAUUUCAGUUUUACCCCCUAUUUUAACAGUUUUGACACUAAUUAUCUCACUUAAUGAGAUUUCAUUCUUUUACCCCAUUUAGCAAAAGUUCUGUCACGAUUUACCCUGUUUAAAACUUUGGGUUUGUUUAUUUGUGCUUCCUUAGGCAUGACUUUGAUUUUUAUGACUUUUUAAAAUAGGCUUUCGUGUCGUUUUAUAAAUAAAGCAACCAGUGCACGGCGAGAAGUACCACAUCAAACGUCAAAGUAUGUUGGGGCCACAACACAAGCACGUCCAAAUAUAACAAAAAAAGAUAUCAUAAAAAGGGCCACCAAGUGGUCAAAGCAUCCUGGAGGUGCCGGAGCAGCAAGUCGACGUGUCGUACCCUGAAGUGCAACCAACAUCCGGCCUAGCCGUGCCUGAUUCCUCUGCAUAGUCAAUGGGUGUGAGUGCUCCAAGAACGCAAAAUUUUUGAAGAAAACCUAAAAAGCGCGUCAUAGGAAAAGAUCCUCUCAAUCACCACCUUAUUUCGCAUGUUCCAAAAAGUCCAUGCCGGAUCAACAAAAAUCAGCCAGAAGAGGCGUUUAUGGCUGCCAGGCUACAUCGCUCUGGCCUGAAGGAAGUCGGCUAAAAUAUGUCGCCCACUGUGGCCCUAGGGCCUCGCGAAGAAAACCCCAUAGUGACUUAGCCCUCGUGCAGAAGAAGAGGGUGUGAAUCCCGUUUUCCAAGACAUCAUACAAGUGGCAUAGCCCAUUACCCGGGUCAUGUCUCUUGAGCACCUUUGUUCCUGACGGGAGGCGAUCCCGCAAAAGUUGCCAAACGAAAAAAUUCAUUUUCAAAGGUAGAGGCACCUUUCAGAGAGGCGUCAUCCAUCGGAUACGAGGCUCCGACAUAGUGCAUGAUAAGCCGUGACCAUGAAGAAACCUCCCGAUGGAGAGAGUAGCCACCGUGUCUGAUCUAGGCCACUGCACAUCGGAGGAGGAAGAACGGCCAAUAGAUUAGACCACUCAAGAACCUCAGCAUGGCCUAGUGAGCAUCAGAACAGGAUGUUCCAUUGUCCAUCUUGGACUGAUUCUAAAACCCGGAGCAAAGAGUCCACACACAUAGCAAAUAACUGAAGGAACCCAUGCACAAUGGGGUUCCAUCAACCCAUAGAACAGGGGUCAAGUGUAUGCUCAUUUAAUUGAUUGAUCCAUCAACCCAUGGUUUUUUUAACUUUGCUAUUUGCCGGCAAAAAAAGGAUUACGUCCGUUGAUGUUAGUUGUGUGCAUUCUAACUAUAUUAAAGCCAGAUGUAUGCUCAUUUAAUUGUAUUCGCUUCAUGUUUCAUUUUAAAUAAUAAAAUCCACAUUUUGCUGAGAAAAAAAAACUAAGUCAAUAAUAACUUCGUCAUAGGUGAUGUGUCUUUGACAUGCAAGUCUUCACUACAUCGUACCCCCAAGAAAAGGACACGACACGGCGUUGCGUACGGCACCAACCAGCUUAAUCUGCUGAUUGUGAUAUACUAAAGGAAAAUGGUUUGUUGAUCUGUUGUCAGUAUCUUUCCCACCUAACAUGCAGCAAGUCGUUUUCUGCUCAACUUGCAACCGAGCAACCGCCUUACAGAUAGACACGUCGUCCCACACUUCUCUCACUGUGUCUGCGCUGGUGUUGCUGGCAAGUGACAAGAGACCCCUGAAUCGAACUUCCUCCACCGUGCUGGCGAUCGACCUAACACCGGUACGACGCCUACGGAAACCGCGUGCCGGCCUGCGGCCGGUGACCAGCUGCAUGACACCACGCAUCGGCCGGACGAUCGACGUUCCUACGCGACCGCGUGGGCGCGCGCGCGAUUCAUCCACCAGCCUUUACGGGUGCCCGACCUGCUUCCAUCAGGGGAUGAACUGCUAGCAGGCUCUCGCCGAAUCUCACGCAACCGAUCAUUAAAGGAUAGCGAAAACGACCGGGGCUAGCUAGCUGCAGUUGAACUGCCGAUCAUUAGCAAUUGACACCCAGAAGCAACAGGUGUAACAUUUUUGGUGCGCCAGUGACCUGUCACCGCGGUACGGCGACGGACGCUCAUACGCGAACGCGUGCGCGCGCAAUUCGUCAACUCUGACUCAUGUAUGGCAUCUUCAGCAGAUCAGCCGGAUCGACGAGAUAGGUGCACCUGAGCUGCCGAAACCACCGACCUAUACCUAUUACCAUUUGUACUAUUAAAAGAACGAGAGGACAAAUUCAACUACAGAUCUGGACCGUCUGAUUACACCAUCAAAGACCUAAAAACGUCAUUAACAAAACUAGAUAGCUUUCGUUAAUGCUAAUUGCUCACCCCACGUCGUCUCCCGGUCAAUCGCCCCGCUCGCCCGCCUCGCCCAGGUUGCCCGCCCCCGCCCGCAUUGCUCGCUCGUCCAGCCUCUCCGAUUGCGCUCAUCCGCGCUCCAUCAAACCCAGUCAACCAAAUGGCGGCGGCCGGGCUCGCGCUCUCCCNNNNNNNNNNNNNNNNNNNNNNNNNNNNNNNNNNNNNNNNNNNNNNNNNNNNNNNNNNNNNNNNNNNNNNNNNNNNNNNNNNNNNNNNNNNNNNNNNNNNNNNNNNNNNNNNNNNNNNNNNNNNNNNNNNNNNNNNNNNNNNNNNNNNNNNNNNNNNNNNNNNNNNNNNNNNNNNNNNNNNNNNNNNNNNNNNNNNNNNNNNNNNNNNNNNNNNNNNNNNNNNNNNNNNNNNNNNNNNNNNNNNNNNNNNNNNNNNNNNNNNNNNNNNNNNNNNNNNNNNNNNNNNNCCACCUCACGCCGAUGCUGGCCUACCGCUGCCUCGUCCGGGAGGACGACCGCGAGGCGCCCAGCUUCCUCUUCGAGUCCGUCGAGCAGGCAUCCGAGGGCACCAACGUGGUUCGUCCCUGCCUUUGCCCGUACAGCCUCACGAUUCGCUGAUUCGUUAUCCGUUCAUAUCCUCCCCAAGACGAAAUCAGAAUCAUUUGAAUUUGUCCCGUGCCGGGUUGUUGGUUGGUCUGCAAUCUACAGGGGAGGUACAGCGUGUUGGUGGCGCAGCCGGCAAUGGAGAUCGUGGCCAAGGCCAACCGCGUGACGGUCAUGGACCACGAGACGAGGACCAAGAAGGAGCAAAACCGCGAUUUGUUGAUUCUUCACUGUCAAUGAAUAUCAUAUGUCAUCCUUGCAUUCAAUUGGUAAGUUUUGUUGUCAGUUUUUUUUUGCAGAUCAAUAUGGCAUUUCCUUUUGUCAGUCUUCAUAGUUUCUCAAGAUAGUUACCAUUGAAGUUUGACAAUCGCAUCUUCUCAUUUUUUUUGGAUGAUACUUGAUUUUUUUAAUAGUUCUUCGCUUAAUUUUGUUGAUACGGAAACAAUUCUUAUCUGAAUGCUACUUUGUUUAUAUGUGUACGCAGAAUUAACAUGUACCUUUUAAAUGGUCCAUUAUCCCACUAGGGGAAUCUAAUUUCUGACUGGAUUAUAUUGUAAUACUAAUAUAAUUAAAAAAUCAAAUGGUUGUAUAUUUGACCCGACUUUCAUUGUUCGAAGCUAGCCUGGAGAAUUUGCUCACAUACUGAAAUUUAUUUACAAUGCUUUAUAAUUGUUUGGGCACUACGCAUUGGGGAAGUGUGCAUUUCGAUAAGAGAUUAUAUAAUUGAUGCAAAGAUGUGUGAUAUUUGUUUUAAAAGGAAUGUUUAUUUAUGAAGAGUGAUGUUUCAAAUUAUUUGCACGAGGAAAAAAUUAGGUACUAUGCACUUCGUGUGAAAGUUCAAGAAAUGAAUGAUAUAGUUGGCUAGAAUUUGUUAGGUUUUAUAUAAGAUGUGUUAACAAGACGUGCGUUGUACGUACACUUUACUAGUCAUCCAAAAAGCACUUGCCUUCAGGUUCGCUGUAGGUUGUGUAGCAUGCAUUCAUACGAGUACAUUUUGCACGACAGGUUUUGGUACAAUCUUGGAGCCUUCUUGUAUAGCACAGUCAACAAACAAUUAGAACCUGAAAUGUUGAUUGGUUCCAGUCCGUCAGAUAGUCUGAUCUAGCAGUAUCAUAUGUUGUUCUUGUACACUAUAUUUCUUAUUCCUUUGUUCUUUUUGGGCCCUAAUUUUCUCCUCUCUUUCAUGUACAUAUUGCAACGAUUGUUACACAACUUAUGAAAAAUACUCCGUGAGAAGAAAUUCCUACAGGUUUGGGUAAAAAAUUAGAGAAAUGUAUCACCGACCAUAUCAUGUCAUGACACUUGUCUCCUCAACAUUCCAAACAAAUUUAACCACACAUAACUAGAGAUGGAUAGGCAGAGAUCGAGCACACACAAAUCCAAAGUGAGUAAACAACCACCGAGAUGCAGGUGACCUACCACGCCACCAAGACAACAAAGUUCAGCCACAUCACUACUAUAGUUUCUACCGCAAACAUAUGCAUGCAUGUUUUCCCGCUGCAUGUAGGUGUAGCGUUUUGGACUAUAUAUACCAGCCUUCUCGUAUCUCCAAGACAUCACAGCAAGAAGUUGCCUCUCUCUGAUCGAUGCACAUAAACAAGAACAUCAUGCUGCGCAACAACGCCAUGGCCUCCUUUGUCUUCCUCGUGGCUCUGCUGCUCUCAUGCAGCUCCAUGAGCAGUGCAGCACGACACCUAGAGGAGGCUGUGCCCGAGAAGGAGUAUCCACCACAUCCGAUCGUCCCGGAGCUGCCAAAGCCCGAACUCCCGCCGCACCCCGUCAUGCCCGAG